GUCCAUAUUGUGAGGAACUUCUGGCAUCUCAUUUAAUUGCUCAUCCAUGAGUUUAAGGAACUGCAGGUUCCCUUUUGUAUAUAGUGACGGUUGACCCAAAAUGGUUCAUAUUUAUGCAUACGUCACUAUUCAUGUGAAUAGUACUAUUUAUCAAGUCAUGAAUACGUAUCUAUUCAUCUGCCAGUACAGUUAUCAUCAAUGUGUACGGCACCAUGAAACUGCAGGUUCCCUUUUGUAUAUAGUGACGGUUUACCCAAAAUGGUUCAUAUUUAUGCAUACGUCACUAUUCAUGUAAAUAGUACUAUUCAUCAAGUCAUGAAUACGUAUCUAUUCAUCUGCCAGUACAGUUAUCAUCAAUGUGUACGGCACUAUGAACCAAUACGGUACUGUUACAUCAUUAAGGAACUUUAGGUCCUUAUUUACAUUUCAGGGAUCAAGGACCCUUAAUUCCGAUCACAUAUUUACAAAUACAGUACCGGAGAGACUGCCAGCUCUCAUAUUAAUAUCAUCAUCAAGGAUCUUCAAGUCCUGAUGUAAUUGUAUGAUGAGGAUCAAGGAACUUCUGGUCCUGAUCUGCUUACUGUAAAAACUCAUCAUACAGCACAAUUAAUCCAUAAAAUAAAUUGCUGAUAAAUAAAUUACUGGUAUGGACGAUAAACCCGCACCAUACUUUAAAUAAAUGUAAAUGUGCGGUAAAAUAAAUUCAUAAAUUAAAUUGCUUGCUGUAUGGACGUUAAUCCCGCACCAUACCUUAAAUAAAUUAAAUAGCUUGCUGUAUGGACGUAAAUCCCGCACCAUACCUUAAAUAAAAUUAAAUGUGCGGUAAAGUAAACGUGCUUGUAUGGGCACUAAUUCUGCUCCAUACAUUUAAAUAAAAGCAAAGGCGUAGACGAUAAACCCGCACCACCCUUUAAAUAAAUAUUGCCGCAUGGGUAAUAAACCUACACCAUACCAUAAAUAAUACUUUAAGUAAAAGUAAAUUUGCGAUAAAGUAAACGUGCUUGUAUGGGCACUAAUUCUGCUCCAUACAUUUAAAUAAAAGCAAAGGCGUGGACGAUAAACCCGCACCACUCUUUUAAAUAAAUACUGUUGUAUGGGUAAUAAACCUACACCAUACAGUAAAUAAAAUAAAUAUGGGGUUAAAACCACCACCGAAUAAAAUAAGAAAAAUGUUAGUAUUAGUAACGGUCUCCCACUGAUAAUAUGUUUAGUAUUACCAAGGGUCCAUUUUUAUUAGUGGUUAGUAAUAGAAAAGUGAAUAGAUAUAGCAUAUUAUAUUACCACAUUUCAAUAUUAAUAUUACAUAUGUAUGUAUAUGUAUAUAUGAAUAUAUUUGUUUCGGUGGGUUCUUAUCAUGUUGGUGGAAAGCUAAAAGUGGCAAUAAAGCUAAAAGUUGCAGAAACCUCUAGCAAUAUAUAUUUUGUAUAUAAUAUAAUAUUAUUAUACUAAUAUAUUAGUGGAAAGCUCUAUAUAUCAGGUUGGCCUUUGCUUGUCCAUCUCAACCACAAAACACACGGCACAGAUCUAAUCACACCUACACCCACCUCGGCUGGUCAUAAUUGUUAGAUAUUAGAUUAAUAUUAAAUAAUUGAGAUAGAGAAAACAGAGUGCUUAUCUCAUGGUCAUCAAGGCAUAUCCCACAUAGAGAGCGUCUCGUGCUGAUAACGUGUUAUAAAAUGACCUGGAAUAUGUACGAAUAUUGAGCUGCACGUAAAGUAGAUGAGACACAGCAUUUAACGAGAUUCGGCUAUGCCUACGUCUCCGGAGAGCAGCAGUAGUAACUUUUCCACUAUGUAAAAUAAUAGGGCUACAACUUUAGUGUUUACAAUAUGUGUGGCUCACUGAAUUUUCUCUCUAGGAGAAUUUCUCUCUGCUCUCUCUUUCCUCUUUCUUCCUUCUCUUCCUCUUGUCUCUUUCCUUUUCUCUCUUUCCUCUUUUCUCUUUCCCCUUCUUUCUUUCCUCUUCUCUUUCCUCUUCUCUCUUCUCUCUUUCCUCUUCUUUGUUUCUUUCCGUUUCCCUCUAUUCUCUUCCUCAUAGAUCAUUGUCUCUCUUUGCAUAAGAGAGAAGCCUUUUAUAGGGAAAGGGUGGAUAACACCCGUGAAUCUACAAUCCACCUGUGAAUCUACAAUACAAUCAUGCACCAAAGUCUACAAACAAAUAGUAAGUGGGCUCCACUACUUUAUACUUUACAACACUCCCCCUUGGAGACCACAAAUAAUAUGUCAGUUGCUUCAUCAGACUUUGCUUGGAGAAAACCUAGUAAGGUAGAGAACUGAUGGAAGGAAGAAAGAAGAGUACAACAAUCUGUAUAGCAUACUUCUGGAUGCUCCCCCUGAUUAAUAUCUCCCCCUGAUGUCUUCAUAACUAUCUUUUGGAGUGAGAAUCUUUCGGAGUGAGUGAAUGAUGUAGCCACCAACAAUUCAUAUAGUAAAUAUAUUUCCAGUGAGCUAUCUCUAUGUAAAUCAUAGAAAUUUUCAGAGUCCGCGUUUCCAACAAAACCUGGGCUAUUUGUAAGAUCAUAUGAAAGAAUAUGCCCAUACAUGGUGUUAUGCGGAGAUAGCAUCAAAUAUACCUCACAUCAUCCCAAAAUGAUGGUGAUGGAGUUGAGCCUUAUCUGGAAAAUAUGAUGUCCGGUCCAAUAUAAUUCCGGAAAAUCCUUAAAGUGCCCAACGGAUAAUCCUCAUAAAAAUGCUUCAAUACUUUCUCAGUAUAAGCAAGAAUCUCGUUGGCAUAAUGCUCGAUUUUUAAGUCGAGAUAAAUAUUUCGUGAAUUCUGCAGAAGUUUUAAUGUAUUGCAAUCACAUUAUAAUCAAUGUACUCAUUGAGGUAAUUUAUGCAUAUUAAUAUUGAGUACAAAUUUUGUGCUUCAAGCACAUGUCCUUUAGGGACUUGCUUUAUGCAAUGUCAAUCCUCUCAACGGAUUUUGUUUAAAAGGGAUUAAACUUUAUGACACAUUAUAUAGCUUUUACCCAGCUAUUUAUACAUCUUUAGGAAAUCACUUCUGGCGAUAUGCUCCGUGCAUUUAAUAACCCUUAAAGAUAAUAUGUUGGUCUCCGUAAUUGUGUAAUAAGGGGGGCACAAUUGAAUCUGUAAAUAUGGAGAAAACCCAACAUUCCUUGUUUCUGCCAGAAACAUUGUGUCAUACAAAGUAGGUAUAUUCCCUUUUAUUCCGAACACCCAAGUAUAAAUUUCAGUAUUAACAUCUUUUGGGGUUCGUACUGUGGGUUUGUUCUUUCACGUUCAUUCUCAUCUAUAAUGGAAUUACAUCAUUCCAUUUUGGCCAAUAAUAUUGUCGACAUUUAAUAAUUGAACGUGGUUCCAAUCAACACAGCCCAUUGAUGAUUUAAGUAGCUACUCCAGCACCAAAAAUUGUCAUUCAUCAAUUCAUGAUCUCACCAUUCUCAUUUGCAUGCGCAUGCAUCAAUUCUAAGCAUUUCUUUGCUUUUGGGUACCCAAGCCACUUCAUUGGGCUUUUAUUAUGUGAGAAUGUGGAUUAUAACCUCCAAUGGAGCGUUAUUUUACAUAGGGCGUGGAAAAUCUCCAUUUAGGGAGUUGGAACAUUUAGAACCCAUAUAUCUGUCAUGCUGCAGGCAUGCCACAGAUUAAUACAUACAUGUCAAUUAAUUUAUGGGACCUUAACCCAUAUUAUGGGACUUUAACCCAUAUAAUUUGCUACGCAUUAGGCGUGCAUAAUAUCAAUAUUGACAUGUCAAAGUAUUGUCCUUUCGGGACUUCAAUCCACAUCAUUUGCUAGGCAACAGGCGUGCAUCAUAUUGAUCACUGCUAUACCCAUAUUCUGUUCUUAUGGGACUUUAAUCUGCGCAGUGUAUUAUCAAUGUAUCCAACUUGCAAUCUGUAAAAUUUGCGUUAAUAAUUCAUGGAUACAUACAAGCCAUUCUUUUGGAACGGACUUAUCUCCCCAUUUGGUUACCUUUCAAGAUAAAAUAUCAAAUAGGUAUAUAAGCAUAAAAUAACACAAGUAUUGCUUACAUCCUUAGGUGGGAGAAACUUUUCUCAAGUAUCAUUCAAGCUCAUAUCGGCCCAGUAAAUAUAAUGUAGCGCUUGAUGAUCUAGUUAUAUCCUGCAAGAGCAAAAAUCACAACUCUUUUGCCUCUGUCAAAACAAAUAACCUUCAUAGUUAGGAUUACUUCAUGGAUUCAUUCUUCAGAUGUUCAUUCUAAAGAAAUAAAAUCCCUUAUGAACAGAGAGUUAUAAAAAGAGAAAUAAUGCAAAAAUAAUGUGAUAUUGAUUGCAAGAGAAGGUUAGCAAUCAAGGAAGGAAGCUGGUGGGAGCAAACAACAAGCUCUCAGUUCUCCUAGUCUAGAAGGACCUCAGGAGAUUAGAGCAUAAGAUCGCCUUCACAGUUUCCUGAUGUAGCGGAAACGUGAUCAGGGAUAGUCUCGCUUCCUGAAUGGAUGAUCAGAGAUAGUCUUGCUUCUCGGGCAUUUUAAAUGCUCACUGAUAAGAAAAACAAGUAGAUAUCGCAUCACUAGGUAUGGAGAAAACUGGAUGUCUUCUGCAAAGAAAAUUUCGUUAGUAACACAUUUAUACACAAAUAAGAUAAAUAGGUAGAACUGGUGAAUUUCAAAUUAACCAUAGGAAAAUUGCGAGAUUCUCGGGAUGCUUUUGAAAAAGUAGCUCCGUGAAAUCCGUAAAGCAAGAUCAGCUUUGACGAAAAUAAUACUUGAAAACGCCGAAAGUGCCGACAGGCAUUAUUAGAGGCCACGUGAAGUUUUGGACUCUGGGAAAGAAAAAGAUAAUAUGGGGAUUCGAGAAGAUAUUGGGAUCCUGGAAAUGUUGCCACAUUUUCGUCUAUAGCUAUUGCCUUUGCAAAACUUGAUUGGAGCAACUGCGUUUCAACUCAACUUCCUUCAGAGGCUUCCAGAACAUAAUAUAAUUUUUAUAGAUUUUACAGGGCCUGCACCUUCAUUGCAGGUGGAAAAAAUCUAUCUGUUGUAUGUUCCUGUAAUAAUAAUUGCGCACAUUCUUAAACUUGCACCUGUGGUUUUUAUGUCUUUUCAAAAUGACGGUUUGGAACCUUGUGCCUUAUAGGUUCAAAUAACCACAUUGUCUCUCCCAAAUUGCAUGGUAGCCCGGAACUUUUGGCCUGGGCACAAACUCAGAAUUUAUUUGCCCUUUUCAAAUGGACAUGAAAUGUGAAUUGAGUAAAAGCCAUGAUAAUAUCGCAAUAUAGUAGUGAAGAGCAUUAACUACUAUAUACCCACAACUUCAAGUUCAGGAUCUCUCAUAUAUUUGGAUCCAUGGGCUUCCGGCCCAGAUAUAACAAAAUAUGUGGGGAGCCUCAAUUCAUUAUUUGAGGUUUAUAUUGAUAUUAUCCAUUUCGCGGUGUAUUCUUAACAACCGGAAUUCACAAAAUAUAUUUCUUCCUUGAGGUGUCGAUUAUAACAAAAUCGAACUUUAAAUUCAUCAUCUUCUUAUGCCAAAGAAAUAUGUGGCAUACCACAAUUUGCAAUAAUACCUCAAGGCCAAAAGUUCCGGGCUACCAUGAAAUUUGGGAGAGACAAUGUGGUUAUUUGAACCUAUAAGGCACAAGGUUCCAAACCGUCAUUUUGAAAAGACGUAAAAAACCACAGGUGCAAAUUUUAAGAAUGUGCGCAAUUAUUAUAACAGGAAAGGAGCAAGUUGAAACGCAGUUGCUCCAAUCAAGUUUUGCAAAGGCAAUAUCUAUAGGAGGAAAUAUGGCUACAGUUUCCAGGAUCCCAAUAUUAUCUCAGAUCCCCAUAUUAUCUUUUUCUUUUCCAGAGUCCAAAACUUCACGUGGCCUCUGAUAAUGCAUGUCGGCACUUUCAGCGUUUUCAAGUAUUAUUUUUUUCAAAAGCCGAUCUUGCUUUGCGGAUUUCACGGAGCUACUUUUUCAAAAGUAUCCCGAGAAUCUCGCAAUUUUCCUAUGGUUAAUUUGAAAUUCACCGGUUCUACCUAUUCAUUGUAUUUGUGUAUAAAUGUGUUACUAACGAAAUUUUCUUUGCAGAAGACAUCCAGUUCUCUCCAUACCUAGUGAUGCGAUAUCUACUUGUUUUUCUUAUCAGUGAGCACUUAAUAUGCCCGAGAAGCAAGACUAUCUCUGAUCAUCCAUUCAGGAAGCGAGACUAUCCUUGAUCACGUUUUCGCCACAUCAGGGAACUGUGAAGGCGACCUUAUGCUCUAAUCUCCGAAAGUUCUUCUAGACUAGGAGAAAUGAGAGCUGGUUGUUUGCUCCCACCAGCUUGCUUCCUUGAUUGCUGAGCUUGUUGUCUGCUCCCACCAGCUUCCUUCCUUGAUUGCUUACCUUCUCUUGCAAUCAAUAUCACAUUAUUUUUGCAUUAUUUCUCUUUUUAUAACUCUCUGUUCAUAAGGGAUUUUAUUUCUUUAGAAUGAACAUCUGAAGAAUGAAUCCAUGCAGUGAUCCUAACUCUGAGAGUUAUUUGUUUUUGACAGAGAAAAGAAUUGUGAUUUUUGCUCUUGCAGGAUAUAACAAGAUCAUCAAGCGAUACUUUAUAUUUACUGGGCCGAUACGAGCUUGAAUGAUACUUGAGAAAAGUUUCUCCCACCUAAGGAUGUAAGCAAUACUUGUGUUAUAUUAUGCUUAUAUACCUAUUUGAUAUUUUAUCUUGAAAGGUAACCAAAUGGGAAGAUAAGUCCGUUCCAAAAGAAUGGCUUGUAUGUAUCCAUGAAUUAUUAAUGCAAAUUUUACAGAUUGCAAGUUGGAUACAUUGAUAAUACACUGCACAGAUUAAUGUACCAUAAGAACAGAAUAUGGGUAUAGCAGUGAUCAAUAUGAUGCACGCCUGUUGCGUAGCAAAUGAUAUGGAUUGAAGUCCCGAAAGGACAAUCCUUUGACAUGUCAAUAUUGAUAUUAUGCACGCCUAAUGCGUAGCAAAUUAUAUGGGUUAAAGUCCCAUAAUAUGGGUUAAAGUCCCAGAAAUUAAUUGACAUGUAUGUAUUAAUCUGUGGCAUGCCUGCAGCAUGACAGAUAUAUGGGUGCACGCCUGUUGCGUAGCAAAUGAUAUGGAUUGAAGUCCCGAAAGGAAAAUCCUUUGACAUGUCAAUAUUGAUAUUAUGCACGCCUAAUGCGUAGCAAAUUAUAUGGGUUAAAGUCCCAUAAUAUGGGUUAAAGUCCAAUAAAUUAAUUGACAUGUAUGUAUUAAUCUGUGGCAUGCCUGCAGCAUGACAGAUAUAUGGGUUCUAAAUGUUCCAACUCCCUAAAUGGAGAUUAUCCACGCCCUACUAUAAAAUAACGCUCCAUUGGAGGUUAUAAUCCACAUUCUCACACAAUAAAAGCCCCCUGCAGUGGCUUGGGUACCCAAAAGCAAAGAAAUGCUUAUAAUUGAUGCACGCGCAUGCAAAUGAGAAUGAUGGGAUCAUGAAUUGAGGAAUGACAAUUUUUGGUUUUGGAGUAGCUACUCAAAUCAUCAAUGGGCUGUGUUGAUUGGAACCACGUUCAAUUAUUAAAUGUCGACAAUAUCAUUGGCCAAAAUGGAACGAGGUAAUUCCAUUAUAAAUGGGAAUGAACGUGAAAGAACAAACCCACAAUACGAACCCCAAAAUUUGUUAAUACUGAAUUUAUACUUGGGUGUUCGGAAUAAAAGGGAAUAUACCUACUUUGUAUGACACACUGUUUUCUAGCAGAAACAAGGAAUGUUGGGUUUUCUCCAUAUUUACAGAUUCAAUUGUGCCCCCCCUUAUUACACAAUUACGGAGACCAACAUAUUAUCUUUAAGGGUUAUUAAAUGAACGGAGCAUAUCGCCAGAAGCGAUUCCCUAAAGAUGUAUAAAUAGCUGGGUUAAAGCUAUAUAAUGUGUCAUAAAGUUUAAUCCCCUUUUUAAACAAAAUCCGUUGAGAGGAUUGACAUUGCAUAAAGCAAGUCCCUAAAGGACAUGUGCUUGAAGCACAAAAUUUGUACUCAAGAUUAAUAUGCAUAAAUUACCUCAGUGAGUACAUUGAUUAUAAUGUGAUUGCAACACAUUAAAGCUUCUGCAGAAUUCACGAAAUAUUUGUCUCGAUUGAGCAUUAUGCCAACGAGAUUCUUGCUUAUACUAAGAAAGUAUUGAAGCAUUUUUAUGAGUCUUAUCCGUUGGUCCUUAAAUGUUUUUCCGGAAGUAUACUAGACCAGAUAGAGCUCAGCUCCACACUGUACUCUUUUUCCUUCAUCCAGGUUUUUAUCCCAUUGGGUUUUUCCUGGUAAGGUUUUAACGAGGCAGUGUAGCUCAAAGGUUUAGGGUAUACUAUGAAAAUUUCUAUGGUCGCUUACUGGACAGAAGCUAGUCCUAAAUUUUUCAGGGGGAGAUAUUCAUCAGGGGGAGCAUGGUUUUAAUAAAGACCUUCAUACACUGUACUCUUUUUCCUUCAUCCAGGUUUUUAUCCCACUGGGUUUUUCCUGGUAAGGUUUUAACGAGGCAAUGUCACUCAAGAGUGACUCACAGAAGCAGUGUCAACUACGAUAUUCAGAAAGGUGAACAACAGUAUGACUUAAAGAUAUUUUGCCAAGCAUCAGGGGGAGCGCGCUAUCAAUAAAGAUCUUCAAACACUGUACUCUUUUUCCUUCGUCCAGGUUUUUAUCCCACUGGGUUUUUCCUGGCAAGGUUUUAACGAGGCAGUGUCGCACGCGCGUCAAUAUACAUAGAAUUUAAUAUUACACAUGAUUAUGUACUCUUUUUCCCUUUGACCAGUUUUUGUCACACUGGGUUUUUACUGGCAAGGUUUUUAACGAGACAUAUUCUGUAUCAUUUGUGGUCUCCAAGGGGGAGUGUUGUAAAUGUGGAGCCCAAAUGCCUAUAAAUAGGGCUUCUCCAUUUGUAACAAAACACACAAUAAGAAGAGAAAAACUUCUCUCUCUCUCUCCAUCUAAAUUCUCUGUCAAUUCCCUCUCCAAUUCCUCUUGAUUUAUAACAAGUUGUAUAUUUUUUUUGGCCUAUUGAGUAAACUAUUGCGUACAAAAGUACUAAAUUGAAAUGAGUGGUUUUUUCCCAUAAAUGUAGUAUAAUUUUACUAUUAUAUUCACAUUAAAAUACAAUUUUGACAAGUAUUGAUUUGUGGUGAGGGGUCCAUAGGCUUAAGUAUAGCAAUUUUUCUUUGCAUUUGUUACCACAUCCAAUAUAUACAUUCAAAAGGGUUAAAUAAAUUGGAGGGGCCAAGGCCAUCCCAGGCCUUAGUACAGCUCCGCCCCUGUGUCCAGAGAUUAAGGUACGGGCUCCAUUUGCUUCUGUGGCUAUUUCUCCGGAACAUGUUGCACAGGCGAUGAGUUUUUCUCAAAUACUUCUUUCUGACUUCGUUCUCUUCUCUGUAUAGUUUUGCUGGAUAUAAUUCAGUAGAAAUGCUAGCUUUAUAUUGGCCCCUUUUUUUUUCUUCUCAUUUCCUGGAAAUAUAAAUCUCGUGCAAGCUUUACUGGUCCUUUUCUCUCCUUUCCCUUCUUUUUGUUUAAUUAAGCAUAUACAGAAUCAAGAUAUUCAUGUGGUAAAAACUACAAGAGUUCUUUUGUUUACCUUGUAAAGAGAGUAAGUGGGUGUCCAAUUUGAACCAAAAAAAUUUCAUUUCCCUGUUUCACAUAAAAUUGAAAAACUGAAAUUAAUUACCAAACAACUUUUUUCAGUUAUUUUUUUUAAAAUUGAAAAUAAAAAACUGAUGGUUAUCAAACGAACCCUUAAUAUUUUCGUUUCGUCUUGUUUGAGUGGGAUCCCUUUACAUAUUUUAUUGGUUUGUUUUGUAAUUCUUUGUCAUAGGGUUCAGGGAUUAUGAUUAUGAUUUCAUCUUUUCCAGUUAAGGGAUUAUGAUUUCGAAACUUGAUGCUUACCUUUAUUUAUUUUUUAUGUUGAGUCUGAAAAAAGAAAAUGAUUUGGUUGUAAAUUUGUGAAUAAUAGGAUGGUAUGAAAAAAGCUCAAAAAAAAAUUAGAACCCGUUUGAUGACUAUUUCGGUAUUUUAUUUUUAGUUUCUAUUUUUCAAUUCAAAGAAAUUGAAAGCAUAAAACUUCUUUGGUUAUUAAUUUUAAGGCCUCGUUUGAUAACCAUUUUAUUUUAUUUUCUGUUUUUUUAUUAUUAUUAAAGAAAAACAGAAAACAUAUUUGAUAAAACUUUUCAUUGUCAGAUUUCAAAGUUACCCUUUCUAAUUCUCAUGAAUCAAACAUUUUCAAAUAAUCCAUUCUCUAAAACAAACAGUGCUUAAUAAGUAUUGACAUCUGAAUCAAUACUUGAUGAACUAUCUAAGACAACAUGCAAACUACGUUCAUUAGAUAUAUGCUUUUGACCUCAUUAUUCUUGUAGUGACCUACAAUUAGAAUAGUACACUACAAUUAGAAUAGUAUAUUAUCAUUUUGCAUGUCGAAACGGUUUUCGAUUUAUCUAAUUUUUUGUAAGGAUGAUUUAUGAAUGAAGACCUAAAAAAUAGAGAGUUUGGAUCAUUGAAAAAAAUAUUCGUAGAGUACCUUAAAGGGUGUCCCUUAAAUAAAAUUAUUUGAAGGAUCCUCAAUAUAUAUAUAUGUACAUGAUGAGUAGUAUAUAUAUUAUAACAUAAUCAAAGCCAAUUGUUAGAUUUCCUUCAUGAUUAUAACACAUUAUAUAAUAAUUCAUGUUUCUUCAAUAGAUUCUACAAAGGGCCACUUGUUAGAUUUGUAGGCUCACUCCGCAUUGUAUUUCAUUAAUCUAAAUUCUACAUUCUAGAUAAUCAUUCAAAAAUCAUAUCUACAAAAAAUCACUUGAAUCCGAUAUUGUUUGACCACUCAAUUGUGUUAUUGAAAUUUUAGUACUUUCUUGAAGCACUGUGUUCUUUGAUUUUGUAGGAUACAAUUGGAUGUCGAAACGGUUUCCGAUUUAUCUAAUUUUUUGUAAAGAUGACGAGUAGUGUAUAUUCUUUUAAAAACAACAUAAAAAUAGUGGUAUGUUGUAAAAUAAAGAAGGUGGAGUCCAAAAUGAUGCUUACCUAUAAAGCUUCCCCCCCACUUGUAUUGGUAGGGAGAAGGUGGAGUCCAAAAUGGUAAUGAUGAUGCUUGCCAACACAAGAAGAAUGAUUAGGCAACCACUUUGUUCUGCCUACAAAUAAGGCUUCCUCCUCACUUGUAAUAUAUAGAACAUAGAUACAGAUAUGUGAAGAACUCUCUAUUCAAUAAGAGAUCAGUUUCUCUCUAUCUCAAUUCUCUCCAUUUUCUCUCUUGAUUUAUAACACGUUAUCAGCACGAAGCUCUAACCAGCUGAGUUUUCUGAUAAAAACCAGAGACCAAAAUCAACCGGAAUUCUCAGCUUCUCAAUCCCAAUCCUUGGAGGGGAAAUAUGGCUGAGCGGCAGAGCCGAAGAAAUAUCAAACACAUAAACGAGCCUGAAAAACAAAGAGAGUCUGCAGCCAGCAAUCCAAAGCAGAGAAAGAUCUCUGCUGGCGUCCUUGCCCGACUUGCCGUCCGUCACGUCAAAGACGUUGUAUUGGAUCAGCUGCUGUGCUGUUAGCUCCAUGGUUGCGUCCACACAGAUGCUAAAGGAGCAAAUGACAAGAAGCUCACAACUUGCGGGUCCUGGGCUUAGGCCAGCAGGUCAUAGUCCUAGCCCACGGCUUCGGCACCGACCAGUCGGUCUGAAAGCACCUCGUCCCCCACCGACUACAGAGUCGUCAUGUACGACAACAUGGGCGCCGGAACGACAAAGCCCGAAUACGCCGACUCGGUCACCUUCCCCACAGGCCGAGCAGAGUCCUCUGCCUUCUAAGAUCCUACCACCAAGCCUGCUUACAGCUUCAACAACCUGUCCUCUCAGUUUUUUGUGACAACAAACAGCCACCUCUUGUGAAAUGUGGUCAAGAGGGACAAUAUCCUAUCUGAUGAUGAAAGCUCAUCUUUUGGUCUGCGAAGCUUUUUAUGCACAGAAACAGGUGGACCUUGCUGGGCUUCAUGUUCUCCGGGAUGACGAAGAGCGGCGCGGAGAAGAUCAGGCCCGUCCAAGUGUCGGGCUGGGACUGGAAGUACAUGAGCAUGGUGGCAGCGCCGCCCAUGGACUCGCCGAAGAGGAAGGCAGGGAGGCGGAGGUAUAAUUCGUUGCGGCGCACGUGGAGGAAGAAGGAGAGUGAAGCUUCCUCUGACCAAUGCUCCCGAAGAAAAGCUUUUAACUCAGGAGCUACAGCCUCAUCAUCAGACCGAGCAAUACUGUCUGCAACAGCAUAAGUAGCUGCUGGAUCACCCAAGAAGUCGGAAUGGAGAAGAAAUGCAACACCAUCAAGAGAAAGACCACCACCUGUCAGAUGCGGCACAUGCGCACAUGCAACCUAAUAGUCUCCUGACCACUUGGCACAUGCGCACAUGCACACACGGUUUUGUGGCUACUAAUCUUGGUUAAACUGAAAACAGAUGCCUCCAUAUAUUUCUUUACGAUCAGAUGUGGGCCAUAUCUAUGAAUUGUUUUGUAGAUUGAUAUCUUUGAUGAUGGAUAUCGGUGGAGGAAGUAUGGUCAAAAAGUAAGCCACUAAAAGUGGUUGAAAGGCCGGUGUUGAUAUGAUGCAAGGCACUGGAAAUCUAGUAAGCAUGCCCAAAAAGUGACCCUAUGCUGGAGUAUAUUUUGAAAAGUGGGAUACACAGCAAGUUGAUCAGCCUAGUGGAAAGCAAAGGAUUAUUGCCAGGGAUAUGAACACCCACCGAAAUAAAGGGAUAAGUAUUCUGCCUCACUCUAUUUCCUUCAAUUAAAUACAUUAUUAAAAUAUCUACAGAAUUUAAUACUCAUGACCAGUGUAGAUUGCAGGUGGAAAGAAGAAAAAGCCAACGUGAUAUAUCUAGCUUUCCACUAAUAUAUCAGUAUAAUAAUAUUACACUAUUUAAUUGUGGUGUUGAUAAGAACCCACCAAUAAUUGCCUUUAUUUUUAUUUAAAAGUAUGGAGCAGAAUUAGUGCCCAUACAAGCACGUUUAAUUUACCGCACAUUUAAUUUUAUUUAAAGUAUGGUGCGGGAUUAACGUCCAUACAACAAGCAAUUUAAUUUAUGAAAUUAAUUUACCGCACAUUUACAUUUAUUUAAAAGGGUGGUGCGGGUUUAUCGUCCACGCCUUUACUUUUAUUUAAAUGUAUGGUGCGGGUUUAUCGUCCAUACCAGUAAUUUAUUUACCAGCAAUCUAUUUUAUGGAUUAAAUGUGUUGUAUGAUGAGUUUUUACAGUAAGCAGAUCAGGACCAGAAGUUCCUUGAUCCUCAUCAUACAAUUACAUCAGGACUUGAAGAUCCUUGAUGAUGAUGUUAAUAUGAGAGCUGGCAGUCUCUCCGGUACUAUAUUUGUAAACAUGUUAUUGGACUUGAGGGUCCUUGAUCCUUGACAUGUAAAUAAGGAACUCGGGUUCCUUAAUGAUGUAACAGUACCGUAUUGGUUCAUAAUGCUGUACACUUGGAUGAUAACUGUACUAGCAAAUGUACUGUACACAUAAAUAGUGCACUAUAUAUGAAUAGUGAUGUAUGCAUAAAUAUUUACCAUUUCGGGUAAACUAUCACCAUUCAAAAGGGACCUACAGUUCCUUAAACUCAUGGAUGAGCAAUUAAAUGAGAUGCCAGAAGUUCCUCAAAAUAUGGACAAUUAUGUAAGGACUUGAAGUCUAGAAAUAUGUACAGAAAAUUGUAAAAAUGUCCAUACCAUGAGAAUAUGUGAUUUUGGCCCGAAUUUCAAAAUCUAAGGGGAUUGAAUGUCCAUACCAUAAGAAUAUGUGAUUUUUGGCCUAAAAUUCAAAAUCUAACAGUGUUGAGAACCUGAAGUUCCAACAAUUAAAUGGACAACCCUUGAGGUAUUAUUGCAAAUUGUGGUACGCCACAUAUCUCUUUGGCAUAAGAGAAUGAUGAAUUGAGGCUCCCCACAUAUUUUGUUAUAUCUGGGCCGGAAGCUCAUGAACCCAAAUAUAUGAGAUAUUAGCGUGGCUUUUACUCAAUUCAUAUUUCAUGUCCAUUUUGAAAAGGGCAAAUAAAUUCUGAGUUUUGUGUUUAGCCCAGGCCAAAAAGUUCUGGGCUCCCAUACGUUGAAAUAUGAAAUUUGGGAGAGUCGAUGUGGUUAUUUGAACCUAUAAGGCACAAGGUUCCAAACCGUCAUUUUGAAAAGACGUAAAAACCACAGGUGCAAAUUUUAAGAAUGUGCGCAAUUAUUAUAACAGGAAAGGAGCAAGUUGAAACGCAGUUGCUCCAAUCAAGUUUUGCAAAGGCAAUAUCUAUAGGAAGAAAUAUGGCUACAGUUUCCAGGAUCCCAAUAUUAUCUCAGAUGCCCAUAUUAUCUUUUUCUUUCCCAGAUUCCAAAACUUCACGUGGCCUCCAUUAAAUGUUUGUCGGCACUUUCGGCGUUUUCAAAGUUUUAUUUUCAUCAAAAACCGAUCUUGCUUUACGGAUUUCACGGAGCUACUUUUUCAAAAGUACCCCGAGAAUCUCGCAAUUUUCUUAUGGUUAAUUUGAAAUUCACCGGUUCUACCUAUUCAUUAUAUUUGUGUAUAAAUGUGUUACUAACGAAAUUUUCUUUGCAGAAGACAUCUAGUUUUUCUCCAUACCUAGUGAUGCGAUACCUACUUGUUUUUCUAAUCAGUGAGCACUUAAUAUGCCCGAGAAGCAAGACUAUCUCUGAUCAUCCAUUCAGGAAGCGAGACUAUCCCUGAUCACGUUUCCGCUACAUCAGGAAACUGUGAAGGCGAUCUUAUGCUCUAAUCUCUGGAAGUCCUUCUAGACUAGGAGAUAUGAGAGCUUAUUGUCUGCUCCCACCAGCUUCCUUCCCUGAUUGCUUACCUUCUUUUUUUGCAUUUUUUCUCUUUCUGUAACUCUCUGAGGAUUAUUUGUUUUUGACAGAGAAAAGAGUUGUGAUUUUACUAUUGCAGGAUAUAACUAGAUCAUCAAGCGCUACAUUUACUGGGCCGAUACAAGCUUGAAUGAUACUUGAGAAAAGUUUCUCCCACCUAAGGAUGUAAGCAAUACUUGUGUUAUUUUUUGCUUAUAUACUUAUUUGAUAUUUUAUCUUGAAAGGUAACUAAAUGGGAAGAUAAGUCCGUUCCAAAAGAAUGGCUUGUAUGUAUCCAUGAAUUAUUAAUGCAAAUUUCACAGAUUGCAAGUUGGAUACAUUGAUAAUACACUGCAUAGAUUAAUGUACCAUAAGAACAGAAUAUGGGUAUAGCAGUGAUCAAUAUGAUGCACGCCUGUUGCGUAGCAAAUGAUAUGGAUUGAAGUCCCGAAAGAACAAUCCUUUGACAUGUCAAUAUUGAUAUUAUGCACGCCUAAUGCGUAGCAAAUUAUAUGGGUUAAAGUCCCAUAAUAUGGGUUAAAGUCCCAGAAAUUAAUUGACAUGUAUGUAUUAAUCUGUGGCAUGCCUGCAGCAUGACAGAUAUAUGGGUUCUAAAUGUUCCAACUCUCUAAACAGAGAUUAUCCACGCCCUACUGUAAAAUAACGCUCCAUUGGAGGUUAUAAUCCACAUUCUCACAUAAUAAAAGCCCCAUGAAGUGGCUUGGGUACCCAAAAGCAAAGAAAUGCUUAUAAUUAAUGCAUGCGCAUGCACAUGAGAAUGGUGAGAUCAUGAAUUGAUGAAUGACAAUUUUUGGUUUUGGAGUAGCUACUCAAAUCAUCAAUGGGCUGUGUUGAUUGGAACCACGUUCAAUUAUUAAAUGUCGACAAUAUUAUUGGCCAAAAUGGAAUGAUGUAAUUCCAUUAUAGAUGAGAAUGAACGUGAAAGAACAAACCCACAGUACGAACCCCAAAAGAUGUUAAUACUGAAACUUAUACUUGGGUGUUCGGAAUAAAAGGGAAUAUACCUACUUUGUAUGACACAAUGUUUCUGGCAGAAACAAGGAAUGUUGGGUUUUCUCCAUAUUUACAGAUUCAAUUGUGCCCCCCCCUUAUUACACAAUUACGAAGACCAACAUAUUAUCUUUAGGGGUUAUUAAAUGCACGGAGCAUAUCGCUAGAAGCGAUUUCCUAAAGAUGUAUAAAUAGCUGGGUUAAAGCUAUAUAAUGUGUCAUAAAGUUUAAUCCCUUUUAAACAAAAUCCGUUGAGAGGAUUGACAUUGCAUAAAGCAAGUCCCUAAAGGACAUGUGCUUGAAGCACAAAAUUUGUACUCAAUAUUAAUAUGCAUAAAUUACCUCAGUGAGUACAUUGAUUAUAAUGUGAUUGCAACACAUUAAAACUUCUGCAGAAUUCACGAAAUAUUUGUCUCGAUCGAGCAUUAUGCCAACGAGAUUCUUGCUUAUACUAAGAAAGUAUUGAAGCAUUUUUAUGAGUCUUAUCCGUUGGUCCUUAAAUGUUUUUCCGGAAGUAUACUAGACCAGAUAGAGCUCAGCUCCACACUGUACUCUUUUUCCUUCAUCCAGGUUUUUAUCCCACUGGGUUUUUCCUGGUAAGGUUUUAACGAGGCAGUGUCGCUCAAGAUUGACUCACAGAAGCAGUCUCAACUACGAUAUUCAGAAAGGUGAUCAACAGUAUGACUUAAAGAUAUUUUGCCAAGCAUCAGGGGGAGCGUGCUAUCAUUAAAGAUCUUCAAACACUGUACUCUUUUUCCUUCGUACAGGUUUUUAUCCCACUGGAUUUUUCCUGGCAAGGUUUUAACGAGGCAGUGUCGCACGCGCGUCAAUAUACAUAGAAUUUUAUGUUACACAUAAUUAUGUACUCUUUUUCCUUUGACCAGUUUUUUUUUUUUGUCCCACUGGGUUUUUACUGGCAAGGUUUUUAACGAGGCAUAUUACAUAUCAUUUGUGGUCUCCAAGGGGGAGUGUUGUAAAAUAAAGAAGGUGGAGUCCAAAAUGAUGCUUACCUAUAAAGCUUCCCCCCCACUUGUAUUGGUAGGGAGAAGGUGGAGUCCAAAAUGGUAAUGAUGAUGCUUGCCAACACAAGAAGAAUGAUUAGGCAACCACUUUGUUCUGCCUACAAAUAAGGCUUCCUCCUCACUUGUAAUAUAUAGAACAUAGAUACAGAUAUGUGAAGAACUCUCUAUUCAAUAAGAGAUCAGUUUUUCUCUAUCUCAAUUCUCUCCAUUUUCUCUCUUGAUUUAUAACAUGGUAUUUCUUUUCAUUUUAUUAAAGGUAAGAAAUUCAAAACUUAUCUCAAAUUGACUUUAUUGAAAAUUUAAAAUUCUAACUAAACUCCACAGCACACAUGUUCCUUCACUGAUGACGUAGGAAACUUAACAUCCCUCCCUUUGAAGUGAAUUUAUCAAUCUACUUCUAUUUCCAUGGCCUAUAUCAAAUUGCAUUAAACAUAGUCAAUAAACGUCAUAAUUUUGUGAUCGUACUCGCCUGUGGUCCUCUUUUCCUUUCAAAGUACCUGAAGCCAACCUUCCCUAAGGACACCCAGACCCAAUCGAGAUAGAAAAAGGCCGCCCUAGCCCAUAUAACAACCAUACAGCGGAUUAGAGAGAGAAAAUAAAAUAUCGUUUCAGCCCCUCCUUACCCAGAGAAACCUUUACACCCUUCCAAGUCCAUCUUUAUCGCUUUCCCAUUGAGUCACAAACCCACGUAACUACGCGCAGUGAUUUAACUUUCAACAUUUGUGUAUAUUAAAUGUGAGACGAAAGGAUAUCUCGCCAAUGUGGGACUAAUAAUUGUCAUUUGGCAAGAGAAGCCCAAUUUAUUUUCUACUAAAGAUUGAGGUGAAACUCAGAUUGUUUCAACCAUAAUGAUUAAACUUGUCAAAACUCAACAUCAAAACCGACAUGAUUAUCUUCUCAUCUUUAAUUGACAAUCACUCAUCUUCACUUAUUUUAGAAUGCGUUGCUUCGCAAAAAUCAAAACCUGGAGAGUUUGCAACUCCAACUUUGGCAAUUUAUUUCUUGGGUUUUUGCUUACACAAUCUCUAAUUUUUUGCUGUGCGGUGGCGGCUCCAUUUUAGGCCAUAUCGCUGCUUGUCGGUCAAUCAUUAGUUAUGUAAGUUCAGCUCAGUUACGAACCAAUUCCACCCCUAUCUAAAGAGGUUAGUAUUUUUAUGUUACACUUGUAUUGGUACUUUUAGUCGUAUUGAAACUACAACACAAUAUCUAGUAUGCGUAGAAUUAAAAAUUAAAUUAUUGAGGAGUUAUGUUAUGCUUAGAUAAGUAAAAAGGAUGAACAUUUUACUCUGAGAUUUUCCAACUCCAACUUCUGGUAAUUUGCUUCUUGGGUUUUCGCUUACCGGAUUUCUAAUUUUAAUUGAGGAAGUGAACUAGCUAGGAAACCUUAACAAGAAGCAUAAAACCAUUACAUAAUUAUUUUUAAAUAAAAAGAGCCCUCAUCUCACAUCAAGAAAGUACACAUCAAGUUUUUAAAUUCUCUCACAAUUAAUCCUUAAAAGUUCAAACUUAAUUUUUGAAAUUUGGGUUUUUUUAAAAGUUCGUUUAUUAAACCUCUAAUUAGGAAACCCCUUCAAAACCAAACAAAAUUCAUUUAGAAAUUAAAGAGAAAAAAACACCAUAUUCAAAAAUUCCCAAGAAAGAAAAACCAUUAUAUCAAUAAAAAAUUACAUUUUAUUAAACCUCUAAUUAUUAACUUGUAUUAGGAAAACCACAUACACAAAAAGAUGGACGUCGGGGGUUGAAGAGCCCCCACGGUGGGUGGCUACAUGAGGGGUGCCGGUGAGCUACUCUGGAGGGAGUAAUGCAGUAAGAGUGUCUUCUCGCUGCUCUGGUAAGCCAACGAGCUUUACAGCAUGCUGCAAAUUACAUCUUCCAUCUUCGCAAGGCGGAAGAAUAUUCUUGACGGCCUGCACUUCAGGGUUGGCCUAGCCGUUAGGGUUGUCCUCAGGUUCCUAAUUCCCUUCCAAACCAUCCUUAUUGCCCCCACAAUGGGUCACAUGCUCGCGUGACUGAGCUCGGCGUUUCUAAAGCCAAUACUUGGGUAUAUUAGGUGCUUAACUGUUGGCUAUUCUAUCGAUGUGGGAUUGUGAGUAUAUGAAAUAUGAGUUCUCUUUCUUCAUGUAUUUUGAAUGAAAACCUUUGCAUCUCUUUGGUCAUAUCUAUUAAACAUGAAAUACAAAGAUGAUUUUUCUAACAGUUUUUGCGUAUUUCAACUAGAUUAUGAACACCAAACAGAUUGAACAAAAUGGAGAAAUCUAUUGCUUAUUUUGUUUGGUUUCAAACUAUACAAGAUGGUUGCCAAGAGCAGUUUCGAGUGCCAUUCUCAAUGAAGAUCCUGUGCACGUAGAACAAUCCAAAUCUUAUGUUUUUGCCUCAAGAAUUCUGGCGUUUGGAUUUUUAUACUUCGGUGUGUCUUAUGAAGGUCCUCGCCGAUCCUCUUUUAGUAGUGCUUAAACCCUAGAAUGCUAUGCUUCUAUUUUAUUUUAUUUUAUUGUUCGAAAAAUGCAAUGCUUCUAAGGACAAGCGAUAUUGAAAGCACAGCAGGAAAACAAGAAUGCAAAAGGUUUCACUUUCAAUAUGGAAUUUUUAUGAAAAUCUAGAUAGUGACAACAUAUUAACACUAACCUGAUUUGGACAUGGUGAUGAUGUUGAUAGCACAACAGGAAAACCAGAGAGUUCUUCGUUUAGAAGCCGAGCCUUAUAGCAGUGAUUCUAGAUGGGGUGAAUUUCUGUAAAGCUUAAGUAUUUCAAGUUUAUGAGGGAACCCUCUAUUUAUAUGCAUCUCUCUAGGAGUCUUGCCCAUCAAGAAACUCCUAGAGAUAACCUUUAUGUGAUAGGAUUAUCUUCUCAUCUUUAAUGACAAUCACUCAUCUUUACUUCUUUUAGAAUGCGUUGCUUCUCCAAAAUCUAAAACCAUGGAGAGUUUGUAACUCCAACUUUUGGCAAUUUACUUCUUGGGUUUUCGCUUACACAAUUUCUAAUUUCAGGUGGUGCGGUGGCGACUCAUUUUUAGGCCAUUUCGGCACUUGUCAGUCAGUCACUAAUCACGUAAGUUUGGUUUGUUUACCAAACCAAUUCCACACCUAUUUGAAGGGGAUAGUAUUUUUAUGUUACACUUUUAUUGGUACUUUUAGUUGUAUUGAAACUACAACACAAUGUCUAUUUGUGUAGAAUUAAAAAUUAAAUUAUUGAGUUAUGUUGUACUUAGAUAAGUAAAAAGGAUGAAAAUUGUACUAAAAAGGAUUUUCCAACUCCAACUUUUGGUGAUUUGCUUCUUGAGUUUUCGCUUAUCCGAUUUCUAAUUUUAGCCCUCUAAUCAUUUGUCUCUCUCAAAUUUAAUUGAGGUAGUUAACUAUCAAGGAAACCUUAACAAGAAGCAUAAAACCAUUACUUAAUUAUUUUUAAUAAAAAGAGCCCUCAUCUCACAUCAAGAAAGCACACAUCAAGUUUUUAAAUUCUUUCGCAAUUAAUCCUUAAAAGUUCAAACCAAACAAAAUUCAUUUGGAAAAUUAAAAAUUACAGCAAAUUCAAAAAAAAAAAAAUUCCCAAGAAAAGAAAAACCAUUAUAUAUAACUAAAACCCCUUUUAUAAGAUCAUCACACCAAUUUUAUUAUUUUUUCAAUUAGUUGUUAAUAUUUUAUUACACAUAAUGUGGACCCUACGAAUGACAUAUCAUCACUUAACUGAUUUCGCUACGAUCAAAGUAAUGACGGAACCAUAUAGCAAUAAAUUUCCAAUGUGGGGUACUAUAUUAUUAAAAUUGAAAGGGCAUGGAUAAAUAACAUACCUAACGGCUUAAGGAUACAAUUGCUUGGUAACUUAAUUUUAUGUUCGUUUAUUAAAACUAACCCACAGCUGUAAAGACGUCUCUCAUCUUCAUCAAGGAGGAAGUAACUCUAUAGCCCUGCCCUUCAGGGCUGGCCUAACCGAAACGGCCUGCACUUCAGGGCUACCUCUUUCUCUUACUACCCAAGUGCGUGAUGUAACCUGUAACUCCUUUGCAUCCAGAUUGGCACGCCGACAAGGGCCCACUGUGCCCCUCAUGUGCGCGCACAUGCCGUCCGCAGGCUCCUACCCCUUCCUAACCAUCCUUAAUGCCCCCACAUUGGGUCACAAACUCACAUGACUGAGCUCAGCACUUCUCAAACCAAGACUUGGGUAUAUUAGGUGCUUAACUUUUCUCUAUUUUAUCGAUGUGGGAUUGUGAAUACAUAAAAUCUGAGUUAUCUUUCUUCACGUAUUUGAAUGAAAAAGCUUUGCAUCUCUUUGGUCAUAUCUAUUUAACAUGAAAUAGAAAGAUGAUUUUUCUAACAGUUUUUGCGUAUUUCAACUAAGUUAUGAACACCAAACAGAUUGAACAAAAUGGAGAAAUCUAUUGCUUGUUUUGUUUGGUUUCAAACUAUACAAGAUGGUUGCCAAGAGCAUUUUCGAGUGCCAUUCUCAAUGAAGAUCCUGUGCACGUAGAACAAUCCAAAGAGUUGAUUGAUUUGCAGAGUCCAAAUCUUAUGUUUUUGCCUCAAGAAUUCUGGGGUUGGGGAUUUAUACUUUGGCCUUCAGCUUCGACUAGAUAAACAAGUUUAUUGUUGACGCACCAACUUCCCCAAAUAUCCAAUUUGAAGAAAGAAAUUUUCAAAGUCAAUACUCAGUCUCCUCUGAUAAACUUUAUGAAUGGAAUAUUGAUGGUCUGUCUGAACAAGAAAUUAUGAAUAAAUUACAACAUAUGUUUACGGUCGCCAAUAGUUACAUUACUAACCAUAACCUAAAACAGUCAGAAAUAGUACCUCUCCUAGAAAUAGGAUUCACAAGAACCUUACGUAUAAAAAUAAAUUUUUUAAAAAAGAAAAAGAUAAAAUAAAUUAUUUAACAAAUAAAAAUGGAUAGAAUAAAUAAGAUAGCAGAGUAAAUUCAACCAAAAACAAAAGCCAUAAAAUAUGUAAAAAGAAGAGCACAAAACAAAAACCAUAAAAUAUGUAAAAAGAAGAUGCACAAAAGGAUGGAGGUUGGGUUAUAGAGCGGGCCUGGAGCCUAACAGAGGGUGCCGGCACGUGGAACCCAAGCACAGACAAACGGAGCGCCAUCUGCUGCUCUAAUAAGCCAGCAUUCUUUGUUGCACAAAGACGUUUGAUCUUUUCCACUUCGUUGUCAGCCUCGGAAGAUCUCUACCUAAUUACAGGCAAAGCGGCAUUUUUGCAAAGCCACCUCUCCCACUCUCCAAUUCUGCGACGGGGGUUAAGAACCCACAAUCUCGCCCCAACCCCAAAGCAUCUCUGGCCAAAUUUGUGCCUCGCAUAUAGACGUCUGACACCGAUUUCAUGCGGACGACGUUACACACUCUUCCCUUCCAUGCCAUCCUUAUUGCCCCCACUUUGGGUCACAAGUCAGCGUGACUUGACUCGGCAAUGGACGUUCGUAGAACUUGUUAUAUAAAUAGCACCACCGAAGUAUAAUUUGUCGAUGUGGGACAAAAUUGCAUGGCCUGGCGAGUUUUUUUGAUUUUUUUUUCCCACUUGAAAAAGAGUAAGUGGGUUUGUUGUCCAGAGAUUAAGGUACGGGCUCCAUUUGCUCCUGUGGCUAUUUCUCCGGAACAUGUUGCACAGGCGAUGAGUUUUUCUCAAAUACUUCUUUCUGACUUCGUUCUCUUCUCUGUAUAGUUUUGCUUGAUAUAAUUCAGUAGAAAUGCUAGCUUUAUAUUGGCCCUUUUUUUUUCUUCUCAUUUGCUGGAAAUAUAAAUCUCGUACAAGCUUUACUGGUCUUUUUCUCUCCUUUCUCUUCUUUUUGUUUAUUUGUUUUUUAAAUAUAAAAAUAAUAAUUAAGCAUGUACGGAAUCAGGAUAUUCAUGUGGUGAAAACUAGAAGAGUACUUUUGUUUCCCCUGUAAAGAGAGUAAGUGGGUGUCCAAUUUGACCCCAAAAAAAUUUCAUUUCCCUCUUUUCACAUAAAACUGAAAUUAAUUAUCAAACAACUUUUCUCAGUUAUUAGUUUUAAAAAAUAAAAAUAAAAAACUGAUAGUUAUCAAAAGGAUUCUUAAUAUUUUUGUUUCGUCUUGUUCUGAAUGAGAUACCUUUACAUAUUUUAUUCGUUUGUUUUGUAAUUCUUUGUCAUAGAGUUUAGGGAUUAUGAUUUCGCCUUUUCCAGUUAAGGGAUUAUGAUUUCGAAACUUGAUGCUUACCUUUAUUUAUUAUUUAUGUUGAGUCUGAAAAAAGAAAAUGAUUUGGUUGUCAAUUUGUGAAUAAUAGGAUGGUACGAGAAAAACUAAAAGAAGAUUAGGACCCGUUUGAUAACUAUUUCGGUAUUUUGUUUUUAGUUUUUAGUUUUCAAUUCAAAGAAAUUGAAAGCAUAAAACUUCUUUGGUUAUCAAUUUUAGGACCCGUUUUGUAACCAUUUUAUUUUAUUUUUGAUUUUCUUCUUUUUUAUUAUAAAAAAAAACUGAAAACAUAUUUGAUAAAACUUUUCAUUGUCAGUUUUCAAAAUCACCCUUUCUAAUUCUCAUGAAUCAAACAUUUUCAAACAAUCCAUUCUCCAAAACAAACAAUGCUUAAUGAGUAUUGACAUCUGAAUCAAUGCGUGUUGAUGAACUAUCUAAGACAACAUGCAAACUACGUUCAUUAGAUAUAUGCUUUUGACCUCAUUAUUCUUGUAGUGAACUACAAUUAGAAUAGUAUAUUACAAUUUUGGAUGUCGAAACGGUUUUCGAUUUGUCUAAUUUUUUAUAAGGAUGAUUUAUGAAUGAAGACCUUAAAAAUAGAGGGUUUGAAUCAUUGAAAAAAUAUUUGUAGGAUACCUUAACGGGUGUCCCUUAAAUAAAUUAUUUGAAGGAUCCUCAAUAUAUAUAUAUAUAUAUAUAUCCUUUGCAGCCUCUUCCUCUACCCUAGAACGAGACCUAGAGUUAGAGAAAGCUUUAAUUGAUUUAAAAUUGGAAUCACUGAGAAAAACUUCCCAAGUUACCCAUCCUGUUUGUGAAAAAAUUCCAGUACAAGAAGAUACUAAGUCUGAGUCCCCUGAAUCACCCACUCAAUCCGAUUUCAUAGGUAAUCAACUGAGAACACUUAAUAAAAUAUUUGUAAUUAAUUGGAAAUGACUAGAUAGUCAUUUGCAUGCCCCUGAGAAUCAAGGUAGAAGAGAUUAUUACCAUUCAAUCAUCCCUGAUAGAAUUCAAAGACAACAAAUUUUUAAUGAUUGGAAAGAAUACAUGCGCACUGCUAAAGUUGAAAUAUAUUAACUUGAUUUUGUAGAAAACCGACAUUUACCCAAUGAGUUAAAAACUUUAACCCAAGAAAAAUGGGAAAAAGUAGAUCACACUGAGAUUCUUGCUAGUCAUCCACCCGUUGAAACAAUAAUCAUUAAGCAUCAGAAAUCUAAAAUAGUCGCAUGCCCCUUUAAGAUCCCUGAUCCAGAGAAUAAAAUGAUAGUUGAACAAAAUAAUUACACCAACCAAAGUCUAGUUGUCAUAGGUAAACAAUUAGAUAAGAUAGAGACAAAAGUCGACAAGUUACUUCCAACAGAGCUCACACCUAAACAUCAUGAGAAACCCCUAGUUACAUUCCAAGAUUUAAAAUCAAAUCCAACUUUUAAGACAAAAGAAACAAUGACAAAAAUUGAGAAAAUGUUAGAAGAAUUAACGCCAGUCAAAAGAAAAGACAAAGAAAAGGUUGAAUCAAGCGUUAAAGUCCUAGGAUCCUCUGAGUCACCAUUUGUUUUCCAUAACUCCUCUAAGUCUGAAUCAAUCGUUAGUAUGGAAACAUAAACUAGUAAUAUAUCUAAAAUUGAAAAUGCGUUUAGAAAUCUUGAGUUAGAAAAUAAUCCAAAAGUCCAAAGAUUAACAAAUAGAGUCAGUCCCAAUAGUCUAACAAAAAACUGGUAUCCUAAGCCAACACCUUCUGAUAUACAAUUUGAAGAACGAAACACCUAAAGUCAGUUUUCAGUCUCUUCAGAAAAGUUAUAUGAAUGGAAUAUUGAUGGUCUUUCUGAGCAAGAAAUUAUUAAUAAACUUCAACAUAUGUCCAUGGUUGCUAAUAGUUACAUCACCAAUCACAGUUUUAGACAGUCUGAAAUUGUUCCUUUGCUAGAAACUGGUUUCACUGGAACUCUUCAUUCUUAGUGGGAUAAGCAUUUAACCCAUGAGUCUAAGCAACAUAUAAUUCAUGCAGUCAAACUUAAUGAAGACGGUCUUCCCAUUUUUGUUGAACAAAUAGGUCAAGUCAUUGAAGAUGGAGUCAACACUCUGCUAUACACAAUAGUUGAACAUUUCAUUGGAACACCCAGUAAUACUACUGCUAGGAUACAUGAUCAGCUUAGUAACUUAAGGUGCCCAAAAUUAUCUGAUUUUAGAUGGUAUAAAGAUGUGUUUAUUUCAAGAGUCAUGCUUAGAGAUGACAGUAAUCAGUCAUUUUGGAAAGAAAAAUUUGUUAAUGGUCUUCCUAAUUUAUUUGACCAUAAGAUCCGAACAACCCUUAGCAACGAACAAGGUCAUAUUGAUUGGGAUAGUUUAACAUAUGAAAAUAUAAUUAGCACGAUUAAUCAAGUCGGUAUGAGAAUGUGUGUUGAUAUAAAGAUUGGUAAACAAAUUCAGUCUGAGAGAAAUUCUGCUAAAUAUGAGUUAGGUAAUUUCUGUGAACAAUAUGGUCUAAUAUCUAUUCCCCCGUCUAGAAAGAAUAAGUCUAGUCACCACAACCGACAAUUUAGUAAACGUUGCCAUUAUUCACGCAGAAGACAAUCAUUCCAACAUAAUAAUGAGGAUAAAGAAUUUUAUAGUAAAAAGAGAUUCCCCCUUAAGAAAAACUGGAAAAAGAGUCACAGCAAAGAUAAGAAUAAUCGCUUUAAGAAAAGUACCAACAAGAGAAAAGUAAAAUGUUAUAAAUGUCAAAAGUUUGGCCACUAUGCUAAUAAUUGCAAAGUUAAAGACACAAUCAAACAAUUAAAAAUCACGGAUGAAGAUAGAGACAAACUGAUUGAAGUCCUUGAGUUAAGAAAUUUUGAGUCAAGUGAAAAUGAAACCAUGGUUAGUAGCACUGAGUCUUUAGAAUCUAUCUCCUCAGAUUCCCAAUUAAGCUCACCCAGAAUUCAAUUUGGUUGCCAAGAUAAUUGCUUUAAGUCUAAGUCAAUUAAUGUCCUUACUAAGCAAGAAGAAAUGAAGAAUUAUUAAUUGAUUUAAUAAGUAGAGUUGAAAACCCAGAAUUAAAAUCUGAGUAUUUAAGGAAAUUAAGAAAAGUCAUCAGCCAAGAAGAAUCUAAACAGUCUAAUUCCCAAAAGAUAAGUCUGAAUACAACCUUAGAGAACUUUAAUAAAAAGAAAGAAGUCACUUUAUAGGAUUUACAAUUAGAGGUAAAAUUAGUAAAAAAAAAAAUAAUUGAGAUAAAACAAAUAAGUCAAAAGUUACAAAGUGAAAAUUAUGAGAUAAAACAAGAAUUAGUUAACUUAUUAGAAAAGAGAACUUCUGAGUUUACACCAGUUAAUCCCACAAAUUCUGACGAAGAACCCUCCAAUCAGGAUCAUGUCGUCAAUUUAAUCAGAUAAGUCAAUUUUAGAAAAUGAUAUGCUAAAGUCACCAUAUUUGUAAAAAAAAUUUGAGUUAAACACAAUCGCCCUCUUUGAUUCAGGUGCCGACCUUAACUGCAUCCAAGAAGGUCUAAUCCCCACUAAAUAUUAUAAGAAAUCAAAAGAGUCUUUAAGCAUAGCCUCAGGAAAGUCACUCUAGUUAAAUUAUGAAUUCCCUAAGGCCCAUGUCUGUCAAAACAGAAUCUGUUUUAAGACCUCUUUUGUCUUAGUUAAAAAUAUAACUGACGCAGUCAUCUUAGGUUUACCCUUUAUUACCCGCUUAUAUCUUUUCCAGGUCGAACACGAUGGAGUCAUUUCCACCUGUUUAGGUGAAAAGGUUAAGUUUGAAUUCCUGAGUAAACCAGAGUUACAUAAUUUAAAAGAAUUACAGAAGAAUGCAGUCACUAAAAUAAUCAGAGUCAUUCAAAAUAAAGAUAAGCAACUAGAGUUUCUCCAGGAAGAAGUUAGAACAAAACAAAUUGAGCAACAACUUAGUCAUAAGUCAUUACAGUCACAAAUUCGAUAGUUUGAAGAAAAAUUAAAACAAAAAGUCUGUUCUGAGUUACCCAAAGCUUUUUGGGAUAGGAAACAGCAUGUAGUCAGUCUUCCUUAUGUCAAGACCUUUAGUGAGAAAAAUAUACCCACUAAAGCCAGACCAAUACAAAUGAGCAAAGAAUUAACGAAAUUUUGUAAAACUGAGAUCACAUAAGUACUUGAGAAGGGGGUCUUGUCCUGCUUUCUAUGUCCAAAAAAAUGCUGAACUAGAACGCGGAGUCCCGAGAUUAGUCAUUAAUUACAAGCCGCUUAAUACUGUCUUAGAAUGGAUUAGAUAUCCGAUUCCUAAUAAAAGAGAUCUAAUUAAUAGAUUAGAAAAGUCAGUCAUUUUUUCUAAGUUUAACAUGAAGAGUGGAUUUUGGCAAAUUCAAAUUUGUGAGUCUGAUAGAUACAAAAUUGCUUUUGUUACCCCAUUUGAUCAUUAUGAGUGGAAUGUCAUGCCUUUUGGUCUUAAGAAUGCGCCCAGUGAAUUUCAAAAUAUAAUGAAUGAGAUUUUUAAUCCUUACAGUCAUUUUUCCAUAGUCUAUAUUGAUGAUGUGCUCGUCUUUUCUGAGUCGAUAGAGCAGCACUGGAAACAUCUGCAUAAAUUCUUAUAGAUAGUCAAACAAAAUGGAUUAGUUGUUUCUGUUAAGAAAAUUAAGUUAUUCCAAAUUAAUGUGAGAUUCCUUGGGUUUAAUAUCUGUCAGUCAUAGACAAAAGUCAUCCAGUUUGCUGAUAAGUUUCCUGAUCAAAUCACAGACAAAAGUCAACUCCAAAAAUUUUUAGGAUCUCUAAAUUAUGUUUCUGAUUUCUAUAAGAAUUUGAGAAAACAAUGUAAGCCUUUAUUUGAUCGUCUCCAAAAUAAUCCUCCUCCUUGGUCAUCUAUUCAUACUGAUAUAGUCAAACAGAUCAAAGCUCAUACUAAAACACUUCCCUGUCUUGGUAUCCCUUCUGCUCAUUCAUUCAAAAUAGUUGAAACUGAUGCCUCUAACAUUGGUUAUGGAGGUAUCCUCAAACAAAGAGUUAAUUCUAGUCAAUCUGAGCAAAUCAUUCGAUUCCAUUCUGGUACUUGGUCUUAGUCCCAAAAUAAUUAUAGUACUAUUAAAAAAGAGAUAUUAUCUAUUGUACUAUGCAUUAAUAAAUUUCAGUCUGAUUUAUUAAAUCAAAAUUUUUUAAUCCGAGUUGAUUGUAAGUCUGCUAAGCAUAUUUUAGAAAAAGAUGUUCAAAAUAUUGCAUCCAAACAAAUAUUUGCAAGAUGGCAAGCUAUUUUGAGUAUCUUUGAUUUUGAUAUUGAGUAUUUGAGAGGAAGUGAGAAUUCUGUCCCUGAUUUUCUUACCAAAGAAUUUCUACAGGGAAAACAAUGGCAGAAAGAAGAAAAGAAAAAGACAAGCAAAAGAGUCAAAUUGGUCAAUCUAGUCAACCCAGUCAUCCCCAGUCACUCCGAGUCCUCCCUCCAUCAAUGAGUCAAGCCAAACAUGAGUCACCUUCGCAGAUUGUCCCUUUCCCGGGAUGUUCUCCUAUCCAAAUUAGUAACAGAUUUGCCAACCUAGGAGCCCCAGUAGGCCGAGUUCGCCCUAGUUUCCAGUCUGCCCUAAUAUCCAGUCAUGAUCCCUUCCAGGAUAUUGCUCCCAGUUGCCUCUUAUCAUAAGACGUCUCCAUACACGAUCAAAAGUAAUAUCACCUAUUCGUAAUUGAGUCAAAAUACAAUUCCAUUGCCAAUCCAAUCACCAUUGCCAAAUCCUACUUUCCACCAAAUAGUCAUUUCAUUCCUCCAGCACCAUUCAAAAAUUUAAAAUUUUACAGAGACAUCCUCCAUGAGACCCAAUCCAUCACAAUUAAAACAAUCAAAGACAGAGACAACCCCCAUAUCAUCCUUUAUCAUUCUCUUUACAUCCAUCAAAUCAUCGGUGAGAAUGAAUGGAGCAGUCACCUAUAUAAUCUCAAAGUUCUUCAGUCAGAACUUCAAUACAGUUAUUAUGAUUAUAUCGAAGCAUGGUAUUCUAUCUUGCUUCACCAAACAGUUGAUUUUAGUCAUUCAUGGUUCCUCAAUUUUGACAGCAAAUUUAAGAGUCCUUUCCCCUACUAGUUCAAUCAUUGGUGGGAAAAACAUGGUCCAGUCAUUGAUCUAUUUCCUCCUCCAAUGCAAGAUUUAGUCAAUUAUUUCACUAAUAAAAAUAAGUUUAAAGAGUCUGAGUUGUUCUUCCCAAAUCUUCUCCAUUUUGUUGCUAAGUACAAAGUCCCUUGGAUCCUCAAAUGGUCAUACCAAGUUAAUUGGGAAACUAGAGUCCUAUCCCGUCAAUUUUCAAUCAAAUGGUGGGAUAAAUUUAAACUUGAGCAUAUUGCAGAUUAUGUUUAUGCUGAUUUUCCUCCAGUCAGGAAUCCACAGCCUGAGAAAAAGUCAUCCCCUGCUACAUCACAUUCUUCUCUUCCAAUCGAGGAAAAAUCUAAGUCUGAGUUGCAGGAAAUUGCUCGCCAGCUAAUGUUACAAGCCUCACAAAUGAAUGAAGAUGAUGAUAGUGAUGCCACUCCCAAGUCACAAUCAUCCACCAGUCAACCAAAGUCAUCCCCAAAAUGCGGUGGAGUGAUUACCCUCUUGAUGAUCAAAUCCAUGGUCAAGACCCUUAUGAUUUUAGUCCUCUUGACCUCAGAGAUGAUUAAAGUUGCCCAACAUCAUGAGUCCUGAGACAGACAAAGCAUUCGGAAUCUUGGACCCGUGCUUUAACAGUCUGGUAGCCCGUGCUCCUUUAGUCCGAUUCUCCGACAAAGUAAAAUUUACAGCACUCAGUAAAAGCAAAAGCUUUCGCGUGCUUCUACAGUCACUCUCCAAGCAUCCAAUGUUGCCAGCUCAUCAAUAGUUACUUUAUUUGCUUAUUUAAGAAGGCCUUGGCCUCAGUCAUCCACGUAAUGUAAUUAGUACACUAUAAUUUUCUCAGUUUCAAAGUUCUAUCAGCAUCAAUGCUCUGAAGAACUAAGUGGUGAAACUAGAAUCUUUGUAAGUGUUUUACAUUCAAGUUAUCAAUUAUAUUUUGAGUAUUUUGAAUAAUGCUAUUUUUGAUUGCAUCUAUUUUCAUAUAUUCAUUAAUUUGUUUCAUGCAUAAGUUGAGUCUGUUUUAUUAUCUCUGCCUCUGUUCUUAUAUUAUCCCUUCUAUCUCUUCUUGGUUCUAGACCCUUCUAGCAAAUAAAGUAACUAUUGAUGAGCUCGCAAGAUUGGAUGCUUGGAGAGUGACUGUAGAAGCACGCGAAAGCUUUUGCUUUUACUGAGUGCUGUAAAUUUUACUUUGUCAGGAAAUCGGACUAAAGAAGCACGGGCUACCAGACUGUUGAAGCACGGGUCCAAGAUUCCGAAUGCUUUGUCUGUCUCAGGACUGAUGAUGUUGGGCAACUUUAAUCAUCUCCGAGGUCAAGAGGACUAAAAUCAUAGGCGUCUUGACCAUGGAUUUGAUCAUCAGGAUAUAUAUUUGUGUGUAUGUGUGUGUAUGUACAUGACGAGUAGUAUAUAUAUUAUAACAUAAUCAAUGCCAAUUGUUAGAUUUCCUUUAUGAUUAUAACACAUUAUAUAAUAAUUCAUGUUUCUUCAAUAGAUUCUACAAAGGGCCAUACUUGAUUUGUGUGUGAAUAUAUUCAUGUACAUAAGUAAAUAAGAAUCCUUUUCUUUUUAAAACUACGACAUAAAUUUUUGUAGCUUUGUGUAUCGUCAAAGGGGCAAGGCAUUCCUUCAAUACUUUUAAAAAAGUACACGGCAUUGGAUACCUUUAAAGACAACUUAAAAUACGUUGACAUUUCUCUUCAUUUUAGUGCCAAUCAAAAAUUCUAAACAAUAUAUGAAAUUUAUUUUAUUGAAAAUUGUACUAAUAUUGUAAAAUCUGGUAUAAGGAAUUCUAUAUUCCAUGGUAUUUACAUACAAUAUGUGCAGGUACAUAUAUAGGGAUUGAUACAGCAAUAUAGAUCCCACAAUUAUGCAGUUAGCCAAACUAGGACCCCAAACACGAGGUCAUGCUAUCUCUAAACUAGGCAAGAAUCAAUUACAAUAUUCUCAAAUAUCAAUUGGAAUAAACCCAUAUCUCAACACUCCACCUCAAAUUGGCGAGUGGAUAUUGUACACUUCCAACUUGCCAAGUAGUGUUCCAAAGGAAGCCUUCCUUAAUGGUUUUGUGAAGAGGUCUGCCACUUCAAAUUUGUUGGCGUGUAUGUAGUGGAAACCAAUCCUGGUGUAAUAUUUUGUCGCACCAAAUGACAAUCCAGGUCAAUAUGUUUUGUCCUUUCAUGGAAGACAAGGUUUUUGGCAAUGUGUAAUGCUGAUUGGUUAUCGCAGUGUAGUGUCAUUGGUUCUGAAUGUUGAAUGCCCAAAUCAUUGAGAAUAUAUCUCAACCAUGUUAACUCGCAACAUGUAUCCACCAUGGCACGGUACUCCGCUACUGCAGACGAACGUGCAAUGGUGUUUUGUUUCUUUGAUUUCCAUGAGAUCAGAGAGUUGCCAAGGAAGGUAGUAAACUUUACAAACCAGUUACGUGAAGCUUGUUUCAGACCAUAUAGAGAUUUGUGUAGCUGACAUACCAAAUUCUCCCCAUGUCGGCUAAAAUCAGGCAGGAGAGUCAUGUAAACCUCCUCGUCCAAAUCGCCAUGGAGGAAGGCGUUUUGAAAGUCGAGUUGAUGUAAGGGCCAAUUACGGACGGCGGCAAGAACAAGAAGACAUUGGAAUGUAACUAGCUUGGCAGUGGGAGAAAAGGACUCGAUAUAGUUGAGGCCCUCUUGUUGAGUGUAGCCUUUGACUACAAGUCGCGCCUAGUACUGUUCGACAGAGCCGAUAGAGUGGUACUUCACCUUGUAGACCCAUUUGCAGCCAAUGGGAGGCUUUCAUGCAAGUAAAGAGGUAAGAGACCAUGUGUGAUUUUGCUCAAGCUCCUGCAGUUCCUUUGCCAUGGCAUCGUACCAAAGAGGGUCAGUGGAAGCCUGGGCAUAGGUAGUGGGCUCUAUGAUUUUGGAGAUGCUGCAACAAAAGUGUGAUGAGUAGAAGACAAGUGAUCAUAAGUUUGAAAAUGGGACAAUGGAUACCUGGAACCUUUACCCGGUGUGGAGGAAGAAGACGACUGAGCAGGGGUAGGCAGCAUGGUAGAUUGCAGUGAAAGCCACGUAGAAGGAUGGAAGGUUGAGGAAUACGGUGAGAGCGAAGAAGAGGAGGUGGAGAAGGAGGAGAGGGCAGCAAUAAGGUAAGAGGAGAUGGCAUGGUGGGACUAUUUUGAUCAUGAGUCAUGGUAGGGGAGGAUGGUGAAGGAAGUGUGGUGUCGUGAGGGGAUUGAGAAAAAGAAUGGUCGGUGAGGUCACCUAGGGUGGUGUGUGGGGUAUCUAGAGGAGGUGGAAUAGGUGGGUCAGAAAGUGGUAUGGGUAUGGGUUGGUCAUGGUUAGCAGAAAGUGGCGUGGGCUAGGAAACAGGCAUAUGAGGGACCAUGUGUGGGCUUAAAGUGGAGGAGACGUAGGGAGGAUGGGGAUGGUGGUUGUGUGGGGAGUAGCAAAAGGAAAAAUAUUUUCAUGAAAAAUAAUCGCGGCUUCUGAAGAAUUUGUGAAUGUCAAGAUCAUAAAGAUGAUACGCCUUUUGCCCAAAAAGAUAGCCAAUGAAGAUUCAUUUUCUAGCUCGUGGAUCAAAUUUAUUGGUUGGUUGAAGGUUAGUGGCGUAACAUAGACAACCAAAGAUGCGAAGGUGACGAUAUGGUGGUGGAUGGCCAAAGAGGAGUUCACAAGGGGUUUUAUCAGUCAAAAUGGCGGUAGGUAAGCAAUUAAUGAGGUAGGCUGCGGUGAGAACACACUCCCCCCAGAGUUUGGAAGGGAGGUGUGCAUGAAAGCAAAGGGCACGAGCCAUUUCUAAGAGAUGUCAGUGUUUUCGUUCGACAACACCAUUUUGCUGGGGUGUGUAAGUACAAGUGUGUUGAUAGAGAACACCAAGAUCUGCAAAGAAAGUUCAAAGCGAGGAAAACUCUCCUCCAUUGUCCACACGGAUAGCUUUUAUUUGUUUAUUAAAUUGUGUGGACACAAAGGAAAAAAAAGAUUUCAGCAGAUUUUGUGUUUCAAAUUUCAGUUUCAUCAAAUAAAUCCAUGUGGUACGAGAGAAAUCAUCAACAAUAGUUAAAAAAUAUCGGGCACCAGAAUGAGAGGCAAUCUUAUAUGGACCCCAGAUGUCACAGUGAAUUAAAUCGAAAGGUGUGUAGGGGUCUUUUUGUUCCAAUAGCUUGACGAAUGGGCUUGGGCUGCCGUAAGAAGAAAAUGAACAGAAAUUCCCCAAGUGCUUGAGUUCGAGAACCAAGCUCCCAAGAGGGUUUUUGAAAAGUCUGAUGAAACUUAAAAAAAAGACACUCUUAGGUUCUUUUCACUAAUAGCUAGAUAAUCAUAAUAAAUUGAUGAGUGACUUAGCUUGGGGAGCUUGUGGCAUGGGAGCUAAGCUUUCACAAGUUUAGCAAUUUGAGAGAGAGAGAAGCAUGGAUUUCUUACAGAGAACGAAAGUUUGAAGUAAGACAGAGGAAAAUCAGAACAAUUUCUAUCUUAAAGGAAGAAGAAAAACAAAUGAAGAAGAAGAUUGGGUGACUUGAUUAAAUUCUCAGUUUCUUGACAAAGCUUGGUCAGGCUGUGAAUGAUGAUUUUUCUGGGUAGAGAAAGCUCCCUUUUAUAGGCAUAAAGAACUCCUAAUUUUUUCUAAUGUCACAUCCCGGGAUCAGCUCCGCCGUAACACGAUAUUGUCCGCUUUGGGCCCUCCUCUCUGCCCGCACGGUUUUGUUUAUAGGAGCUUACUAGCAACUUCCCAGUGGGUCACCCAUCCUGGGAUUGCUCUAGCCCCUAACUCGCUUAACUUUGGAGUUCCCAUGAUUCUGAAGCUAGUGAGCUCCCAAAAGGCCUCGUGCUAUGGAGGCGGACAUGUACAUAUAAGGCACAUCACCCCCUCUCCGUUGGUCGAUGUGGGAUGUUACAAUCUACCCUCCUUAAGGGCCCGACGUCCUCGUCAGCACACUCGUACCACACGGCAGAGUGGCUCUGAUACCAAAUUGUCAUAUCCCGGGAUCGGCUCCGCCGUAGCACGAUAUUGUCCACUUUGGGCCCCCCUCUCUGCUCGCACGGUUUUGUUUCUGGGAGCUCACGAGCAACUUCCUAGUGGGUCACUCAUUCUAGGAUUGCUCUAGCCCCCAACUCGCUUAACUUCGGAGUUCCCAUGACUCCGAAGCCAGUGAGCUCCCAAAAGGCCUUGUGCUAGAUGUAAGCGGGCAUGUACAUAUAAGGCACAUCACCCCCUCUCUGUUGGUCAAUGUGGGAUGUUACAUCUAACCUCCUCGUUCCUUUUCCUUUGCUUCUUUCCAUUCAAUCCUUUUUUGUGCAAGUUUCCUAUCCAAGGCGCAUAGGUAAGAAGCCCUUUGGGGUUCCAAGGUUUGGAUGCAGUUGGACUUCUCCAUAAGGGUGAGGGCCACCCACUUUCUUCCCUGUUUUUCCUAUGGAGGCUAACAGAGGAAAAGAAGAAUGGACAACUCGUUUUGCCUAAUGAGUAUCCCUCCUUCCCUACGAAUUUCCUUUGGUUUCUAGAGUGGCCUCCAUUGACUCUGUCAUAGAACUUUGGGCAAAGGCUGAACACGCUUGCUAGAUAUUUUGGAGAGCACUUGGGCUGGGCUUUUCCCAAGAUUUUGGGUCAGUAGUAGUCUAUUCUACAACCACUAGUUAACUUGUUUUCGUCAAGCCACUAGAAGUAGUUGGCCUAUAGCAUUUUUAACAAAGUAUUUGGGUACUCUAAUUAACAUAGGGUUUCCAAAGCAAACUACUAUAUUCUUUCUAAGGCAUUGGGUUAUGUUCUCUCUCCCAUGCUAGCCCAUGUGUUUGGAUCCAAGAAAUGGGCUUGAGUUUUGGUGCUCCCAAGCAGCCCAAAACUUCCAUUCCUUGAUCCCUCAAUAGGCCUUGCGAACGCUUGUACCCAUCCACACCAUAACCUUCUUAGCAAGCCCCAGGUAAUUACGUGGCUUGGGCCCACUUAAGCUUGUUGCAUGGCUUAGCAUUAAAAUAGUGAUUCUUCUCAUGGCUUUGCGUAUUGAUUUCAUUGCAUGAUAAUUUGGCCAUGACUAGAUCAAAUAGCAUUGGAUUCGGUGAGCGUGAAUUUACAAAGCUAGUGAAUUUUGGUCCCUUUGUGCAUGCUUGCUUGGCGUGACUCAUGGCUCCCGGCCUAUGUAAGCGCGUUCUUCGAUUUCUCUUAUGCCCCGAUCCAGCCUUUCUCGUGACUUAUUCGAGUUGGGCUAAGAAUGACCCUGGGCCUAGCCCUUGGAUUUUUGGGCCUCAACAAGGUGCAAUACUUUUUAUUGAACUAUAUUGCAUUGGAAGGAAAAGGUAGCCUAGUUUGUUUGGCCAAAGGACAAAAAUCACAAACAUGCGUAGGAAGUGAAAUAUCAUAAAAAUGUUUAGACAAAGAGCGAAGUUUGGCAUUGGAAGGGUGUCCUAAUCGAAGAUGCCAGAGGUUGUGGGAAGCAGACACAUGAUAUCUGGAGGAAGAAUGGAGCUGCGGAGCAAGUCGUUGUGGAUCGAAAUAAUACAGGUUUCCAUGCCUCUUACCCAACCCAAUCAUCUUCUUCAUGCGCAAGUCUUGUACAUAACAAAAGGUGGGAAAAGAACAAACACAACAAUUUAGUGAUGCAGUAAGGCCAGGGACAGACAAUAAAUUAACAUUGAAAGAAGGGACACAUAAGACAUCGGUAAGACGAAAAAUAUCAUUAAAGUUAACAGUGCCUAUAGAUGUGAUGGGUGCCUUUUCCUCUGUGGCUCAUCCUGCUGGUGGAAGAUGUGUUGGUGAAUUUUCAGUUAAGAGUGCAUGAGAAUUGGUGAUAUGGUUUGUUGCGCCACUAUCUAUAACCCAGGCAUGCGAUAAAUAAGAAUUAGUUUGGGAACUAAGGCAAAAAGGAUAAUUUAGACCUGGAAAAUUCGCUUGGGAUUGGGAAAAUUCCUCCUUGCCAAUAGUACCAAUAAUUUGCUGACAUUGCUCAAGUGUGAGAUGAGGAGCUAUGUUUUGUAGGUGAUGAAUUUGUGCAUCUGGACUCUGAACAUUAUUCACAUUGGUAUAUUGCCGGUUGCUUCCAUGAGAUUGGCAGUUUUGUGAAGGGCGACCGCUAUCAUCAAGUUUGGGUACCACCUCCCUGCCGUGCCACUUGUGCCCUGGAGGAAAACCUUUAAGAAAAAAACAAGUAUCGAUUGUACGAGUUUUACCAUUGCAAUAAGUGCAUUGUUUCGACUCUCUAGGAUUUCCACGAGGUUGAAAGGAUGGUCAUAUGUUGGAUGACAAAGGCCGCUGUUGAAAGCCUUGCUUGCUAGUAUUGCCUUUCAUAGUGUGUAUACUGAGCAUUGCCAUGCUCUUGUUGUUGGCUGUGUUGUGGUGGGUGGAAGCAACUUGCUGCUGCUUCUCUUCUUGCAAAAGGAGGCUGUGUGCCUUAUGGGCAGUGAGAAAAGGUUGCAUAAGCAAUAUCUGUCCUCUAAUGGCUGCAUAGGAUUCAUGGAGCCCCAUUAGAAGUUGCAUUGAACCUUGCUCCUCCUCUCGCAUUGCAAUGGAUUUCAAAGGCCCACAAGUGCAGGGUUCCAUGUUGUUGUAGGAUGACAGUUCAUCCCAAUACCCCUUGAGUUUCGAAUAGUACGUGGAUAAGGGCAUUUGAUCUUGUGUAAGAGUAGCUAUUUCCUUGUGAAUCUGGAAAACCCUAGGCGCAUUAGUCUGCCAGAAUCUCUCUUCAAGGUCUGCCCAAAUUUCGUGGGUUGAGUCAGUGUAGAUAACACUAUUCGCAAGAUCUGGAUCCAGUGAGUUCAAGAUCCAUGAUAAGACCAUGUCGUUUCAAUGCCGCCAUCUAUCAAAUUCUGGCUUCGCUUUUAACGGCUUCUUGAUUGAACCAUCGAGGAAGCCUGUCUUAUUCUUCGCGCUCAAGGCUAGACGAAACUGGUGGCUCCAAGUGCUAUAGUUAUCUCUGGAUAAUGGCUUACCGACCAGGACCAUUCCAGGAUGGCCAGAUUGGAAUAAACCCAUAUCUUAACAAAUAUAUGUACCACACAUGCUCCUCCAUGAAUGCCAUACGAACCAACCUUCCUUCCUUUGCAGUUCAUAUAUAUAGCUUCUAUUCAGGGAUUCUUCAAAUUAGUUUAUUUGAGGGACACCUUUGUAGGGCUCACUCUCAUUGUAUUUCACUUAGGGUUAGCAAUGGGUUGUGUCAUGUCGGGUUCGUGUCGUGUCGCGAUAAUAAACGUGUCAAGAAUGCUCAAUCCGAAGCCAACCCAUUUAAUAAACAUGUCGUGUCGGGUUCGGGUCAUCUUUUAUUGUGCGGGUUUCAAGUUGUGUAACUGGUUCAUAAAUAAUAACAUGCAUGUUACGAAACUCACAACUGAAAAAAUUUAAAUUAAAAAAAAAACUGAGAGAGGAGAGAAAAUAUAAGAAAAAGAAAGAAAAAAAGAUAGAGAGAAGGAAAAGAAAGAAAAAAAAAUAGAGAGAGAUGAGAGAAGAGAGAAGGAAAGAAAGAAAGAAAAAAGAGAGAGGAGAGAAAACUAAAGAGAAGGAAAAGAAAGAAAAAAAAUAGAAGAGAGAAGAGAGAAGGAAAAGAAAGAAAAAAAAAAGAGAGAGGAGAAAGAAGAGAGAAGGAAAAGAAAGAGAAAAAAUAAAAUAAAAAAUGGGAAGAGAGACGGAAAAGAAAGGAAAACAAAUGAAGAAAAAGAAACAUUAUAAAUAUCAAAAGGCAUACCAUAUAAUCACAAAGUUCUUUGUAGCAUGGUGGAUAAGAUGUUGGAGAGAAAUGAGGAUGGUAGGGGUUUGAAAUCCCUUGUUAUGUGCUGAAGUCUCAAUUUCUCUUCAUUUUUUAGCGGGUUAGCCUGUAUGACACGAGUUGACACGACCCGUUUAAUAAACGGGUUAAAUAUGUGUUUUAACGGGUUGACCAGACAUCAGAGUGAAUUAACGUAAAUGGAGUAGUACACUUGUUCGUACUCAACGAGUAGGGCACACGGUGACUCUUGGCCAAAAUACAAGUAUCACAUCUGAAGUCAGAGUCCUUGAAACCUGAGAAUAAAUCUGGUAUAAGAUGCUUCAUAUAACUAAAAGACAGAUGUCCCACCAGAUUUGCUUUUGUUUGCUAUCAAAGGGAUGUGUCACGCUGUUAGCUAUGCCGGGACUGAAGUCAUCGACAUAAUAUAGCCCCCCUCUCUUAGUACCACAACCAAGAAUCUCCUUAGUGUGAAUAUCAUGAAGCAAACAAAAACUCGGGUAAAUGAGUACACAACAAUUCAAUUGUUCAGUAAGCUGACUAACUGACAACAAUUUAAUGGAUAAAGAUGGAACAAGUAAAGUAUUAGACAGUGUAAGAGAGGAUGAGAGUGCAACAGUGCCAGCCCCUGUCACAGGAUAAGUAACACCAUUGGCAUUUGUAAUACAGGUUCGUUGAGGUUGUGUAGUAUUCACAAAAUCAUCAGGAUCAAACUUCAUAUGAUCAGUUGCACCGGAAUCAAUUAUCCAGCUCCUGGAAUCAAUCUUAUCGGAAGUAUGGAAUCCAUAACCAGUACCAUUACUGGUCAUAUUGCAUUGUCCUCGAUCUAUAAGAGUAGCCCACCAAUUGGGGUAGCCAUGCGAUUUAAAACAAGUCUCACAAGUGUGUCUCGGAUCACCACAAUAUGCGCAAUCUAGUCCAUGUGUCGGGGUCGUUAGUCUAGUAGUCAUAAUCUGUGCAGCGGAAGAUGCAUAGGAUACAGGUUGAGUAGGAAUUGGGAUCGGAAUCUGAGCCUGAGUCGGGGCCUGAGUCGAAGUCGAAAUCGAGAUCAGGGUCUGAAUCAGAGACAAAUUUGGGGUUGGGGUCAUCAUCGGAGUGGGGGUCGGGGUCAUCGUCGUCAUAGUCGGGGUCGGGGUCGUUAAAAGAGGAUCCUGAUUCUGGAUCAGAUUCGGGGUCAAAGUCUGCAUCUGUAGGAGCGGAGCCAUCUGGGCACCCAACUCAACGAUGGUUGGUGGAGAAUGAGAGAAGGAGUCGGUGGUGCUACCUCCAUGAGGGUUGAAAAAAUCAUCAACCCCCAUAGCAGCGGCGGGGGUUUGAAACUAGAGUCAGCAAUUCCAAGAUCGCCGCUCUGAUAUCAUGCUAAAAUAUGAAAACUAUGAGAGAAUAUUUGUUUGUGGGAAUUUUCUUUGUAUUCUUCUCCUUGUAGGAGGUCAUAUUUAUAAUACAACGAAACCUGAAUGGGCAAGUAAAUAAUAAAUUCCUAAAUCUAUUUGCAGUAGGAAAUCAGGAAUUAAAGUAAAUCAAUUACAAUUAUAAUAGGAAUUCUUGGUGUGUAAGGAAAGUAAGUCAAUAUCCACAAGUCACGCCAACAUUGCUUCACAAAAAUCGAAACCAUGGAGAGUUUGCAACUCCAACUUUUGGCAAUUUAUUUCUUUGGUUUUUGCUUACACAAUUUCUAAUUUUAGGCUGUGCGGUGGCGGCUCCAUUUUAGGCCAUAUCGCCGCUUGUUGGUCAGUCAUUAGUUAUGUAAGUUCAGCUCGGUUACGAAUGGAUUCCACCCCUAUCUAAAGAGGUUAGUAUUUUUAUGUUACACUUGUUUUGGUACUUUUAGUUGUAUUGAAACUACAAUACAAUAUCUAGUAUGCGUAGAAUUAAAAAUUAAAUUAUUGAGGAGUUAUGUUGUGCUUAGAUAAGUAAAAAGGAUGAACAUUUUACUCAAGAGAUUUUCCAACUCCAACUUUUGGUGAUUUGCUUCUUGGGUUUUUGCUUACCUGAUUUCUAAUUUUAGCCCUUUGAUCAUUUGUCUUGCUCAAAUUUAAUUGAGGAAGUUAACUAGCUAGGAAACCUUAACAAGAAGCAUAAAACCAUUACAUAAUUAUCUUUAAAUGAAAAGAGCCCUCAUCUCACAUCAAGUUUUUAAAUUUUAUCACAAUUAAUCCUUAAAAGUUCAAACUUAAUUUUUGAAAUUUGGGUUUUUUUAAAAGUUCGUCUAUUAAACCUCUAAUUAGGAAAACCCCUUCACAACCAAACAAAAUUCAUUUAGAAAUUAAAGAGAAAAAAAAAACACCAUAUUCAAAAAUUCCCAAGAAUAACAAACCAUUAUAUCAAUAAAAAAUUACAUUUUAUUAAACCUCUAAUUAUUAACUUAUAUUAGGAAAACCACAUACACAAAAAAAGAUGGACGUAGGGGGUUGAAGAGUGGAGGCCCACGGUGGGUGGCGACAUGAGGGGUGCCGGCGAGUGAGGAUCCACUCUGGAGGGAGUAAUGCAGUAAGAGUGUCUUCUUGCUGCUCUGGUAAGCCAACGAGCUUUACAGCAUGCUGCAAAUUCCAUCUUCCAUCUUCGCAAGGCGGAAGGAUAUUCUUGACGGCCUGCACUUCAGGGCUGGCCUAGCCGAAACGGCUUGCACUUCAGGGCGACCUAUUCCUCUUCCUACCUCCUUUGCACCCAGAUUGGCACGCCGACAAGGGCGCACUUGCCCCUCAUGUGCUCUCACGUGCCGCAGGUUGUCCUCAGGCUCCUAACCCCCUUCCAAACCAUCUUUAUUGCCCCCACAAUGGGUCACAUCCUCGCGUGACUGAGCUUGGCUUUUCUAAAGCCAUUCUAUCGAUGUGGGAUUGUGAAGAUAUGAAAUCUGAGUUCUCUUUCUUCAUGUACUUUGAAUGAAAACCUUUGCAUCUCUUUGGUCAUAUCUAUUAAACAUGAAAUAGAAAGAUGAUUUUUCUAACAGUUAUUGCGUAUUUCAACUAGAUUAUGAACAUCAAACAGAUUGAACAAAAUGGAGAAAUCUAUUGCUUGUUUUGUUUGGUUUCAAACUAUUGCCAAGAGCAGUUUCGAGUGCCAUUCUCAAUGAAGAUCAUGUGCACGUAGAACAAUCCAAAUCUUAUGUUUUUGCCUCAAGAAUUCUGGCGUUUGGGAUUUAUACUUUGGUGUGUCUUAUGAAGGUCCUCCCUCUUUUAGUAGUGCUUAAACCCUAGAAUGCUAUGCUUCUAUUUUAUUUUAUUUUAUUGUUCGAAAAAUGCAAUGCUUCUAAGGACAAGCGAUAUUGAAAGCACAGCAGGAAAACCAGAAUUGCAAAAGGUUUCACUUUCAAUAUGGAAUUAUUAUGUAAAUCUAGAUAGUGACAACAUAUUAACACUAACCUGAUUCGGACAUGGUGAUGAUGUUGAUAGCACAACAGGGAAACCAGAGAGUUCUUCGUCUAGAUGGGGUGAAUUUCUGUAAAGCUUAGGUAUUUCAAGUUUAUGAGGGAACCCUCUAUUUAUAUGCAUCUCUCUAGGAGUCUUGCCCAUCAAGAAACUCCUAGAGAUAACCUUUAUGUGAUAGGAUUAUCUUCUCAUCUUUAAUUGACAAUCACUCAUCUUUACUUCUUUUAGAAUGCAUGCUUCUCCAAAAUCUAAAACCAUGGAGAGUUUGUAACUCCAACGUUUGGCAAUUUACUUCUUGGGUUUUCGCUUACACAAUUUCUAAUUUCAGGUGGUGCGGUGGCGACUCAUUUUUACGUCAUUUCGGCACUUGUCAGUCGGUCACUAAUUACGUAAGUUUGGUUCGUUUACCAAACCAAUUCCACCCCUAUUUGAAGGGGAUAGUAUUUUUAUGUUACACUUUUAUUGGUACUUUUAGUUGUAUUGAAACUACAACACAAUGUCUAUAUGUGUAGAAUUAAAAAUUAAAUUAUUGAGUUAUGUUGUACUUAGAUAAGUAAAAAGGAUGAAAAUUGUACUAAAAAGGAUUUUCCAACUCCAACUUUUGGUGAUUUGCUUCUUGGGUUUUCGCUUAUCCAAUUUCUAAUUUUAGGCCUCUAAUCAUUUGUCUCGCUCAAAUUUAAUUGAGGUAGUUAACUAGCAAAGAAACCUUAACAAGAAGCAAAAAACAUUACUUAAUUAUUUUUAAAUAAAAAGAGCCCUCAUCCACUACUACAUUUUACGAUUUGCGCGACGAAGAUAAUUUCGUCCCGCAGAGUUACAUUUAAUCGCACAAACUCAAGCGCGACAAAAAAUUCAUCGCUCAAAGAGCGUGAAGAAAGACUUUGCGCGACCAAUUGUUUCACUCAUCGCGCAAAAUUGUGCCACGGUUACCUUUCGUUACACAAAAAGUUCAGAGACGACACAACAGUUUUUCGCACGAACUUAUGCGCGACGAAAGAAGGUUCGUCGCCACAACAAUGCACGGCGGAUAAUAUUCGUCGUGCGAUACGUCUCAUAGACAUUUGAGGCACCAAGAGUUCUUCGUCGCGCAAUUCGUGUCUACAUAUUUUGCGCGACGAAAAAUUGUUGUCGCUCAUAUCCUUUUUGCGCGAUGAAAAGAUUCGUCGCGCAAGAAUAAAUUAUUUGUAUUUAAAAAAAAUGUAUCAUUUUUAUUUCGUAAUAUGUGAAUUUGCGCGACGAGAAAGGUUUCGUCGCGCAAAAUUAAUAUAUAUAAAUAUUAUUUAAUUAUUAUGUUUUUUUCAAUUUUAUAAAAAAAUAAAUUUGGUUUUUUUUUUUGGUAAUAAAAUGAAAUUCCAAUAAAAAAAAGAAUUGUAAAGAACAAAUUUAUUAUAUAAAAUAAAAUAAAUGUAUGCUGCAAGAGAAAUAUUUAAAAAAUAAUUAUGAAAAUAAAAAAACUAAUCAAAUAAUAUUCCAAAAUCUAUAUUGUCGUCUGGCACAUGCGGUUCAGAGGUCUGGGGGUCUACAGCGGCCAUCGUCUGGUGGGGAUGCUCGGGAUGGACGGGCUCGGAGGUUGGCGCAUCAAAAUGCGGGACUGGAAUGCCGGACUGUGCGAGGGACUGCAGAAUGACCGACAUCUGACUCUGAAGAGUGGCCACCUGUGCUGUCAAAGCAGUGACCUCACUGUUUGACUGCGCUGAUGAACGGGGUCUGGGUUUCCUUCGCCUGGCAUGUCCCAUCCCUCGACAAUAUAUCCUCGGUCUCCUCCCUAGAGUCUGAUCCAAUGUCUCCGUCAAGAUCUGAAACCUAGCAUCCUGUGGAGGAUCCACAGACUCGAUCGGAGUAUCGGGAGGAAGUUGGGAGGCGGAUUCCUGAAGAACCAACUGGCUCCUCUCCACCAUCGUCGUCUGUUUAACAUAACAUAAAAUAUAAAUUAAAACAUUCAUAUAAUAACCUUUAAACUUGAAUGCGUAACAUAAGAAUUAAAAUUAAAUAAUACGUACAUGAAGGGACUCGGCCAACUCAUUCCCAGGUCGAACAUAAACGUUGCCAAAGACGUCGAUCUAUGGGAAUUUGGACCCCCCCUAAAUUGAACAAGAGAAGAAAAAUAUUAGUACGAAAAAAUAAAUUUAGAAUAAUGAAAUAUUAAAAAUUACAUAAAAAUUAUUUUAUUAUUACCUGCCGCCGUGCAUCCAUCCCAUAGGAGAAGGGCCUGGAACCUGAAUGAUGGAGAAGAGUCUUCUUCUUCCUAUUGCCCUUAUUGACUUUGGCUUUAUUCUUUUAUACAAAAAAUAAAACGUAUUAGUUGAAAUUGAAAUUAAAUAUAAAAAAUUAAAAAAACAUUAGUAAGAAAAAUAUAAUAAAUUUGAAAUUCAUAUUAUAAAUUACCACAAAAGCGCACGCCUGAAAAUGAGCGCAGAGCCACGCCCAACUAUCCUCCCGCCCCUAAAGCUCCUUCGGGCAACCCUCCUGAAGAGCGACUUGCGAAUCAUCAAACGCCUCAAAAUAGUGGUGCAAGUCGCUCUUCCAUUGUUUGUACCUCUCAGAGAAGAGUCUGUUGACAUACGUCAACGACUUGUCGUCGAGGUCCUCCAAGUUGUAGUUCGUCUGCAAUAAAUUAAUUACAUACAUUUAAAUAAUAGAAAUAUAAAGUUUGAAAUGCCUACAUACCGACAACUGGCCGCGAACCUCCGUCUUUAUCUCAUCAGGCAUGACCUUCCAAGACUUCCAUUUCAUCGGGCAAUGGCUCCGAACGACAUGACCAAUGUUGUGGGCCAAGGAGCUAUGCAACUCCACCUUCGGUGCAGCCCGAUGUCGCUCAUUGUAUCCGAUGUUGAUACGACUGUUAGUCACCCGGGUGACCUUCACCGUCUUCAACUGCCGACACGGCCCUCGGGUGUUCUUCUUGGCUACAAAGAAAGAUGACAUUAAUGUUAAAUAAAUAACAAAUUUAACUAUAAAAUACACACACAAAAACCAAACCAAAAACAAAAAUAAAAACAAGAACAUAAACAUAAACAAAAAUAAAAACAAAAAUAAAAAUAACUGGAGUUUAAGGAAAUCUAUACCUGGCUGUGACCCCGACGCAUCAGUGGAUGUGGUGUCGGUGGUGCUGGCAGGCCAAUGACGCCGCCUGGAGCUAACAGGCUGCGCCACUGAUGAAGCAGGCGCCUGGGACCCCGUGGGACCAACUGCCAAGUGGUCCAUCAGUGCUGGCGCAGUGGCAGCAGAUGUCGGCUGAGCCGGGGGCUCCGAACUCUGCGUAGUCGUCACCGCCCUACGACGUCUAAUCAGGUCUGACAUCUGCACAAUUUCAUUAAUACACAUACAAAUUAAUACAAUAUACAAAUAUUUGAAAGCACAUACAAUUUUAUUAAGAUUCUUGACUUAGGGUUUGCGAGUUCGGAGUAUCCGGGACUCCGAUCCACGAUCCAUCAAAUCCUAGACGAUCCUAGAAAUACAAGGUACACCAUACAUGAGUUUGAGUUUCAUCCAAUGGUCCGAACAUAACAAACUCGGAAAUCGCACAAUAGAAAAAAUCCGUUCGAGACUCAAACGGUAACCAAAUUCUAAUCCGAAAAGACCUACGCGCUCGUGACAACUAGGAGAUUGCAUUGGGACCCAAUGCAUGAUUGCUACAGUAUCCCAAGCGCCACCACACGCGUCGGCAGCGCGUGAAUGUCCAAAGCGAUACCAAUCGCAGGAAAAUUCUAAAAACUAAGGGUCAAGGUUCCUACCCUAGGUUGAAAACAUCAAUUGGAGCCAAUUUUGUUCGGACCUACCCCGAAAAAUGGCCAGAAGUGGCCGGAAUUGAAAUUCAAAAACCGGCAGAAACUUAGGGUUUCAAAUCCAUUGCCCUAUUGCAACAAUUACAGAAAUCCUACCCAACCAUCAGCUAAAGCAUCAAAAAUAGUCCAGAAACCAUAUCUCAGGUGUCGAAUUUGGUCGCCGGAGGAGAGAGAACGACGGCAGUGCAGUUUCGGUGAAAACUGAGGAAAUUAUGGCGGCUGGCUUGACGGUGACGGCGGGGAAGCUCUGGGGUACCAAGGUUGUGGCGGCGCGGUCUAAAUUCCACCGAGGUAGGGGCUGAGUGACGGCGGAGAGAGAGAGAGAGAGAGAGAGAGAGAGAGAGUUAGGGCAAAAAUCAGAAUCUGGGGAAGAAGGAGGCCAUCGCAUCGUUUCUGAAAUUUUAUUCGAUUUUGCGUGACGAAUAAAUAAAAGCGUCGCGCAAAAUAUUUUAAAUGACUCUUGCGUGACGACAAAAGUUUAACUCCCGUCGCGCAAUAUUGUGAGUCCGCCAAAAUUUGGUAUCAGGGUAGGCUUGCGUGGUUUUGCGCGAUGCAUAGUAAUGUUUUUCGUCACGCAAGGUUGUCAAUCCACCAAAAUUUUGGGACUUAGGGUUUAGCGGGAGAGAUUGAAAACUUUGCGCGACGCUGUCCGUAUUCGUCGCGCAAUGUUGUAAUUCCGUCAAAAUUUGGGGUUUUAGGGUUUAUUGGGUAGAGAAAUUGCGCGAUGAAUAUGGACAGCGUUACGCAAGUCUGCUUUCUGUACACUUGAAAAAAAUUUGGACCAAGUGUUGAAGGGGGAAGAGGGUGAAACGGCUAACUGAGAUUGCGCGACGACGAAGUCUAUGUUCGUCGCGCAAUACUGUUUUAUGCAGGCUUUGUGCGAUCAAUCAACUUUAUUCGUCGCGCAACGUUGUAAUUCCGUCAAAAUUUGGGGUUAAGGGUUUAUUGGCAGAGAGAUUACGCGACGAAACUGUACAGCAUCGCGCAAGUCUGCUUUCUGUACACUCGAAAAAAAUUUGGACCAAGUGUUCAAGGGGCAAGAGGGUGAAAGUGAUGACUGAGAUUGCGCGAAGACGAAGUUUACAUUCAUCUCGCAAGACUGUUUUCUACAGGCUUUGUGCGACCAAUCAACUUUAUUCGUCGCGCAAACCCUAAACCCUAAACCUUAAACCCUAAACCACGGAAACCUUAAACCCGAAACUAGUUUUAAUGAUCCAACCGGCAAACUUGUUUUUUUAUACUUCGAGAUCGUAUACGCCGAAAAUCGAAAAAAACAAACAUGAAGAGAUCAAGUAACGGGACAAAACUUUUCGACGGUUCUAAAUGAAAAGUCAUGAUUUAACGGUUAUUUUAACUCCGAUUUUUAUGAUUUUUUACAGCUACAUUUCUUGACCCUAUAUGAAUACAAUUACUGUAUUUGAUCUUCAAUUUAAGAUGUUUACACUAGGGGGAUACCACAUAAUCUUAUGUUAUAUUUAACGAAAGUAUAAGUAAACUAUUCAUUGUUGGUGAAUAUAUGGUUUUGAUGGCAUACGCAUUCUACGAAACUAGUUUCAGUAAUCUAGCCGUCAAACUUGUUUGUUUAUACUUCAAGAUCUUAGACCCCAAAAAUCGGAAAAAAAAUAAAUUCAGAGAUCAAGUAACGAGACAAAACUUUUGAACGGUUAUAAAUGAAAAGUCAUGAUUUAGCGGUUAUUUUAACUCCGAUUUUGAUGAUUUUUUACAGCUACACUCCUUGACCCUAUAUGAAUACAAUGAACUAACUCGAUCGUCAAUUUCAAAUAUAUAUGUGUAUAUAUAUUAUAUUAUAAAAUAAUAUACAUUUGCGCGACAAGAGGAACCCUGUCGUCGCGCAAAUCGCAUGACGAAUCAUAGGUUGUCGCGCAAUGUUUUAACUUUACGCGACGAGUGUAUUGUGUGUCGCGCAAACUUUGCGCGAUGAGGAUUAUUUCGUCGCACAAGGAUUUUCAUUUUUGAAAAAUGUUUGGUGUCAAUAAUUUUCAAACUUUGUAUGUAAAGGGUUUGGAUAUAUUUAUUUAUCAAUGUUUUAUAACAAAUUUAUUUUAAUAAUGUUUCAUUUCUCCACAUAUAUAAGGUUUGGAUAUAACAACUACAUAUAUUCAAACAUUUGUAUUACACAAAAUCUGUACACUAGCAUAAUAAAAUUACAAAAAAAUUCAUUAUUCAUCAUCUGAACUAUAAUAACUUUCGUUAUCCUCGCUAUCAUCACUUUCGGUCUCCCAAUCCUCCUCCUCCUCCUCCUCCUCUAUAACUACAUCAUCGUCGUUGCUCGGGCCCACUGCAACAUCGAAUCUUGGAAGAUCACCGAGGUCAAUUGUAAUUGACUAAAUCGGUAUUUCGAUUGAAGACCUCCUUGUAUUUGAAACGGUUCUUGUAUAACAUGUGUAUCUCGAAGUGUUUCCGCAUCAUUUUCCAUUGAAGAUUCUAAACGUUGGUCAGCCACAUUAUCGACGUCGUUGUCAGUUGGGUCUAGUUCUGUUAUAGCAUACACGUUCCUAUGAUCCAUGUUUGCCAAAAUGUAAGGGUCGUCAUCAUACCAAGUUCUGUUAGUGUUCUCAGAUAGUAAGCCAUGGUCGAUUUUAACACUUUUCGGCCUAUUUGGGUUGCUAUCAAACCAUCGACACUUAAACAUGAUCACUUGGUAUCGAUCUUUGUAAAGCAAUUGAACGACCGUUGUGAGUUUGCCAUAGAAAUCAAUGUUCAUACUUUCGCCUCCACCUGGGAUAUGGACACCGCUGUUUUGCUACACAACUUGUCAUCUCGUGCAGCCCCCAAAAAUUUGACGCCGUUAAUAUAACAACCCGAAAACAAUUCAGCGCGAAUCGGGCCGAACGCCAAGUUAUAUAACUCAUCACUGUAAGUGGGGAAUUCGAUGAUUUCAACUUAUUCACCUAAUAUAAUACAAAACCAUUCACAUGUUAGUCUGACAAAAUCAAAUACUACAAUUUAUAUUUGUCAAAUACAAAAUACUUAUAACUUACAGAAUCCAAAAACCAUUGUGGAAACAAUUCACGGUGUUGCUGGGCAACUAAAUGUGAUGGAUGUUCUCGCUUCAUCAUCUCUUCAUGCUCAUCUAAGUAUGCCAUUAUCUCAUCACAAUUGUUCAGUACGAACCAAUGCGCUACCUCCAUGUCAUUUCUAGAAAACGACUCUCCUCGUCCAGGAUCUCCAAAGGGUCGUGCGCUUUGGGCAAAAACUGAAAGUUUUUCCUUUCUCAUACCUCCGUCAUUAUUGCGCUAAGGACGAUUGAAAGCCAUCUCCACAUCUUUUAAAUACAUUCCACAGAAAGUAAGUGACUCAUAUUGAACCCAAGCCUCUAUAAUUGAUCCUUCGGGCUUCGCCCUGUUGCCUACACUUUUUUUUCAGCUCUCCGAGAAGCCUGUCAAAAUAAAGCGAUAUGAUACAAAUUAGCAAGCCUGUGAUAAUGAUGCAUACACAAACGAUAAGGAUUAUAUACCUUUCUAUUGGAUACAUUCAGCGAUAAUUGACAGGACCAGCAAGCAAUGCCUCUUCUGGCAACUGAACCAUCACGUGCAUCAUACUUGUGAAGAAAGCUAGAGGAAAUAUCAUCUCAAACUUGCAUAGGACUUGGAAAAUGUCAUGGCGCAACUGAAACAUGUUUGUCUUUCGCAAUGUUUUUGCCGUCAGUUGGGAAAAAAAUAUGGACAACAACAUGAUUGGCUUCACAACAUCUUCCGGCAAUAGAUGUCGAAUACCCACAGGAAGUAGGCUUUGCAUAAACACAUGGCAGUCAUGAAUCUUCAGUCCAGUAAAUUUACCCCCGUCAACAUUCACGCAACGUGCGAUAUUUGAAGCAUACGCAUCAGGAAACUUUACAGACGAUACAAACUUUAGAAACUCUUUUUUGUCAUUCGGUUUCAUAGAAAAGAAUGCAAGAUCCCUUCUAGCUUUAUCACUGUCCCUGUUCAUCCAUAAACCCCUUCGUAUACCCAUUCUUUCCAAAUCAAGACGGGCUUUGAUUGUGUCCUUUGUCUUGCCCUCGAUAUCUAGAAUCGUGCCCACCAAUGUGUUAAAUACAUUUUUCUCAACAUGCAUCACAUCUAGAUUGUGCCUCAAUUUGAGUUUCGACUAAUAUGGGAGCUCAAAAAACAUAGGCUUGUGAGUCCAGUUCAUAUGUGUAGAAGGUCUGGUCCGACUAACUGUUUUUCCGAACGGAGCAAAAUCCAAAAGGUUAAGCUGUUCCAAGAUUUCAUCACCGGACCAUUCUCUAGGUCUGAGGCGACGCUUUGUGUUCCCGUCGAACUCUUUAUCUUUUUUUCGCCACUCAUGGUCCCAUGGCAACCAUCUUCGAUGACCAAGGUAAUAAAUGUUUCCCGCUUGCCAACCAGAAGUUACAUCUUCCUUGCAUACAGGACAUGCCAUAUAACCAUUUGUGCUCAACCCAGAAACCAUUGCAUAUGCUGGAAAAUCAUUCACAGUCCACAUAACUGCUGCCCGCAAAGUGAACAUCUUCCCAGUUGAUUUAUCGUACGUGCGAACACCGUUUGUCCAUAAAUCGUUCAGCUCAUCAACCAGUGGCCUUAAGUAAACAUCGAUUGACCUCCCAGGAUCCUCAGUUAUCAAAACAGUCAUCAUCAUGUAUUCUUUUUUCAUGCAUUUCCAAGGCGGCAAAUUAUAUGGGAAUACGAAAAUCGGCCAAGUGCUGUGGUGUUAGUUUAGAACCCCAUACAGAUUGAAUCCGUCAGUGGCAAGUCCCAAUCUCACAUUUCGGGGAUCAGCAGCAAACUUAGGGCCUCCCCAUCUGCAGGAUGCCGCAUCACAUCAUCGUCUACCCAUUUUUCCUUAUGUCAUCUCAUGUCUGUGGCAGUAUGCGUCGACAUAUACGAUCGCUGCAACCUAGGUUUCAGGGGCAGAUAACGCAUGACUUUUUGUGGGAUCUUAGUCGUUCUAUUCUGAGAUGUCAUUUUGAACCUCGACUCAUUGCAUAUAGGGCAUGUAUCCAACGUUUCAUGCUCCUUGUAGAAUAACAUGCAAUUAUUUUUGCAAGCAUGAAUUUCUUCAUAACCCAAUCUAAGACCAUUCAACACCUUCUGCGCGUGUUUAUGGUCUUUCGGCAAACAAUUGUCCGUCGGAAGCAUUCUCUUGAAAACCCCGAAAAAGUAAUCGAAACACAAGUUCGACAUACGAUACUUUAUUUUUCCGUGCAUUAGCUCUACAAUGGCCGUGAGAAUGGAAAAGCUCUCGCACCCCGGGUAUAACUCUUGGUUGGCAUUUUUUAACAGUUUUUCAUAUUGUUCAAACUCCGCGCUGUCUAUUGGUGCAGGCACGUCAUCUUUCAUUUCAUGAUUGAUGUUGGUCGAUGCAAAUGGAAAAGCAUCCUGUAUAAUAUCCGUGACUUGAUCAUUAGGAUCCACAAUAGGUUCAACAUUGUCCAUUCUUGUGGCAUUUGAAGACGAAGCAUGGUCUAAUUGUUCCCCAUGAAGGUUCCAAAUGCUAUAUGUCUCAAUCAUUCCAAUCCUUACUAAAUGAAAUCCAACAUUUUCAAUUGUCUCCCACAACGUGUUAUUACACCUCCUACAAGGACAACGGAUUCUAGUUGCACCCGGGUUGUGUCUACGUGCAAACUCAAUAAAAUCCUCGAUUCCAUCCAAGUAUUCGCCUGCGCAUCUAUUCGGGUUCUGUAUCCACCUUCUGCUCAUAAUUCCUGAAACCACAAUCACAACACAACAAUUACAACAACUUCAUACGAAGUUAUAAUGUCACCUUACGCCUCCAGUAAGGGCCCUAUCCCAUUCGGGAAUGCAUUAUCCUGUCACGUAACCUACGGCUACAUGAGAUUAGAUUUCGACAUGGAUGAAUUUCGGCAGCAUCUCGAUACAGUUCUUGAGGUGGGCAUAGGUAUAAAUACCUACGUACCACCCAAAGAACGUACCAAGAUGACACCGAAAUCUCCACAAUCGAAACCUAAUCUUGUAGCCGUAGAUUACGUGACAACACUAUGCAUUACCAAACUGUCCAAAUAGUGGGACAAUUCAAGAAUUAAUUGGACUGCAGUCAUGCUUUACGUAUCCAUGUACGAAAUCCAACUAAUCUCGAACGGAAAACUAAGUGUUACUAAACAUACAAAUAAAAGUACGAAGUUAAUUUCAAUUAACUUCGUACAUCACAACACAUUGUGCUACGUCACGCACAAUUUAACAUAAUAUAAUACUUCACAAAAAAAAUAUAAACAUAACAAACUAACUUUAACAUUUUUAAUAUAUAAAACGAAUAAAAUACCUUCUCAGUCGUUCUCCACCAAUCGCUAAUUACAAAUAUCCCUAACGAGAACAAAAUUAAUAGCGUUAGUACGAAUUUACAUUAAUACUUUUAAACUAACGACAAAAACUACUUACCCAAUGAACGUACUGAAUUUUCAGCAAAGGCAGCGGCAGAGAGGUUGAGAGAGAGGCAGAAUGCUAUAUUUUUUGCAUUCUGCCUUUGCAAUGGCAGAAUUCAGAUAUGAAGAAGAAGGACUUUGCGCGACGAACCACAAAUUCCGUCGCGAAAAAUUAUUUUUCCAUCGCACAAAACGACUUUUUUCGUUGGGCAAAAAAUUGUCGACAAAAAACUUUUGUGCCACGCAUGACAUUUUCGUCGCACAAACUUUCGUUGCGCAAAAAAAAAAAAUUCCGUCGCGCAAGAAUGUACCGACAUCAACUUUACGCGACGAAAACUAAUUCCGUCGCGCAAAAAAAAAAAUCCCUCCUAAAUUAUUUUGGCGCCAAAAAAAAAUAUCCCUCGUUUUCUUACGCGACGAUAAAUGGUUUCGUCGCGCUAAGUUGUCUUUUGCGACGAAACCUGUCGUCGCACAAGUUUUCGCAGCCAAUUGACGGGAUCGAUCCCUGUUUUGUGUUCACCUUUACGAAACGAAGUGUCCCAUCAUCGCGCUAGGUUUUCUUAUGCGACGAUUGCUCUCGCUGCGCAAGUGUUUGGCGCCAACAAAAAACCCUGGUUUUUUUUCGCUCACUUUGCGCGACGAAGGUAAAUGUCUGUCGUGCUAAGAGGUUCUGCGCUUCGAAAACUUUGGUCACACAAGUUUUCAAUUUUUUGCGCGACGAAACUUUUUUUCCGUCGCUGGAAUGCAUUUUGCAUGACGAACUUGUAUUUGUCGCGCAAAUAAUAAAACGUAGUAGUGAUCUCACAUCAAGAAAGUACACAUCAAGUUUUUAAAUUCUCUCGCAAUUAAUCCUUCAGAGUUCAAACCAAACAAAAUUCAUUUGGAAAAUUAAAAAUUACAGCACAUUCAAAAAAAAAAAAAUCCCAAGAAAAGAAAAACCAUUAUAUAUAACUAAAACCCUAUAAGAUCAUCACACCAAUUUUAUUAUUUUUUCAAUUAGUUGUUAAUAUUUUAUUACACAUAAUGUGGACCCUACGAAUGGCAUAUCAUCACUUAACUGAUUUUACGACGAUCAAGGUAAUGACGGAACCAUAUAGCAAUAAAUUUCCAAUGUGGGGUACUAUAUUAUUAAAAUUGAAAGAGCAUGGAUAAAUAACAUACCUAACGGCUUAAGGAUAGAAUUGCUUGGUAACUUAAUUUUUGAAAUAUGGGGGGUUUUUUUUUUAUGUUCGUUUAUUAAACCUCUAAUUAUUAACUUUCCUAUCAAGUGUAUUUUCUCACAAUUAACUUAUAUUAGGAAAACCCACAGCUGUAAAGACGUCUCCCAUCUUCAUCAAGGAGGAAGUAACUCUAGCUUGCCCUUCAGGGCUGGCCUAACCGAAACGGCCUACACUUCAGGGCGACCUCUUUCUCUUACUACCCAGGUGCAUGAUGUAGCCUGUAACUCCUUUGCAUCCAGAUUGGCACGCCGACAACGGCCCACUGUGCCCCUGAUGUGCGCGCACAUGCCGUUCGCAGGCUCCUACCCCUUCCUAACCAUCCUUAAUGCCCCCACAUUGGGUCACAAGAUCACAUGACUGAGCUCAGCACUUCUUAAACCAAGACUUGGGUAUGUUAGGUUCUUAACUUUUCUCUAUUUGAUCGAUGUGGGAUUGUGAAUACAUAAAAUCUGAGUUCUCUUUCUUCACGUAUUUGAAUGAAAAAGCUUUGCAUCUCUUUGGUCAUAUCUAUUUAACAUGAAAUAGAAAGAUGAUUUUUCUAACAGUUUUUGCGUAUUUCAACUAAAUCAUAAACACCAAACAGAUUGAACAAAAUGGAGAAAUCGAUUGCUUGUUUUGUUUGGUUUCAAACUAUACAAGAUGGUUGCCAAGAGCAUUUUCGAGUGCCAUUCUCAAUGAAGAUCCUGUGCACGUAGAACAAUCCAAAGAGUUGAUUGAUUUGCCGAGUCCAAAUCUUAUGUUUUUGCCUCAAGAAUUCUGGGAUUAGGGAUUUAUACGUUGGCCUUCAGCUUCGACUAGAUAAACAAGUUUAUUGUUGACGCACCAACUCCCCCAGAUAUCCAAUUUGAAGAAAGAAAUUUUCAAAGUCAAUUCUCAGUCUCUUCUGAUAAACUUUAUGAAUGGAAUAUUGAUGGCCUGUCUGAACAAGAAAUUAUGAAUAAAUUACAACAUAUGUCUAUGGUCGCCAAUAGUUACAUUACUAACCAUAACCUAAAACAGUUAGAAAUAGUACCUCUCCUAGAAACAGGAUUCAUAGGAACCUUACGUUCUUGGUGGGAUAAACACCUUAUAGAAGAGUCAAAACGACAAAUAAUACAUGCAGUAAAUUAAAUGAAGAUGGAUUCCCUAUAUUCGAUGAAAAUAUCAAUAUUGGAAUUGAGGAUGGAGUCAAUACAUUAUUAUACACAAUAAUUGAACAUUUCGUAGGAACACCGAGUUAACACUACAGCCAUAAUUCAUGAUCACCUUGGCAAUCUUAGAUGCCCUAAGUUAAGUGACUUCAGAUGGUACAAAGAUGUUUUUAUCUCCAGAGUCAUGCUAAGAGAUGUAGUAAUCAACCAUUUUGGAAAGAAAAAUUCAUUAAUGGUCUUCCCAAUUUUUUUGCAAACAAAAUACAAAUAGUUUUAAGUAAUGAUCGAGGCCAUAUCGAUUUUGAUAGUUUAACUUAUAGAAAUAUAAUUAAUAUUAUAUAUAUAUAAUAUUAUAUCUAUAUAUUAUAAACCAAUUGACGUUUUUGACUUGGUUGAGGGAGUGGCUUUUAAAAAGGUAGUUGUGAGGAUGGCCAAAUAGUUGGCUGAAACCAAGUCAAGAUCUUGGCUUCCCAUGUUGGUGAGUUGGCUGGAAAUGGAAGUUUUGGCUAAAGAGUUGGUUUUUUGGCAUGAGAGAACCCACAUGGGUUUACCUUGGUAUUCUCAAACUUGGGUCAAAUUGGCAUGGGUUUUUAAAAUGGCUGUGAGUUCGUAGGCCACUUAGUUCGCCUUUAAUUCUUGUCUCCAACUUCCCAGGCCAUAGGCCUUAUACAUACAUAAAUUUAAUAUGCAAUAUAUAUAGAGGGCUUCUAUAGUGAGUGGGAAGUUAUAAGGGGUGUUUUUGAGGGGUAUGUAAGAGCCGUUGGAUUUCAUCCAACGGUGAGUUUUUAAAAGAGGGUGCAUGUAGAAUCGGGUUGAAAUCUAACCCAUUAGAAACCCAACUUCAGUUGUUCCCCUCUUUCCCUCUCUGUGAAAAACUGAAGAACACAAUCCUCUCUUUUUGAAUGUAAAGCAAACCCACAAUUAGAAGGAUCCAAAUCUCCCAAACCUUAUAGUCACUCGAUUGUCAUUAGCUCGUUGGGAGGCCUGCGAUCUAUGGUAUCCUGGAUAUUACGAAGAAUGGCUCUUACCUAGCUGUUGCCCUGUUUUGAUUCUAUGGCUCAAGUGAAAACCCCUUCUCUUUUUCAUUCAGCUGACAAGAUUCCAGAUGAAAGCAAAGUAGCAUAUCUCUUUUUGUAGCUAUAAGCCGCAGCAGCAGUUGUUCCUCGAUUUUGGUAGAGAUGGAGUCUCAAAUACCAAAGAGUCUUCUCUAAUGUCCACCACAUUCUUUCAAGCUGACUGACUGCAGAGCUCCCGAUUGAUUUUGAGAGGUAAGUUCACUUGCUGGAUUGAUUUUGUUGGGUUAGGUUUAUUUUUUGUGAGGGUGGGAAAUUCGUCAUUUGUGGCAUCAAUAAUGCGUCAUUUUUGGAAUCAAUAAUGUGUCAUUUCCUUAUGAAUAUUCAAUAUACUUAGUUCAUUGUUGUUGGUCGGGGUGGAAAAUUAUGAAAUGUAGGUAAAAGAACCUAAACUUAGGCUUAAUGACAAUAGGAGUAAGCAGUUGGAGAGGAUAUUGGGUGAAGUUCUGUAAUUGGUGGUUUGAAUUACAUUUGUGUUCUUAGUUGAACAUGUUGGUUCUAAUGUUAUUUUUACCAGAUUAUUUCACAAGAGAUGACGUAACUUUUAUGAAAUUUUGCUUGCGUUUUGUGUAAUCGGAAGUUAGGGUAUGCGUAUUUUGUGUCAAUUUGGGCAAUGUUUUGUGUAAGUGGAAUGCAUUGAUAUGUUGUGAUGCAGUAAUGACUGAUUAAUGAAUGAAUAAUUGCUAUGCAGUAAUAUAGAAGUGGAUCAAUAAUAUACGUAGAUAAAAUGUCUGAGGGCUCAGAGAGUGAUGAAUGUGCAACAGCUAAUGGGAGGGUUUAUAUUCCUGAAGUAAGAAAUGAGGAAACACCAGCAGUUGGAUGAAGUUUGACUCGCUUGACCUCGUUUACAAUUUCUAUAAUAGAUAUGCAUUCUUUGCUGGCUUUGGUAUUCGACUUCAUUCUAGCUUUUGGGGGAAAAUAAGAAAGAGAUUUUGAGGAAAGAAUUUGUAUGUUGCAAACAAGGUGCAUACAGGAAGGAUGAAACUCGGGAGAGAAAAAGACAACGGGGAAUAAGUAGAUGCAAUUGCAAAGCUAAGAUUGUGGUUGUGAAGACAAAUGGGCGCAAGAAGUAUAUCAUAUCUCUUUUUGCAGAGGGACACAAUCAUUAGAUGACACCCUCAGAAAGAAUGCAUUUAUUGAGAUCACACCGUCAUAUUUCAGAUUCUACAAAAGUACUCACAAAACAGUUGGGUUCAGUUAAUAUUCCCAUUCAUCAGAAGGUAAGUAUUUUGGAGGUGCAAUCCGGAGGAAUGGAUAAAAUCGGUUUUAUCAAAAAAGAUAUCUACAAUCUUGAAUGUAGUGUGAAUGGGAAGCUGAGGAACCACGAUGUUGAACUAGUGACCGAGUAUUUUAUGGCUGAACAGAAAAAACAUGAGGCUUUUUAUUUCAAGAUUGAGGGAGAUGGGCAUGAUAGGUUUAGUCGAUGUUUUUGGGCAGAUGCAACUUCUAGACGGGCGUAUGGGUUUUAUGGAGAUGUUGUUGUAUUCGAUACCACAUUCAACACGAAUCGAUACGACUUGACAUUUGCACCAAUGCUGGGAGUUAAUAACCAUGGUCAGACAAUUGUCUUAGCAUGCGCAUUUUUGAGCAAGGAAACGACUGAGUCGUUUGUUUAGAUGUUUGAGGAGUUUAAGAAAGCCAUGCCAGGUGGGGAACCUAAAACGAUCAUUACAGAUCAAGAUGCGGCAAUGGCCAUAGCGAUUUCAAUAGCCUUCCCGACCACAUUUCAUCGACUUUGCAUAUGGCACAUCACAUCAAAGUUCUCUGUCAAGUUACCAUGUGACGCUUAUAAGGAGUAUUGGCGUGAAUUUCAGAAAGCCAUAUGGGAUACUGACAAUAAGGAUGAGUUUGAUGCAAAAUGGAAUAUUGUGGUUACAAAGGCUGGUUUGACUGACCAUCCAUGGCUAAGUUCAAUGUUUGAUUUAAGGGAAUCUUGGGUUCCAGCCUACGCACGAUAAUUUUUUGCCGCUAGAAUGUCAAGCAGCCAAAGAGCGGAAGGUUCUCAUGGUUUUUUCAAGCAAUACAUAUCAAGGAGAAAUUCGUUGAUAGAUUUCAUAAUACGAUUGAGAGGGCACUUUCUCAUCAACGUGAAAAAGAGUUAGUUGCUGAUCAAGUAGAUGCAUUUGAAGUGGCUCAAUGUAUUCUACCGAUGCCAAUGAACAAACAAAUGGCUACCUUGUACACAAGGACAAUGUUUCAAAAGUUUGAGCAAGAACUAAUACAAAGUACAGCAUGUUUCCUAGAGCUCAAAACAGAGGAUGCUUGUAAAGUUGUCUUUAACGUGAGCGAAAGGAAAAAUUGGGAAACAAGAGUGGCAGAAGUCGUAUAUGUCAAAGAUUCUGACCACGCAUCGUGUAGCUGCAAAAGAUUUGAAUUUGUUGGAAUUAUUUGCAAGCACAUCCUAGCAUUGUUCAGAAGGGACCAGAUUGAAUAUAUGCCCGAUAAAUAUAUUUUGAAGAGGUGGAAGAAAACUGCGAAAUCUGGAUUGGUGUCAGAUGCAAAUGGCAACAAAAUUAAAGACUGUGCAGAUCCUGGCCUUCUAAUAAAGCGGAGUACAAUGUCUCGACUUGCUUCAGAUGUGGUUGAGGAUGCAUUAAUGAGUGAAGAAGGAUGUGAGCUACUGUCAGAGACUCUAAAAAGUUUGCAGGUGAAGUUGAAGUUGCUGAAGGAUGGACCAAGUAAUAACGAAGUUGGAGGGUCCAGCUCUCAAACACAAUAUAUGAAAGACCCUAAGAGAGUGAGGUGCAAAGGAAGGUCGAAAGGAGUAACGGGUGCAAAGGAAAAGGCAAUGAAGUGAGGGAUUAGACACUGUCGGGAGUGUGGACGCAUUGGUCAUGAUAGAAGACAAUGCCCAGCCUUGAACACACUGUAAGAUGCUAACACUAUUUGUAAUAACAUCUAAAUUUUGAAUAGGUAAAAUUUUUAUGUGCUUGUGUUUGAUGUUUAUGCAGGACAUCACCGUCGAACAAUGACGAAUCAACUCCAAUACAUCGUAGUGACCCAUUAUUCGACGAUUUUGACAGGAUGCACGGACCAACUGAAUGAUUUAUAUUUGUAUUAGACGAAAUAUGGUUGUUAUGAAGAUUAAUGAUCAGGUGAAGUUUUAUAGAUUCAGUUUUUAAAUAUUAUUGUGUUUUUGUUCAUGUCCACCGAUGAGCUCUUACUAUGUCCACUGGUAAUUGAAAUGAAAAUUUGCUUGGUUUCAUUCUUCCAUGAAAUUUGGAGACAUGUUAAUUUUACGUCUUCUCCCUAUUUAUAAAUUUUUCAUAGACAUUUGAUCAAGUAUGAAAUUUGUAGUUAUGUGAAGAAGCAAUGACUUUUACCAUGUAAAAUGGGCAGUUUAGGGUGAAUUAUGUUUUAACAGAGAUUCAUUUUUCAAAUCCUCAGGCUAAUGCAGCAUUUCCAGCAGCCAGCUGUUGUUUCCAUUACCAGUAAUCAUUUCCAGCAGUAGCCACUUUUUCCGACUGGUUAUUAGGGGCACGAUUUUGUACACUUUUGUAACUGAAGGAUACUUGAAGCACUUUGUUGGAACAGAGCAAAUAGAAAGUAGCGUGUAAAAAAGAAACAUAACAUUGCAGCUAAUUACAUUUCGAUACUUAGGUGAAAAAUAUUAAAGGGUACACUAACUUACAUAAAUACUCAUAAUUCCACACACAAAAGAACAUUUGAUUGCAAAAAUAUUAUGUGCUCCCUCUUAGCAAUACCACAAUCUCCCCAACCAACUGAACAACGGUAGCCACAAUCACUCGGUCGUACUGGUCAGCUUCUUCUUAGCAGGUGUCACAUGCUUAUGGCCACUCAUAUCCCUAGUGAUAUAGACGAAAUAAAUCUUCAGCAAUAUUUGGAAUUUUAUUAUAUAUAAAUAAACCAAAAACCAUUCACUAAACAAUGUAUAGCACAUGUUAUGUUACUUACGACUCACGUGUCAGUUUUUUUUGAACACAUUAGUACGCCAGCUCUUUAAUGUAAAUGGACAUGAUAAGGAACAUUUACUGAUCCCGGCUUGCUGUGAUAUUGACUGCUUGUUGAAUAAUAUUUCCAUAUUUGCAAAAUAUAAUGUUAGACAUUAUAACACAUGAUGACUUGCAAUACAUAGUCCCAAUAAUUAUAUAUGAAGUAAAUGAAACUGAUAUUUGUGUUAUUUUAAAUUAGAUAAUGAUAUUAAGGGAGUAUAUGUGCAAUACCACGGUCACCCUCAACCAACUGAACAGCGGUAGCCGCAAUCACUUAGUCGUAUCGAUCGGCUUCUUCCGAGCAGCUUUGACGUGCUUAUGCUCAUUCAUGUCACCCCCAUCGUCUAGUAUCUCUCUCACAGCAUCAGGGGACACAUAGUUCCAAUCAUAACUUGUAUGAGUAGUUGCCGCAAAUGCUCGGAAUUUGUCGAAUCCUUCGUUGAAUGCCAACUCCAGUUCACUAUGGUGCUCUUUGCAUCGCAUAUGGUUCAUCAAACAACCUUUCAUUUCAUCAUUCAUUACUGUAUCCAACUCCUCAGCUUUCAGCUUCCUUUUAUGACUCAGCUUCAAGUACUUGUUCUUUUGGGAGAACGCUUUGUUCACUCUAAUGUUAAGAUCAGCCAAAAUUGCCUCGUCUUCAACACAUUUCUCUUGCCAUGAAUUGAUCAGUCUGGAAUUAUAAUCCAGCUUGCCACUGACUGCAUGUAUUGCCUCUAAUGGAUCAUCGGAGUCCCCCUCACUCCCAAAUGAUGUUGAAAAAGGAAGGGGUCGGCGAGUACAAUGUGGAAAUAGAACCUGCGACUCCAAUUUGUCAUCUUCGAUUGUGUUGUUGGCGCCUGAAGAGGUUGACAUGCUUCAAUAAUCCUCUUUGUUUUGGGAGGAUGAGGAUUGCAUAUGCAAUUUCGUUUGAGAAAGGGAACAUAGGUUUAUAGACCAACAUACCAAAGCUUGUGUGUAGUCAACAUAUGUACUUUUUGGAGGGAAUUUUUUAAAAAUAGGUGUCAGCUUUUGCUUUUCAAGCAUGUCAACCUCACACUCUCCUUACACCACUGAUAGUGGUUGAAAGAAACUCAAUGGAAGUGACAUCUACUUAGUUAACUCAACCAAACUAGUUAGGAUUAAACUUAGAUUGUAUCAGACCAAAAAUUAAUUUCUACAUUGUCAACCAAAUAUUUUUUGGCGGGAACCCUUUUCUUGGUAUUACUAUCACCCCUUUCAUAUAAAUUCCCCUUCCACACAAAACUCACUCCUCCACCGAAUCUGUCUCCAUCUACUGAUACUCUCUCAAGCAAACAAACUCAUUGCCCCCAAACAAUAGAUUUACUAACCAAGUUUGAUGUGAGCAUAAUAAACACCCCUCCAAACAAAGACCGCCUUCGACACGCAAGUGAGUCACCAGACAAGCAAUGUCACAUUCCUAGACAGAAUGACCAUUUUGUUGGAAGUUUUGAGUCUGAAAGAGUUGUUGCUUUUUGGAAGGAGAGGCAUCUUCAACUUGGUGAUGAAAUCCAAAGGGCAAGGGCACGUUUGGAAUUUGUUGAAGGCCAAAUUGAAGAUGACAAAAGGCAGGCCAAUCUGGAUAGGGCGAAGUUGCAGUGCAUGAAGCGUAGACACAAACGACUUCGGAGUGUAGCUGUUAAAAAAUACAAGAACUCAUCUAAUGCAGUGGAGUCAAAGAAGCGUGUGAUGCAAGCUGGAUUCGACUACUUCCGAUCCUAUGCAAAACUCGUCGUACCCGGGUUUGAUUGGUCAUCUAUUACCGUUUUCGACGUCACCAAAUAUACUCAGCAAGGGAAGUAACCAUUUUGGUUCUCGUGUUUGAGCAAAGGCAAAUCACUGGAAUUGGAAUUUUCGUUACACUCUGCUUCAAAGCUAUUUUGAUGCUAACUACUAUGGAAGAUUUAAACCUUAAUAUUUUGAUGUCUUUAAUUACGAAAACACAAGAUGCAAAGAGCCCAUCUACUUCAGUCAUAUGUUGCUGCCAUGUCCAUUUUUUGUUGAUCACGUAUCAGAUUUGGACAUGGUUGCAUCAUAUGCAAUGUUGCCUUUAUUUAUUAUAUGUUAGGACAAGGUUUAUGGAAAAGCUUUUGUGAGUGUGUUUGUGACAAGGUUAUGGAAUUAUUAUGUACCAUUUAUAUAUUGUUUUUUGUACUGGUUCAUCUCCUACUAUUUCUUGCUUUCUUUAUAUUUUAUGUUUGUGGAAUCCCUCUCAAAGUUAACAUAUACUGUGCAAAAAAAUGCAGACUGAUUAUAUAAUCACUCAUAUAGACUAGGACAAAUAUUAACUAAGGGUUUUAAAAUUGCUUCACUUGUGUGAGGUUAUUGACAAAAAGUAUGGCAUUAUUUUAUGUGAUUGGACAUGAUUGAAAAUAUAUUACUGAUUCCCAAUGCUGCGUCAUAUGGACAACUUAUUGAAUACUUCUGACGUGUUAAGUUUCCUCGAGGUGCAGUUGCAUGUGGACAACUUAUUGAAUACCUCUGACGUGUUGAAAACUCUAGGUGCAGUUGCAUGUGGACAACUUAUUGAAUACGAACUGACGUCUUGAAAGCCCUAGGCCUAGUUGCAAUGAUGGCUUCAAAGCAUGUGCAAUUAUUAUGGAUGUACAUUAUUAUAACAAAACAUAUUAUUGUAUAUAGUCAAACUAAAUAUUGUAUUAUUACAAAUUAUAUAUUGAAUAUUAUCCGAAAUAUACGUGUUAACGUGAAUUAGGGUUAAGAGGAAAGUGAGUUAUGUACAAAUAAUUUUGAUUUUCUCAUUUUCCGGGUAUUUUUUGGAUUUUCGUAGAAUUUUUUACCUAUUUCCACAGAUUGUUGCACUAAAAAAGCCAAAAUAAUAGCAAGAGGACACCUGGCGUGAUCUCAGCCCGUCACUUUUGACUACUUGCACAAGUGUACGUUAGUCAACAUGGCCACAGCCUCCCAUUUUAUCCUAAAUUAUUAUUUUAUUACUUUGUCUUAGAAAAUUCAGAACUAAAUACACAAAAAUUCAAAAUUAUUUCCAAAAAUUGCUACGAACUCAUUGACACUCCAUCUCCCUUGCUGAAUUCUCCGAUUCAUUGUUACGCAUUUUAGACAAUUAUUCCCAACAUUAACGGGAGAUGCUUGUUGAAGUAGGUUAUUGAAGUUUAAGUUAACAAACAUCAAUACUUAGGGUUAAGAGGAAAGUGAGUUAUGUAAAACAAUUUGGAUUAUUUCAUUGCGAGACGAAUGAUUUAUAGGUUCUCCUAGUUUUAUGACAUCACAAGGAGGCCGGAGUAAUUUUUGGGGCAUUUUUAGGAUUUUUCUACUAUUUAUUACCUAGUUUCAAAGACUUUUUAACAAGAGAAUCCAAAAUUGAAAAGAAGAUGACACCUGGCGCGAUCUCAGCCCGUCACUUUUGACUACUUGCACAAGUGUACGUCAGUCAACAUAGCCACAUCCUCCCAUUUUACCCUAAAUUAUUAUUUUAUUACCUUUUUUCUUUGAAAAUUCAGAACUAAAUACACAAAAAUUCAAAAUUAUUUCCGAAAAUUGCUACAAACUCAUUGACACUCCAUCUCCCUUGCUGAAUUCUCCGAUUCAUUGUUACGCAUUUUAGACAAUUAUUCCCAACAUUAACGGGAGAUGCUUGUUGAAGUAGGUUAUUGAAGUUUAAGUUAACAAACAUCAAUACUUAGGGUUAAGAGGAAAGUGAGUUAUGUAAAACAAUUUGGAUUAUUUCAUUGCGAGACGAAUGAUUUAUAGUUUCUCCUAGUUUUAUGACGUCACAAGGAGGCCGGAGUAAUUUUUGGGGCAUUUUUAGGAUUUUUCUACUAUUUAUUACCUAGUUUCAAAGACUUUUUAACAAAAGAAUCCAAAAUUGAAAAGAAGAUGACACCUGGCGCGAUCUCAGCCCGUCACUUUUGACUACUUGCACAAGUGUACGUCAGUCAACAUGGCCACAUCCUCCCAUUUUACCCUAAGUUAUUAUGUUAUUACCUUUUUUCUUGGAAAAUUCAGAACUAAAUACACAAAAAUUAGAAAAACGAUCCGAAAUUUCUACGAAGUUAUUGAGACUUCAUCUUCCUACUGAAUUCCCUGUUUCAUGGUUAUGCUACAUUAGUAUUUUAUUAUUAUUUAUCCACAAUUAUUAUAAUUAUUAUGAUAUUACUUUUUACACUGUCCAUUUGUUAAUUAUAUUUAGUCCAACUUGUUGAAAACAAUUUUAUUUUCCGUGCGAAUAGGCCAUUUGUAGUGCUCAUCGGUUUCUCUGUUCUUCUAUUUGUUAAUUUUUUUAUUUUUUAGGUUGAAGGGAUGUUUUGAAACAUAAUAUGAAAAUAUACAAGUCAUCCAUUGUACUCCUUCCACACAAAAAAAUUAUUCUACGUCAUUCACUGUUGUUGUUUUGCUUAAGAAACGUGUAACCAAAUCCCUUCGGAUAUGCUAAGUGGGAAAAUGUCAUUCCCAAGCACUGGUGAAAAGACACCUAUUUACUCCAUGCAUGACUUUUCGUUUACCAAAUAUGAAGAUUGGGGUCGGUGAGCAAAAUAUCUGUGUCAGUAAAAUGUCAUUCCUAGCCGUCUAUGAUGUAAGUAAUAAUUCCGCUAUAUAAUAAAUAUUAUACAUUUAUAUAUAAAACGGUUUAUGACAAAAUACCAACAUUUGAACAACAUUUAAACAACAUUUGUACAACGUAGCCAGCCAACCUAGAAGUGAAGAGAAGCAAGUCCACAAUGCAUCAAAACCGUAAAUUCGUACUAAAACUAAUGCAAAAAUACGUGAUUCCCUCGCACAACAUACUCACGCAUCAGUUUGAACCAAAAAAUACUCUCACGGUGCCAUUUGCAUCGAUUGCAACAAGUCCACAACGCAGGAUUUAUCUUGUCUUCACUAGGCCAGCCUGGAAUAACAAAAUACCAUUCAUUGUUGUUACAAGCGCUGCAGCGACUGAACUGAAUCUUCCCAUAGUCAAACAUAUCUACGAUAUGUCUUGCAACUCUUGAUGUGGUUAAUCUUCGUGUCAAAGCAUCCCUGGUUCCUUUCAUAUCAAUGUUGUUACGUUGAUUCAAAGAACACAAGAAUUGUAAUGCAUCCUCUUUUGACUGACCAAUUCCGGACAUACCAAGUAGUCCAACUACAUAUGCCGCUUCCAUAUGGCCUGCCGUGGCUGCAAUGCACAUCCCAUACAACGCUUCCACCUUACCGUGCCUGAAAAAACCUUCGAAUGCUUCUCUAAAUAUGGACUCAGGGUUAUCGCAAGCCCUGCAUUGUUGCAAGAAAUGCUGGACCGCAGGUCUGGCACGGUACCAGCUAGGAUGGUCUGGGUACUUUGCCAUUGAAAUGGUGUUCCACACUUGUGGACUGUUUGCCAAAGUUUGGAACAAUCGGCACACAGAUGCCAUAAGGAAGAGAUCUUCCGAUGAUUCGGUUGCCACGUAUAACAUCACUUGAAACCAAGCGGACUCCGGGAUGAAGGCUUCGGGCAUAUCGAAAUGGAGAUGCUUCCUUCUCUUUCCUCCGAAUGUAGUGAAGUGUUUCGAAUUCAUUGAAAAGUUUUUGGAAUGGAACAAUUUGAGGAGUGGCAGAGGGGAUAAAUGAUAAUAUUUGGGGUACACGUUUUGUUUUAGCCUCUGUUUAUAGUGUUUUGAAAAGGUGUUUCCAGUUGGGGUUUUUCCAAGUUGACCCUUUUGAAAGAAACUGAACCCAAGUGAAUUAAAACUUAAGACAAAAGAAGGGAAAACGUCAUAACGGUGCAUACAGAGUCAGACAGAAAGUUAAUUAAAUGGCUAUUUGCAUAGCCAUUUUUGGGUUUAUCCCACUAUCAAAUUCAUUGAUACAAAUGUGAUGGAUUACUGACUAGUGACAGAAGGUCCCAUCAUAUACUUUUUCAUUUUCCCACACCCAACUACCCCUAGUAAUGUUAUUAAAAUGGAACCAAUAAUGACGGAUUCUUAUCCAACUAGUUGCCUUAAUGAAAUAUAAAUAAAUUAAAAAAACUGAAGCAGUGUCCCCUCAUUUUUCAGAAAAUAUAUUUGGUAGUGAAGUAGUUUAUAUUGCUUUUCGGGCUAAAAGAUGUCACAAUGCUGACGGUACAGGUGUCGACAUCGUGACCAACCCACCAAAUGAUCCCAAAAAAAAUAAAUAUAACUCGAUUUGGGCAGAGAUGAGAGAGAGCUGAGUGACAAGUUUAGGGUUAUGAGUGAAGGGGUAUGAAUGACAACUAUGAGUGAGAAGGUAUGAGUCCGAAGAGGUUUCAGUGAGAAGAUUUGAGUGAGAAGAGGUACAACUGAGAAGAUUCAACAUGUCUUCGUCUUCAUCUCCCGCUCAAACAAAGAGGUGUCAGUAUUGUGGAGCUACAAUGGUGCUUCGGGUUUCAAAAUCUGACAAAAAUCGAGGGAAGCCAUUCUGGAAGUGUCUAACCUCCUAUGUAAGUUUUAAUUUAAAGAAUAUGUAUGUGGGUGAAAAAAAAACCUAUGUCUAACUCUGACAGAAUUAUAUUCCAUAUAUGAUGCCUGCAAUUAGGGAGCCACCAGUUGCAAUGGAUUCGAAUGGGUUGAUGUAACCUCCGCUGAAGCAAAACAUCAAGAUGACACGUAUGAUGCUAGAGUGCUGAACAUGCUGAAGUCCAUUAAGGACUUGGUAUUAGUUUUAUUAGUUGUAUCAAUUGUCAUUUUAUUUGUUCUUUUAAUGAUCAUUUAACUGCACGGUUUCAAAGAUUGUGAAAGUUCUCCCGCACAAGACAUGUUGCACGCACCACCAAUGAGACCCUAAACCCAUUUUGUAAUAUUUGUUAACUGCAUGCAUUUCGCAAGUUAUAAAACCGAUAUUGAAUGUUUAUUGAAGGUUUAUUGAUAGUUUGCUGCAUGUAUAUGGAAUAUCAUUACCCCAAUAUUGGAUGUUUAUUGGGGCCACAAGUAUCACUCAAGUAAGAAUGAAGGGGGGAAACGGACCUUAUUCUUUCUUUUAGUAGGAAGAGCAACUGUUAAGUUUAAUAUCCUAUUCAAUACGACUUCCUUAUGGUUGGUGUAUUUGGGGACUGAAGUAUAUUGCAUCAUUAUUGUGGGCAAGGGCAUGUCUAUUGUGUAUGUUAAGGGAGUAUUGCGUGUACAUUGCAUGUCUAUUGUGUGUAUAUUGCAUGUCUAUUAUGUGUAUAUUGCAUGUCUAUUGUCUGUAUAUGGCAGGCCAAUUUUGUGUAUAUUGUUUGUCUGUUGUGUGUAUAUUGCUUGUCGAAACGCAAGUGAAUUGUUGUUCAUUUUGUGUAUAUUGUCUUUGUUUCUACUUUUAUGCUACUAAGCUGCCGAAAACCGUGCUCAUCGGUUUAGACACCUAUUAUGAUGCAACACAUUGCGAUUAAUGGUGGCUUGCAUCAACAAUGACAUAUCACUUUGCAAUGAUGUAAUACACUUAAAAAGCCAUCUUCAAAUCCCAAUUCACAUAUGCAGUCUUAAAAUUCCAAUUCACAUAUGCAGUCUUAAAAUUCCAAUUCAAUGCAGUUUGGUUAACAAACAUGUAAAUGUCAUGAAGGACUUAGCGGUAGAAUUCGAUAAGGACCCGUACGUCUCUAUUGUGUAUUUACAUUAGUUUGAGAAUGGACAUUCCCAAAACCUUCUCAUGUACCAUUUGUCAUCUUCAACCAAUAUCAUGGGAAGUAAGCAUCUCCCCUUGUUAUCUCCGCAGCCAAUUUCAACCGAAAAAAAGGCAUGUUGUGCUAGGUGCAAGUAGCUAACGGAAGCUGAGCACUGAAAAGCUCAAUGUACUUUAACGCAAACAUGCCACAAUCGCCUCUGAAGCAAAACAAGAACUCGAUCAAUUCAACUAAUGACAUUCUAACGUAAUUGACAAUUCAAAGUAAUAAAGUUAAAUUGCAAGUUGUGCUUACUCAUUAGACUGUUGUGGAACAUCCACACGCUCUAUUGGCCACGGACACCACCAAUCUCGGCUGCAAUUGUUUGCAUAAACACCUUCUUCAUAAAAGUCGAUGGUGUUGAGAAGAUUUGGAAGCGUAAUUGAUAGCGGGGCGAGUUCUUCCUUUACGAUGUCAUCUGGAAUUAGUGAAACCUUUGAAUCGUAAACUUUGAUUUCACACAAUACCAGAUCAAUCAUUACAGCCACCCAAUGCUUGUACUUCGUCAACAUAAAUGGGGUAUACACCUUAUAGACGUUCUGCCAAUCCAUCCCACACGGAGGAACCUUCCCAUUUACAACGUUUAGUAAACUUUUUCUGAUUUUCCACCCAAGCUGCUGUUUUUUUCUUUUAUUAUCCGCAAAGCAAGUACGAAUGUGAUUCUGUGAAAUACAAAACAAUCAAUGGUUAAACACCUCCACUAGUGUGUGUAUGGAAAAUGUGGAAUUAUUAACGGCACUUGGUCAAGGCCGAUGACAUACCAUAAAAAAAACAUCGGUCGUUGUCUAGUCCGCUAUUUCUACUUCCUCCAACUGUUGUUGUCGCUUCCGGAUGAGAUACAACCCCAAAUCAAUGUGCUGCAACAUGUUUUUCUUGUCAAUCUCACAAUCUAUGUACAUUAAAACAAAUGCGUAAUCAAUUACACUUACAUCUCUUUUCAGCCAACCAUCAGCUUUCACGAGGGAAGCGAAGAAUUCAAUCUCAGCUUCCACGUUGCCAAAUUGCAUCACCAAACUAUGAAUAUAAAACAGUUUUAGAACACUGUAUAUUAAAAAUUAUAUACAGUCAUGCUUCUAUCUUAUAAUUGCAAGGGACUUACUUUGGGUCGUGGCGCCAUUCCCGACAAAGUUUCAGCAAAUUCACCAGAUCAUCAUGCAGAAUCGCCUUCAUUGGGUCUAACAUCUUCAGUCCGGUUGUCUGUGCCCCAGUUUUUGGAACCAAUUCACUGCCUUCAAUGAUCUUCCACAUAGGAAUGAUCCUCUUCAUUUUCCGUAAUUGGACCCUUUGUGCCACAGCUUUACCUUUAUCAUUCAACCACACGUUCAAUUGAGAUAGCACAGCUGUAGGUUCAUCCAAAUCAAUGUCCCGGACAGUAAACUCAAGCAGUGUCCCCUCCGUGCUCUCGCCAAUGUCACCCCCAAGCAACAUAACUUCAUUAUCUUCUUUCUCACAUUGGUUUUUUUGCACUUCCUUUUCCUCACUUCUUUGUGUUUUCACUUCCUUGCCCUCCCUUUUUUUUUCCUUUGUAGUUUCUCUCCCUUACUGCUUUUUCUUUUCACUUCCUCUCCCUCACUGCUCUGUCUUUGGGCUUCCUCUCCCUUGCUACUUUUUACUUGCACUUGCUCUCCUUCACUUCUUUUCCUUUGCCCUUCCUCUACCUCACUUGGUUUUCCUUGCACUUCACCCCCUUCAAUCCCCUCCUCUUCCUUUUCCUCUCCUUCAAUCCCCUCCUCUUCCUUUUCCUCUCCCUCAUUUCUAUUACUUGGCCCUUCACCCCCUUCAAUCCCUUCAUCUUCCUUUUCCUCUCCCUCAUUUCUGUUACUUGGCCCUUCAUCCCAUUGAAUGUCAUCCAUUUCCCCAUAUCCCUUAAAUAGAUGUGAGACGACACAACGAUUCGUCCUCUGUUUCAGUAAAGCUAGGUCCCUCCUUACUUCCUGCUCAAACUGAGGACCUAAACAUUGGUCCAACAGUUUUUCCAUCCGUAUGACCUUUAAGUGAAGGACGUCUUUUUCCCGCUUUACUUGAAACAACUUGGACCUCAACAAGCCUACCACCUUGUUCAACUCAUCAAGAUCACCACAUGAAGAAGGAAUUGACUUUGCCGAGACAACAGCAGGGCGAUCCUGUGGCCAACUCCAAUAUGGCUGUCUCAUUUCCUCUUCACUCGAACAUAGCGCCCGCAAUUGAACUGACUGUUUCAGAAUACAGACAAGAGUCAUAUUAAAUCAUUCUACUUCAUAAUUUCAUUCAAUCUUAUCAAUAGUUCCAAGGGCUGCAAACCAAACCUCUUUGCUCUGGAAAAAAUAAUUGUUCAACUUUCUCAUCUCUGGAACAGGCGUAGUAGUUCUCCAUCGCAAAAUACGCGGGACAGCGGUCGGAUCAACAACCUUGCAGUAAUUCAGGUCCACCAUUCUAGGAAUUAAUUCAUAUACCCAAAUCUACACAAUUCACAGGACAAAAGUCAUUAUUUAUGGUUUAAAGAAAAACAAAACAUAACUGACAUGAACAUUAUUACCAUGUACCUGGAAAGCAUACGUGAAACCUUUAAAACUCCAGCCACUCCUUUGCGCUUCACCAUGCUUAUCCUUCUUGCCCUUCUCAUUUCUCCGGGUUGUUCCCGUUACCUUACUUUUCCCCUUCCCUCUUCCCUCUUCAUUUUCCAAGCUUUUCACAUACUUUGUUGGUGCAUAAAAUAGACUGUCUUGGGUUUUGUCAAAGGACACCGAACCCCACGGAUACCUGUUGAACGCAUCCAAGUCCUCUACAAGGGUCAGGUAAUUUAGAUUCAUGUUCAAAUGUUUGUCCCUUCUCAAAACCACUAACUCAGCAAAGUACACAAGAGCUAGCUUGUAGAUGUCAUCUUCCUCUGUGCACCUCAGAAAUGCUUCUUCUAAAGCAUUGCAUGUAAUUCCUUCGUCUAUAAAAUAUCUUUUCUGAAGUCUGAUUUCAUCACUCUCUCCACUGGAAACUUCAGGCACUUCCCCAAAAUGAAGCCCUGUGAUCAAACAGAAAUCUUGACGAGUGAACUGAGCAACGUCACACCCUAAUAAGAAACUCAGUCCAUCCAAGUCUUUCACACCCUGCCCCGCUACUCUACGCAACACAACCCCAUGCACAAUCUGCCCGCUAAACUGAAUCUUAUCUAUAUUCAGAAGAUGGCCAAAGCAUGAUGUCUUGAAUUGUUCUAAUUGUUCCGCACUCAACUUCGCUCGAAUUGCAGCUAGAGAUGAAUUUGCAUGUGAGCAGUUGUUCACCCGUGACGAAUAUACCUCUGCCUCUGGCCAUACCAGCUCCACGUUGGAUCCCAUUUCCUCAAAUACAAUGUGAAAUAACGUGAACACAUAUACUACCACGUAUUUGCACAAUCACAACUAGUCAACCAGGCACAUUACAAAUUUUACAAAGUACAUGAGCAUAGGGAUUACUGAUCACAGGCUUUAACAUCAUCAAAGCAAUAUGGCAAAUUUUGUGCAAAUACCUGUUAAUGCAAUGAUUAUGUGAAUUACAAACAAUUUCACCGGUUUUAUUUAUGGAUCUAUACUCGUGUGAGUGCAAUGUAGGCAAGUUCUGCACUUCACACACAUGACAAUUAUUGUCAUCUCAUACACAACACAAAAUAAAUAAAUAAGAAAUAUAGUGGAAGGAAGCAAAGCAAAGCAUCUACUCUGCUAUCUGCUUGCUAAGCAAUUGCCACAUCCUUCUUUCUUUCUAGCUUUUUCUUCAGUCACCCACAAUCGUCAUAGAUCAACCUUCAUUUCAAAUGCUUUGCACUUUUAUUCAUGAGUUUAUUAUUAUCUGUUCUCAUUUCUCAUAGGCAAAUUUAGUAACAAAUGAAAUAAUAUUUAUUUCAUAAAAUAUAUAAAUUCUAGUGCCAGAGAGGUACUCUUCACUCUGCACUGCUUCAAAUGUGGAAGGUUUUGAGCGCCUCCUCCAAUUUAACACCAUUAUCUUAUUCAUAUCAUUACUAACAUGUUAUUGACAUGUUAUUCAGACGUUAUUGACAUGUGAUUGACUUUAUUUUCAUUCGUUUUUUAACAUAUACCCAAGCAAAAAUUAACAUGCAAUUGAAGCACAAAUAAGAGAUGUCAAAUCCAACAACAUUGAUGGUACAAAUUGGGGAAAACCAUUACUCUAACCCUAAACUCAAAUUCCUUACAUUACUCAUCAAAUGCUUUGCAGUUCUAUUCAUGAGUUUAUUAUUAUCUGUUCAAAUGUUUCUCAGGCAAAUUUAGUAACAAAGGAAAUCAUAUUUACUUCAUAAAAUAUAUAUAUAUUCUACCGCCUCUUCUUAAUCUGCACUAUGCAUUGCUUCAAAUGUGGAAGGUUUUGAGGGCCUCCUCCAAUUCAACACCAUUUAUCUUAUUCAUAUCAUUAUUGACAUGUUAUUCACUUGUGAUUGACUUGAUUUUCAUUCUUUUUUUAACAUAUACCUAAGAAAAAAUUAACAUGCAACUGAAGUACAACGAAGAGAUGCCAAAUCCAACAAAAUUUAUGGUACAAAUUGGGGAAAACCAUUACUCUAACCCUAAACUCAAAUUCCAUAAAUUACUCACCAAAUGGGUUAUUGCAAGGUGUUUGUGUGGGGUCUUUCUAUUUCUUUGCUCCACAAAUGGAACCUACCACUUCCAACGAAUACAGCUUCUCCCCUUCCCCUUCCACUGCUUUGCCCCUUCACUGAUUUGGAAUCCACACCUUUGCCCCUUCUACUCCAAAUAAAUACUUUUUCAGGGUCUGGAGAACGGAGUGGCGAAUCGUUGCCUUCAACUGUCGUUAGCCGUUGCCUUCAUUGGGUAUCUCAGACCUCUGGGUUUUAGAGAGAUGAGUUCUUUCUGUUCAAACUUCGAACUUGCCUCUUCUUCUUCUUUUUCGGACGUGUUUCCCUCUUCUUCUUCUUUUUGGACGUGCUGGAUAUUCAAUUCGGGUUUGGGUUCCUCACCUACCCAAUUGUGAAACUUUAUCUCAAUUCUCCCCAGCCCUUGGAUUGAUCUGAUGGCUAUAAAGUGAACCCCUUCUAACUUACCCCUUAUAACUUUCCACUCAUUAUAGUCUGCGCGAUAUAUAUAUACCUUGGCCAAGUUUCUUGAAUGGACUUAUUGAAAUUUCAAGUCACCCAACAUCGAUGGAUUAUGCUCAAUCAAAAUUAGAGACUCCGGAGGCCACAUUGUCUCACCAGAUGUUAGGCCCAAGUCCUCAGAGGCCCAAGCUCUACCUGCGAAAGUAGGCCCAAAAACCACCGGAUGUUUUCAUGGACAUGACGAGAUCCAUCCAAGGAAAGCAAUCAAAAGAGAGUGAUGUCAAUCUGGAACAUCCCUAAGAAGGAGAGAAUCAAGUGAUCAGAUUUGUAAUCUGAUCAUCUCAUUCGAAUCAAUUCCGUGAAUUUAGGAAGCCACACAAGGAAAGAUUUUGAACAAAGUUGACCUUCGGCCAUUUAGUGGCCAGCCCAUGGGCUGACGAAUGCCCCUCUAUGAAAUACAUCAGACAAAGAGCAAAGGACCCCGAUAUCAGGCACAAAACCUACUUUUUGUCUUUCAAUUUUCUAUCCCUAGACUAGUUUUUUUAUUUUCCAAGCAAGCAGACUAGAUUUGUUCUUCACUUUCAUUAGUGUAAGUUUAAUUUCUUGUAUUUUCCAUUAUGUUGUUUUAAGAUUCAAUUUUGCCGCUGUAUUUUUAAUUUUUAUCGAAUUUUCUUUAAGCUUAAUUUAAUUUCAAAUUGCUUUAUUUUAUUGCCUUUAUCAUUUAUAUCAUUCUUAUUUCGUUCUUCGUUUAAUUUAAGUUUAUCUAUCGCUUUGAUUUACUUUGUCGCACUUUAACUCUCAUCUUUAAGUUUAAUUGCAUCUUUUAAUUUAAUUUGCAUUAUUAUCAUUAAAAAUCUCAAAAAUACUAAAACACCCAUACGAAACCUAACCAUCCUCAACCCCGAGGAAGUGAAAGAACCUAGGUUAAGAGGAGGUUCCUUGCUUGGCCGAUCAAUCUGCUGGUUAGAAGUCAGAAGCAUGAACACAUUGAUCCAACUUUUUCCAUUCAAGCCAAUCAGUGGCUUAGUGGUGGCACUCCUACGCAAUCUAAAAUAAGGACCAAAACUCCUUCAAUCGGCCUACCCGGACGAAAAGAGGGAAAUAACAUCAUUGUGGCUCAGGAGAUGUUACACAAAUUUACAGUUUCAAAAGGGAAAAAAGGCUUCAUUGCUUUGAAAAUUGACUUAUCUAAGGCUUAUGGCAGACUGAACUGGAAUUUCAUUAAGGAAGUGCUUUGGGAGAUUGGUCUCAGAGGCAUGAUUCUUGAUGUUAUCAUGAAGUGCAUUAGUUGUGUUCAAUAUAAAGCUAUCCUCAGUGGUUAGUUAACUGAGGCUUUUACGCCUAGGCAAGGUGACCCGUUGUCCCCUUAUAUAUUUGUUUUGUGUAUGGAAAAGCUCUCUCACCUUAUUCAUAAAGGGUCCAUGAUAAUUUUUGGACAUCGGUGCAGAUUUGUCAAGGUGGUCCUUUUGUGUCUCGCUUAUUCUUUACUGAUGACUUAAUUCUUUUCAGUAAAGCUUCCAUGAACCAGGCUAUGGUGAUGAAACAAUGUUUGGAUGAGUUUUGCAACGUCUCUGGUCAGAAGGUAAGCUUUGAGAAAUCAGUUAUUUCUGUUUCUCCAAAUACAAGCCAUGCACUUGCUCAAUCCAUUGCUAAUGUUAGUGGAUCUCCCCUCACUGCCUGUCUUGGUAAAUACCUUGGAGUCCCUUUAAUUCAUAAAAAAGUCACUAAGACCACUUAUAUGGAGAUUGUCGAGAAGGUCCAGAAAAGGUUGUCUGCCUGGAAGAGUCAUUUCCUUUCCAUGGCUGGUAGGCUUACUCUCCUACAAUCUGUUAUUGCUGCCAUUCCCAUUUAUUCUAUGCAAACUGUUAAGUUACUUGUUUCCGUUAGUGACAAACUUGACCAGCUGAACAUGAAUUUUCUUUGCUUCCACACUAAUAAUUCGUGUAAGACCCAUCUUGUUAAUUCAGAAAGAUCAGGGCCUUUGGGCCAAGGUCUUGAAUUCUAAGUAUUUGAGACAACGUGAUCUUAUUGCUGCUAUGAAUCCCAACACUAGUUGUGUUUCCAGUGUGUGGAGGGGUGUUUUAUUUUGUGCUAAGCUUCUUCCUCCUGGUCUCAAUUGGAGAGUUGGAGCUGGUGAUAACCAUCUUGGUUUGGACGGACACGUGGGUGAGUUGUGGCCCUUUACAGAAUUUUGCCACCGUUUUAAGCUUCUUCUUACUGUGAGUGACUUCAUGGAGCAUGGAUAUUGGAAUGUCAACUGCUUACAGGAUUGCCUGCCUCCCAACAUUGUUCCUCCGAUUUGAAGUACUCAUGCCGGCUUCUAUGGAGGUAGGAUUGAUACUUGCGUAUGGAAGCUCUCCUCUAAUGGUGAGUUCUCUGUUAAAAUUGCCAAUUACUCUAUUGUCCUUGGGCAAGACCUUCCCCCCUAGAAAUGGGAAUUUAUCUGGAAGCUCCACAUCCCCCCAAAGAUUAAAACCUUUUUGUGGGUUAUGUGUCAUAACAAGCUCUUGACUAAUGCCAACGUGUCAAAAGAGGACUUGCCUCUUCUGCUAAUUGUCCUCGCUGCAGUUAUUUGGAGUAAGUUUGGGUCUAACUCUACCCUUCCUAUCUGCUUUGUGGCAGAUUUUGAUGCUUGGCUGUUUCACAACCUUAAGUCCCGAAAAUUUGUAUGAGAUGAUAUGCCUUGGUACAUGGUUUUUGCUGUCUGUCUUUGGUAUAUUUGGAAAUGGCGCUGUAAACUUAUUUUUGAGGAAGGAUUUGUGAUGCCAUUAAGCCUCAACAAGUUUUGCAGUAUCCUGUUGAGUGGUUCACUGCUCGUAAGGCUAUGACAACUUCUAUUGCAAUUUGUGUGAUGCAGCUAUGCUGGCAACAUCCUAUGCCUGGUAUUUUUAAGCUUAACACUGAUGGGAGUCGAAAGUCUGAGUCUGGCCUCAUAGGUGCUGGACGAAUUAUUAGAGACUCUAUUGGUGUUUGGAUUAAAGGCUUCUCUGUGAAUCUUGGUGUGGGAUUUACAAUUGAGGCUGAAUUACGGGGUGUCUUUUGGGGCCUCCGUUUGGCUUGGUAUUAUGGGUGCCGAAACAUUGCGGUGAAUGUGAUGCUAGUGAUGUGGUUUCCCUCCUCUCUUGCCCAACAUCUCUCACUCAUCCCCUCCUUAGUCUUAUUAAUUGCUGCAAGCUGAAGAUGCAAGAAAACUGGAUUUGUUCCCUGAGGCAUGUCUUUCGUGAACAAAACCAUGUUGCUGACGUUCUUGCUAAAAUGAGCCAUGAGUUGGACCCUGGUUAUCAUUGUUUUGAUGUUCCCCUUCCUAAUGUCUAUGACACCCUUUAUGUUGAUCCUAGCAAUUUGGCUAGGACUCGAAUUAUCUCUCUGUAGUUUGCUUUGUUGAUAGGCCUCUAGCCCAUCUGUACCAAAAAAUAAAAAUAAAAAUAAAGCCCACAACUAAAUGCCCAUUCUGCUUCUCUCUCGCCUUUUGAACUGAGUCCAAAUUACUCACCAAUUUAAGGGAGCUUCUAUAGUGAGUGGGAAGUUAUAAGGGGUGUUUUUGAGGGGUAUGUAAGAGCCGUUGGAUUUCAUCCAACGGUGAGUUUUUAAAAGAGGGUGCAUGUAGAAUCGGGUUGAAAUCUAACCCGUUAGAAACCCAACUUCAGUUGUUCCCCUCUUUCCCUCUCUGUGAAAAACUGAAGCCUUUCUUUUUGAAUGUAAAGCAAACCCACAAUUAGAAGGAUCCAAAUCUCCCAAACCUUAUAGUCACUCGACUGUCAUUAGCUCGUUGGGAGGCCUGCGAUCUAUAGUAUCCUGGGUAUUACGAAGAAUGGCUCUUACCUAGCUGUUGCCCUGUUUUGAUUCUAUGGCUCAAGUGAAAACCCCUUCUCUUUUCAUUCAGCUGACAAGAUUCCAGAUGAAAGCAAAGUAGCAUAUCUGUUUUUGUAGCUAGAAGCCGCAGCAGCAGUUGUUCCUCGAUUUUGGUAGAGAUGGAGUCUCAAAUACCAAAGAGUCUUCUCUAAUGUCCACCACAGUCUUUCAAGCUGACUGACUUCAGAGCUCCCGAUUGAUUUUGAGAGGUAAGUUCACUUGCUGGAUUGAUUUUAUUGGGUUAGGUUUAUUUUUUGUGAGGGUGGGAAAUUCGUCAUUUGUGGCAUCAAUAAUGUGUCAUUUUCUUAUGAAUAUUCAAUAUACUUAGUUCAUUGUUGUUGGUCGGGGUGGAAAAUUAUGAAAUGUAGGUAAAAGAACCUAAACUUAGGCUUAAUGACGUUAGGAGUAAGCAGUUGGAGAGGAUAUUGGGUGAAGUUCUGUAAUUGGUGGUUUGAAUUACAUUUGUGUUCUUAGUUGAACAUGUUGGUUCUAAUGUUAUUUUGACCAGAUUAUUUCCCAAGAGAUGACGUAACUUUUAUGAAAUUUUGCUUGUGUUUUGUGUAAUCGGAAGUUAGGCUAUGCGUAUUUUUUGUCAAUUUGGGCAAUGUUUUGUGUAAGUGGAAUGCAUUGAUAUGUUGUGAUGCAGUAAUGACUGAUUAAUGAAUGAAUAAUUGCUAUGCAGUAAUAUAGAAGUGGAUCAAUAAUAUACGUAGAUAAAAUGUCUGGGGGCUCAGAGAGUGAUGAAUGUGCAACAGCUAAUGGGAGGGUUUAUAUUCCUGAAGUAAGAAAUGAGGAAACACCAGCAGUUGGGAUGAAGUUUGACUCGCUUGACCUCGUUUACAAUUUCUAUAAUAGAUAUGCAUUCUUGGCUGGCUUUGGUAUUCGACUUCAUUCUAGCUUUUGGGGGAAAAAUAAGAAAGAUAUUUUGAGGAAAGAAUUUGUAUGUUGCAAACAAGGUGCAUACAGGAAGGAUGAAACUCGGGAGAGAAAAAGACAACGGGGAAUAAGUAGAUGCAAUUGCAAAGCAAAGAUUGUGGUUGUGAAGACAAAUGGGAGCAAGAAGUAUACCAUUUCUCUUUUUGCAGAGGGACACAAUCAUAAGAUGACACCCUCAGAAAGAAUGCAUUUAUUGAGAUCACACCGUCAUAUUUCAGAUUCUACAAAAGUACUCACAAAACAGUUGGGUUUAGUUAAUAUUCCCAUUCAUCAGAAGGUAAGUAUAUUCGAGGUGCAAUCCGGAGGAAUGGAUAAAAUCGGUUUUAUCAAAAAAGAUAUCUACAAUCUUGAAUGUAGUGUGAAUGGGAAGCUGAGGAACCACGAUGUUGAACUAGUGACCGAGUAUUUUAUGGCUGAACAGAAAAAAAAUGAGGCUUUUUAUUUCAAGAUUGAGGGAGAUGGGCAUGACAGGUUUAGUCGAUGUUUUUGGGCAGAUGCAACUUCUAGACGGGCGUAUGGGUUUUAUGGAGAUGUUGUUGUAUUCGAUACCACAUUCAACACGAAUCGAUACGACUUGACAUUUGCACCAAUGUUGGGAGUUAAUAACCAUGGUCAGACAAUUGUCUUAGCAUGCGCAUUUUUGAGCAAGGAAACGACUGAGUCGUUUGUUUGGAUGUUUGAGGAGUUUAAGAAAGCCAUGCCAGGUGGGGAACCUAAAACGAUCAUUACAGAUCAAGAUGCGGCAAUGGCCAUAGCGAUUUCAAUAGCCUUCCCGAGUACAUUUCAUCGACUUUGCAUAUGGCACAUCACAUCAAAGUUCUCUGUUAAGUUACCACGUGACGCUUAUAAGGAGUAUUGGCCUGAAUUUCAGAAAGCCAUAUGGGAUACUGACAAUAAGGAUGAGUUUGAUGCAAAAUGGAAUAUUGUGGUUACAAAGGCUGGUUUGACUGACCAUCCAUGGCUAAGUUCAAUGUUUGAUUUAAGGGAAUCUUGGGUUCCAGCCUACGCACGACAAUUUUUUGCCGCUGGAAUGUCAAGCAGCCAAAGAGCGGAAGGUUCUCAUGGUUUUUUCAAGCAAUACAUAUCAAGGAGAAAUUCGUUGAUGGAUUUCAUAAUACGAUUUGAGAAGGCACUUUCUCAUCAACGUGAAAAAGAGUUAGUUGCUGAUCACGUAGAUGCAUUUGAAGUGGCUCAAUGUCUUCUACCGAUGCCAAUGAACAAACAAAUGGCUACCUUGUACACAAGGACAAUGUUUCAAAAGUUUGAGCAAGAACUAAUACAAAGUACAGCAUGUUUCCUAGAGCUCAAAACAGAGGAUGCGUGUAAAGUUGUGUUCAACGUGAGCGAAAGGAAAAAUUGGGAAACAAGAGUGGCAGAAGUCGUAUAUGUCAAAGAUUCUGACCACGCAUCGUGUAGCUGCAAAAGAUUUGAAUUUGUUGGAAUUAUUUGCAAGCACAUCCUAGCAUUGUUCAGAAGGGACCAGAUUGAAUAUAUGCCCGAUAAAUAUAUUUUGAAGAGGUGGAAGAAAACUGCGAAAUGUGGAUUGGUGUCAGAUGCAAAUGGCAACGAAAUUAAAGACUGUGCAGAUCCUGGCCUUCUAAUAAAGCGGAGUACAAUGUCUCGACUUGCUUCAGAUGUGGUUGAGGAUGCAUUAAUGAGUGAAGAAGGAUGUGAGCUACUGUCAGAGACUCUAAAAAGUUUGCAGGUGAAGUUGAAGUUGCUGAAGGAUGGACCAAGUAAUAACGAAGUUGGAGGGUCCAGCUCUCAAACACAAUAUAUGAAAGACCCUAAGAGAGUGAGGUGCAAAGGAAGGUCGAAAGGAAUAACGGGAGCAAAGGAAAAGGCAAUGAAGCGAGGGAUUAGACACUGUCGGGAGUGUGGACACAUUGGUCAUGAUAGAAGACAAUGCCCAGCCUUGAACACACCGUAAGAUGCUACCACUAUUUGUAAUAAUAUCUAAAAUAUGAAAAGGUAAAAUUUUUAUGUGCUUGUGUUUGAUGUUUAUGCAGGACAUCACCGUCGAACAAUGACGAAUCAACUCCAAUACAUCGUAGUGACCCAUUAUUCGACGAUUUUGACAGGAUGCACAGACCAACUGAAUGAUUGAUAUUUGUAUUAGACGAAAUGUGGUUGUUAUGAAGAUUAAUGAUCAAGUGAAGUUUGAUAGAUUCAGUUUUUGAAUGUUAUUGUGUUUUUGUUCAUGUCCACCGAUGAGCUCUUACUAUGUCCACUGGUAAUUGAAAUGAAAAUUUGCUUGGUUUCAUUCUUCCAAGACAUUUGGAGACAUGUUAAUUUUACGUCUUCUCCCUAUUUAUAAAUUUUCAUAGACAUUUGAUCAAGUUUGAAAUUUGUAGUUAUGUGAAGAAGCAAUGACUCUUACCAUGUAAAAUGGGCAGUUUAGGGUGAAAUUUGUUUUAACAGAGAUUCAUUUUUCAAUUCCUCAGGGUAAUGCAGCAAUUACAGCAGCCAGCUGUUGUUUCCAUUACCAGUAAUCAUUUCCAGCAGCAGCCACUUUUUCCGACUGGUUAUUAGGGGUACGAUUUUGUACACUUUUGUAAGCGAAGGAUACUCGAAGCACUUUGUUGGAACAGAGCAAAUAGAAACCAGCGGGUAAAAAAAAAACAUAACAUUGCAGCUAAUUACAUUUCGAUACAUAGGUGAAAAAUAUUAAAGGGUACACUAACUUACAUAAAUACUCAUAAUUCCACACACAAAAGAACAUUUGAUUGCAAAACAUAUUAUGUGCUUCCUCAUAGCAAUACCACGAUCUCCCCAACCAACUGAACAACGGUAGCCACAAUCACUGGGUCGUACUCGUCAGCUUCUUCUUAGCAGGUCUCACACGCUUAUGGCCACUCAUAUCCCUAGUGAUAUACACGAAAUAAAUCUUCAGCAAUAUUUGGAAUUUUAUUAUAUAUAAAUAAACCAUAAACCAUUCAGUAAACAAUGUAUAGCACAUGUUAUGUAACUUAUGACUCACGUGUCAGUUUUUUUUUUAACACAUUAGUACUCCAGCUCUUUAAUGUAAAUGGACAUGAUAAGGAGCAUUUAUUGAUUCCCGGCUUUCUGUGAUAUUGACUGCUUCUUGAAUAAUAUUUCCAUAUUUGCAAAAUAUAAUGUUAGACAUUAUAACACAUGAUGACUUGCAAUACAUAGUCCCAAUAAUUAUAUAUGAAGCAAAUGAAACUGAUAUUUGUGUUAUUUUAAGUUAGAUAAUGACAUUAAGGGAGUAUAUGUGCAAUACCACGGUCACCCUCAACCAACUAAACAGCGGUAGCCGCAAUCACUUAGUCGUAUCGGUCGGCUUCUUCCGAGCAGCUUUGACGUGCUUAUGCUCAUUCAUGUCACCCCCAUCGUCUAGUAUCUCUCUCACAGCAUCAGGGGACACAUAGUUCCAAUCAUAACUUGUAUGAGUAGUUGCCGCAAAUGCUCGGAAUUUGUCGAAUCCUUCGUUGAAUGCCAACUCCAGUUCAGUAUGGUGCUCUUCGCAUCGCAUAUGGUUCAUCAAACAACCUUUGAUUUCAUCAUUCAUUACUGUAUCCAACUCCUCAGCUUUCAGCUUCCUGCUAUGACUCAGCUUCAAGUACUUGUUCUUUUGGGAUAACGCUUUGUUCACCCUAAUGUUAAGAUCAGCCAAAAUUGCCUCGUCUUCAACACAUUUCUCGUGCCAUGAAUUGAUCAGUCUGGAAUUAUAAUCCAGCUUGCCACUGACUGCAUGUAUUGCCUGUAAUGGAUCAUCGGAGUCCCCCUCACUCCCAAAUGAUGUUGAAAAAGGAAGGGGUCGGCGAGUACAAUGUGGAAAUAGAACCUGCCACUCCAAUUUGUCAUCUUCGAUUGUGUUGUUGGCGCCUGAAGAGGUUGACAUGCUUGAAUAAUCCUCUUUGUUUUGGGAGGAUGAGGAUUGCAUAUGCAAUUUCGUUUGAGAAAGGGAACAUAGGUUUAUAGACCAACAUACCAAAGCUUGUGUGUAGUCAACAUAUGUACUUUUUGGCGGGAAUUUUUUAAAAAUAGGUGUCAGGUUUUGCUUUUCAAGCAUGUCAACCUCACACUCUCCUGACACCACUGAUAGUGGUUGAAACAAACUCAAUGGAAGUGACAUCUACUUAGUUAACUCAACCAAACUAGUUAGGAUUCAACUUAGAUUGUAUCAGACCAAAAAUUAAUUUAUACAUUCUCAACCAAAUAUUUUUUGGCGGGAACCCUUUUCUUGGUAUUACUAUCACCCCUUUCAUAUAAAUUCUCGUUCCACACAAAACUCACUCCUCCACCGAAUCUGUCUCCAUCUACUGAUACUCUCUCAAGCAAACAAACUCAUUCCCCCCAAAGAAUGAGCAUAAGCACAACCAAGUUUGAUGUGAGCAUAAUAAACACCCCUCCAAACAAAGACCGGCUUCGACACGCAAGUGAGUCACCAGACAAGCAAUGUCACAUUCCUAGACAGAAUGACCAUUUUGUUGGAAGUUUUGAGUCUGAAAGAGUUGUUGCUUUUUGGAAGGAGAGGCAUCUUCAACUUGGUGAUGAAAUCCAAAGGGCAAGGGCACGGUUGGAAUUUGUGGAAGGCCAAAUUGAAGAUGACAAAAGGCAGGCCAAUCUGGAUAGGGCGAAGUUGCAGCGCAUGAAGCGUAGACACAAACGACUUCGGAGUGUAGCUCUUCAAAAAUACAAGAACUCAUCUAAUGCAGUGGAGUCAAAGAAGCGUGUGAUGCAAGCUGGAUUCGACUACUUCCGAUCCUAUGCAAAACUCGUCGUACCCGGGUUUGAUUGGUCAUCUAUUACCGUUUCCGACGUCACCAAAUAUACUCAGCAAGGGAAGUAACCAUUUUGGUUCUCGUGUUUGAGCAGAGGCAAAUCAGUGGAAUUGAAAUGUUCGUUACACUCUGCUUCAAAGCUAUUUUGAUGCUAACUACUAUGGAAGAUUUAAACCUUAAUAUUUUGAUGUCUUUAAUUACGAAAACAGAAGAUGCAAAGAGCCCAUCUACUUAAGUCAUAUGUUGCUGCCAUGUCCAUUUGUUUUUGAUCACGUUUCAGAUUUGGACAUGGUUGCAACAUAUGCAAUGUUGCCUUUAUUUAUUAUAUGUUAGGACAAGGUUUAUGGAAAAGCUUUUGUGAGUGCGUUUGUGACAAGGUUAUGGAAUUAUUAUGUACACUUUAUAUAUUAUUUUUUGUACUGGUUCAUUUCCUACUAUUUCUUGCUUUCUUUAUAUUUUAUGUUUGUGGAAUCCCUCUCAAAGUUAACAUAUACUGUGAAAAAAAUAUUAUGCAACUGAUUAUAUAAUCACUCAUAUAGACUAGGACAAAUAUUCACUAAGGGUUUUAAAAUUGCUUCACUUGUGUGAGGUUAUUGAGAAAAAGUAUGGCAUUAUUUAUAUGAUUGACAUGAUUGAAAAGAUAUUACUGAUUCCCAAUAAGGCGUCAUAUGGACAACUUAUUGAAUACCUGUAACGUGUUAAUAACUCUAGGUGCAGUUGCAUGUGGACAACUUAUUGAAUACCUCUGACGUGUUGAAAACUGUAGGUGCAGUUGCAUGUGGACAACUUAUUGAAUACGAACUGACGUCUUGAAAGCUAUAGGCGUAGUUGCAAUGAUGGCUUCAAAGCAUGUGCAAUUAUUAUUUAUGUACAUUAUUAUAACAAAACAUAUUAUUGUAUAUAGUGAAACUAAAUAUUGUAUUAUUACAAAUUAUAUAUCGAAUAUUAUCCGAAAUAUACGUGUUAACGUGAAUUUGGGUUAAGAGGAAAGUGAGUUAUGUACAAAUAAUUUUCAUUUUCUCAUUUUCCCAGCAUUUUUUGGAUUUUCGUAGAAUUUAUUACCUAUGUCCACAGAUUGUUGCACUAAAAAAGCCAAAAUAAUUGCAAGACGACACCUGGCGCGAUCUCAGCCCGUCACUGAUGACUACUUGCACAAGUGUACGUCAGUCAACAUGGCCACACCCUCCCAUUUUACCCUAAAUUAUUAAUUUAUUACUUUUCCUUACAAAAAUCAGAAAUAAUUACACAAAAAAAAAAUAAAUUAUCCGAAAAUUGCUACGAACUCAUUGACACUCCAUCUCCGUUGCUGAAUUCUCCGAUUCAUUGUUACGCAUUUUUAAAAUUAAUUCCGAACAUUAACGGGGGAUGCUUGUUGAAGUAGGUUAUUCAAGUUGAAGUUAACAAACAUCAAUACUUAUGGUUAAGAGGAAAGUGAGUUAUGUAACACAAUUUGGAUUUUUUCAUUGCGAGACGAAUGAUUUAUAGGUUCUCCUAGUUUUAUGACGUCACAAGUAGGCUGGAGUAAUUUUGGGGGCAUUUUUAGGAUUUUCCUACUAUUUAUUACCUAGUUUCAAAGAUUUUUGAACAAAACAAUCCAAAAUUUAUAAGAAGAUGACACCUGGCGCGAUCUCAGCCCGUCACUGAUGACUACUUGCACAAGUGUACGUCAGUCAACAUGGCCACACCCUCCCAUUUUACCCUAAAUUAUUAUUUUAUUACUUUUCCUUACAAAAAUCAUAACUAAUUACACACAAAAUAAAAAAAUUAUCCGAAAAUUGCUACGAACUCAUUGACACACCAUCUCCGUUGCUGAAUUCUCCGAUUCAUUGUUACGCAUUUUUAAAAUUAAUUCCGAACAUUAACGGGAGAUGCUUGUUGAAGUAGGUUAUUCAAGUUGAAGUUAACAAACAUCAAUACUUAGGGUUAAGAGGAAAGUGAGUUAUGUAACACAAUUUGGAUUAUUUCAUUGCGAGACGGAUGAUUUAUAGGUUCUCCUCGUUUUAUGACGUCACAAGGAGGCCCGGGUCAUUUUCCCAACCUAUAAUAGGAAUUUCCUACUAUUUUUUACCUAAUUUCAAGGAUUUUUCCACUAAAAUAGCCAACCCUAAUUGCAAGAAGACACCUGCCGCGAUCUCGGGCCGUCACCUUUCACCACUUCCACAAGUGUACGUCAGUCAACAUGGCCACAUCCUCCCAUUUUACCCUAAAUUAUUAUUUUAUUACUUUUUUUGUUGGAAAAUUCACAACUAAAUACACAAAAAUUAUAAAAAAGAUCCUAACAUUUCAACGAACUUAUUGAGAUUUCAUCUUCCUACUUAAAUCCCUGUUUCAUGGUUAUGCUACAUUAGUAUUUUAUUAUUAUUAAUCCACAAUUAUUAUAAUUAUUAUGAUAUUACUUUUUAGGCUGUCCAUUUGUUAAUUAUAUUUAGUCCAACUUGUUUAAAACAAUUUUAUUUUCCGUGCGAAUAGCCCAUUUGUAGUGCUCAUCGGUUUCUCUGUUCUUCAAUUUGUUAAAUUUUUUAUUUUUUAGGUUGAAGGGAUGUUUUCAAACAUAAUAUGGAAAUAUACAAGUCAUCCAUUGUACUCCUUCCACACAAACAAAUUAUUCAACGUCAUUCACUGUUCAAAUUUUGCUUAAGAAACGUGUAACCAAAUCCUGUCGGAUAUGCUAAGUGGGAAAAUGUCAUUCCCAAGCAUUGGCGAAAAGACACCUAUUUACUCCAUGCAUGACUUUUGGUUUACCACAUAUGAAUAUUGGGGUGGGUGAGCAAAAUAUCUGUGUCAGUAAAAUGUCAUUCGUAGCCGUCUAUGAUGUAAGUAAUAAUUCCGCUAUAUAAUAAAUAUUAUACAUUUAUAUAUAAAACGGUUUAUGACAAAAUACCAACAUUUAAACAACAUUCGUACAACGUAGCCAGCCAACCUAUAAGUAAAGAGAAGCAAGUCCACAAUGCAUCAAAACCGUCAAUUCGUACUACAACUAAUGCAAAAAUACGUGAUUCCCUCGCACAACAUACUCACGCAUCAGUUUGCACCAAAAAAUACUCUCACGGUGCCAUUUGCAUCGAUUGCAACAAGUCCACAACGCAGGAUUUAGCUUGUCUUCACUAGGCCAGCCUGGAAUAACAAAAUACCAUUCAUUGUUGUUACAAGCGCUGCAGCGAUUGAACUGAAUCUUCCCAUAGUCAAACAUAUCUACGAUAUGUCUUGCAACUCUUGAUGUGGUUAAUCUUCGUGUCAAAGCAUCCCUGGUUCCUUUCAUAUCAAUGUUGUUACGUUGAUUCAAAGAACACAAGAAUUGUAAUGCAUCCUCUUUUGACUGACCAAUUCCGGACAUACCAAGUAGUCCAACUACAUAUGCCGCUUCCAUAUGGCCUGCCGUGGCUGCAAUGCGCAUCCCAUACAACGCUUCCACCUUACCGGCCGUGAAAAAAAUACCGAAUGCUUCUCUAAAUAUCGACUCAGGGUUAUCGCAAGCCCUGCAUUGUUGCAAGAAAUGCUGGACCGCAGGUCUGGCACGGUACCAGCUAGGAUGGUCUGGGUACUUUGCCAUUGAAAUGGUGUUCCACACUUGUGGACUGUUUGCCAAAGUUUGGAACAAUCGGCACACAGAUGCCAUACGGAAGAGAUCUUCCGAUGAUUCGGUUGCCACGUAUAACAUCACUUGAAACCAAGCGGACUCCGGGAUGAAGGCUUGGGGCAUAUCGAAAUGGAGAUGCUUCCUUCUCUUUCCUCCGACUAUAGUGAAGUGUUUCGAAUUCAUUGAAAAGUUUUUGGAAUGGAACGAUUUGAGGAGUGGCAGAGGGGAUAAAUGAGAAUAUUUGGGGUACACGUUUUGUUUUAGCCUCUGUUUAUAGUGUUUUGAAAAGGUGUUUGCAGUUGGGGUUUUUCCAAGUUGACCCUUUUUCAAGAAACUGAACCGAAGUGAAUUAAAACUGAACACAAAAGAAGGGAAAACGUCAUAACGGUGCAUACAGAGUCAGACAGUCAAAAAGUUCAUUAAAUGGCUAUCUGCAUAGCCAUUUGUGGGAUUAUCCCAGUAUCAAAUUCAUUGAUACAAAUGUGAUGGAUUACUGAGUAGUGACAGAAGGUCCCAUCAUAUACUUUUUCAUUUUCCCACACCCAACUACCCCUACUAAUGUUAUUGAAAUGGAACCAAUAAUGACGGAUUCUUAUCCAACUAGUUGCCUUAAUGAAAUAUAUAUAAAAUAAUAAAUUUGAAGCAGUGUCCCCUCAUUUUUCCGAAAAUAUAUUUGGUAGUGAAGUAGUUUAUAUUGCUUUUCGGGCUAAAAGAUGCCGCAAUGCCGACGGUACAGGUGUCGACAUCGUGACCAACCCACCAAAUGAUCCCAAGAAAAAGAAAUAUAACUCGAUUUGGGCAGAGAUGAGAGAGAGCUGAGUGACAAGUUUAGGGUUAUGAGUGAAGGGGUAUGAAUGACAACUAUGAGUGAGAAGGUAUGAGUCCGAAGAGGUUUCAGUGAGAAGAUCUGAGUGAGAAGAGGUACAACUGAGAAGAUUCAACAUGUCUUCGUCUUCAUCUCCCGCUCAAACAAAGAGGUGUCAGUAUUGUGGAGCUACAAUGGUGCUUCGGGUUUCAAAAUCUGACAAAAAUCGAGGGAAGCCAUUCUGGAAGUGUCUAACCUCCUAUGUAAGUUUUAAUUUGAAUAAUAUGUAUGUGGGUCAAAAUAAACCCAUGUCUAACUCUGACAGAAUUAUAUUCCAUAUAUGAUGCCUGCAAUUAGGGAGCCACCAGUUGCAAUGGAUUCGAAUGGGUUGAUGUAAACUCCGCUGAAGCAGAACAUCAAGAUGACACGUAUGAUGCUAGAGUGCUGAACAUGCUGAAGUCCAUUAAGGACUUGGUAUUAGUUUUAUUAGUUGUAUCAAUUGUCAUUUUAUUUGUUCUUUUAAGGAUCAUUUAACUGCACGGUUUCAAAGAUUGUGAAAGUUCUCCCGCACAAGACAUGUUGCACGCACCACCAAUGAGACCCUAAACCCAUUUUGUAAUAUUUGUUAACUGCAUGUAUUUCGCCUGUUAUAGAACCGAUAUUGAAUGUUUAUUGAAGGUUAUUGAUAGUUUGCUGCAUGUAUAUGGAAUAUCCUUGGCCCAAUAUUGGAUGUUUAUUGGGGCCACAAGUAUCACUGAAGUAAGAAUGAAUGGGGGAAACGGACGUUAUUCUUUCUUUUAGUAGGAAGAACAACUGUUAAGUUUAAUAUCCUAUUCAAUACGACUUCCUUAUGGUUGGUGUACUUGGGGAGUGAAGUAUAUUGCAUCAUUAUUGUGGGGUCUAUUGUGUGUGUUAAGGGAGUAUUGUGUGUAUAUUGCAUGUGUAUUGUGUGUAUAUUGCAUAUCUACUGUCUGUAUAUUGCAUGUCUACUGUGUGUAUGUCUGUAUAUGGCAGGCCAAUUUUGUGUAUAUUGUUUGGCUGUUGUGUCUGUAUUGCUUGGCCAAACGCAAGUGAAUUGUUGUUCAUUUUUUGUAUAUUGUAAUUGUUUCUACUUUUAUGCUACUGAGCUGCCGAAAACCUUUCGCAUGUUUAGACACCUAUUAUGAUGCAACUCAUUGCGAAUAAUGGUGGCUUGCAUCAACAAUGACAUCACUUUGCAAUGGUGUAAUACACUUAAAAAGCCAUCUUCAAAUCCCAAUUAACAUAUGCAGUCUUAAAAUUCCAAUUCAAUGCAGUUUGGUUAACAAACAUGUAAAUGUCAUGAAGGAGUUAGCGGUAGAAUUCGAAAAGGACCCGUACGUCUCUAUUGUGUAUUUACAUUAGUUUGAGAAUGGACAUUCCCAAAACCUUCUCAUGUACCAUUUGUCAUCUUCAACCAAUAUCAUGGGAAGUAAGCAUCUCCCCUUGUUAUCUCCGCAGCCAAUUUCAACCGAAAAAAAAGGCAUGUUGUGCGAGGUGCAAGUAGCUAAUGAAAGCUGAGCGCUGAUAAGCUCAAUGUACUUUAACACAAACAUGCCACAAUCGCCUCUGAAGCAAAACAAGAACUCGAUCAACUCAACUAAUGACAUUCUAACGUAAUUCACAAUUCAAAGUAAUAAAAUUAAAUUGCAAGUUGUGCUUACUCAUUACACUGUUGUGGAACAUCCACACGCUCUAUUGGCCAUGGACACCACCAAUCUCGCCUGCAAUUGUUUGCAUAAACACCUGCUUCAUAAAAGUCGAUGGUGUUGAGAAGAUUUGGAAGCGUAAUUGAUAGCGGGGCGAGUUCUUCCUUUACGAUGUCAUCUGGAAUUAGUGAAACCUUUGAAUCGUACACUUUUAUUUCACACAAUACCAGAUCAAUCAUUACAGCCACCCAAUGCUUGUACUUCGUCAACAUAACUGGGGUAUACACCGUAUAGACGUUCUGCCAUUCCAUCCCACACGGAGGAACCUUCCCAUUUACAACGUUUAGUAAACUAUUUCUGAUUUUCCACCGAACCUGCUGUUUUUUUCGUUUAUUAUCCGUAAAGCAAGUUCGAAUGUGAUUCUGUGAAAUAUAAAACAAUCAAUGGUUAGACACCUCCACUAUUGUCUGUAUGGAAAAUGUGUAAUUAUUAACGGCACUUGGUCAAGGCCGAUGACAUACCAUAAAAAAAACAUCUGUCGUUGUCCAGUCCGCUAUUUCUACUUCCUCAAACUGUUGUUGUCGCUUCCGGAUGAGAUACAACCCCAAAUCAAUGUGCUGCAACAUGUUGUUCUUGUCAAUCUCAUAAUCUAUGUACAUUAAAACAAAUGCAUAAUCAAUUACACUUACAUCUCCUUUCAGCCAACCAUCAACUUUCACGAGGGAAGCGAAGAAUUCAAUCUCAGCUUCCACGUUGCCAAAUUGCAUCACCAAACUAUGAAUAUAAAACAGUUUUAGAACACUGUAUAUUACGAUAAAUAUACAGUCAUGCUUCUAUCUUAUAAUUGCAAGGGACUUACUUUGGGUCCUGGCGCCAUUCCCAACAAAGUUUCAGCAAAUUCACCAGAUCAUCAUGCGGAAUCGCCUUCAUUGGGUCUAACAUCUUCAGUCCGGUUGUCUGUGCCCCAGUUUGUGGAACCAAUUCAAUGCAUUCAAUGAUCUCCCACAUACGAAUGAUCCUCUUCCUUUUCCGUAAUUGGACCCCUUGUGCCACAGCUUUACCUUGAUCAUUCAACCACACGUUCAACUGAGAUAACACAGCUGUAGGUUGAUCCAGAUCAAUGUCCCCGACAGUAAACUCAAGCAGUGUCCCCUCCGUGCUCUCGCCAAUGUCAUCCCCAAGCAACAUAACAUCAUUAUCUUCUUUCUCACAUUGGUUUCUUUGCACUUCCUUUUCCUCACUUCUUUGUGUUUUCACUUCCUUGCCAUCCCUUUUUUUCCUUUGCAGUUUCUCUCCCUUACUGCUUUUUCUUUUCACUUCCUCUCCCUCACUGCUCUGUCUUUGGCCUUCCUCUCCUUUGCUACUUUUUACUUGCACUUGCUCUCCUUCACUUCUUUUCCUUUGCCCUUCCUCUACCUCACUUGGUAUUCGUUGCACUUCACCGCCUUCAAUCCCCUCCUCUUCCUUUUCCUCUCCCUCAUUUCUAUUGCUUGGCCCUUCACCCCCUUCAAUCCCCUCCUCUUCCUUUUCCUCUCCCUCAUUUCUAUUACUUGGCCCUUCACCCCCUUCACCCCCUUCAAUCCCCUCCUCUUCCUUUUCAUCUCCCUCAUUUCUAUUACUUGGCCCUUCACCCCCUUCAAUCCCUUCAUCUUCCUUUUCCUCUCCCUUAUUUCUGUUACUUGGCCCUUCAUCCCAUUGAAUGUCAUCCAAUUCCCGAUAUCCCCUAAAUAGAUGUGAGACGACACAACGCUUCGUCCUCUGUUUCAGUAAAGCUAGGUCCCUCCUUACUUCCUGCUCAAACUGAGGACCUAAACAUUGGUCCAACAGUUUUUCCAUCCGUAUGACCUUUAAGUGAAGCACGUCUUUUUCCCGCUUUACUUGAAACAACUCGGACCUCAACAAGCUUACCACCUUGUUCAACUGAUCAAGAUCACCACAUGAAGAAAGAAUUGACUCUGCCGAGACAACAGCCCUUCGUCCUCUGUUUCAGUAAAGCUAGGUCCCUCCUUACUUCCUGCUCAAACUGAGGACCUAAACAUUGGUCCAACAGUUUUUCCAUCCGUAUGACCUUUAAGUGAAGCACGUCUUUUUCCCGCUUUACUUGAAACAACUCAGACCUCAACAAGCUUACCACCUUGUUCAACUGAUCAAGAUCACCACAUGAAGAAGGAAUUGACUCUGCCGAGACAACAGCAGGGCGAUCCUGUGGCCAACUCCAAUAUGGCUGUCUCAUUUCCUCUUCACUCGGACAUUGCGCCCGCAACUGAACUGACUGUUUCAGAAUACAAACCACAGUCAUAUUAAAUCAUUCAACUUCAAAAUUUCAUUCAAUCUUAUCAAUAGUUCCAAGGGCUGCAAAACAAACCUGUUUGCUCUGGAAAAAAUAAUUGUUCAACUUUCUCAUCUCUGGAACAGACGUAGUAGUUCUCCAUCGCAAAAUACGCGGGACAGCGGUCGGAUCAACAACCUUGCAGUAAUUCAGGUCCACCAUUCUAGGAAUUAAUUCAUAUAUCCAAAUCUACACAAUUCACAGGACAAAAGUCAUUAUUUAUGUUUUAAAUAAAAACAAAACAUAACUCACAUGAACAUUAUUACCAUGUACCUGGAAAGCAUACGUGAAACCUUUAAAACUCCAGCCACUCCUUUGCGCUUCACCAUGCUUAUCCUUCCUGCCCUUCUCAUUUAUCCGGCUUGUUCCCGUUACCUUACUUUUCCCCUUCCCUCUUCCCUCUUCAUUUUGCAAGCUUUUCACAUACUUUGUUGGUGCAGAAAAUAGACUGUCUUGGGUUUUGUCAAAGGACACCGAACCCCACGGAUACCUGUUGAACGCAUCCAAGUCCUCUACAAGGGUCAGGUAAUUUAGAUUGAUGUUCAAAUGUUUGUCCCUUCCCAAAACCACUAACUCAGCAAAGUAAACAAGAGCUAGCUUGUAGAUGUCAACUUCCUCUGUGCACCUCAUAAAUGCUUCUUCUAAAGCAUUGCAUGUAAUUCCUUCGUCUAUAAAAUAUCUUUUCUGAAGUCUGCUUACAUCACUCCCUCCACUGGAAACUUCAGGCACUUCCCCAAAACGAAGCCCUGUGAUCAAACAGAAAUCCUGACGACUGAACUGAGCAACGUCACACCCUAAUAAGAAACUCAGUCCAUCCAAGUCUUUCACACCCUGCCCCGCUACUCUACGCAACACAGCCCCAUGCACAAUCUGCCCGCUAAACUGAAUCUUAUAUAUAUUCAGAAGAUGGCCAAAGCAUGAUGUCUUGAAUUGUUCUAAUUGUUCCGCACUCAACUUCACUCGAAUUGCAGCUAGAGAUGAAUUUGCAUGUGAGCAGUUGUUCACCCGUGACGAAUAUGCCUCUGCCUCUGGCCAUACCAGCUCCACGUUGGAUCCCAUUUCCUCAAAUACAAUGUGAAAUAACAUGAACACAUAUACUACCACGUAUUUGCACAAUCACAACUAGUCAACCAGGCACAUUACAAAUUUUACAAAGUACAUGAGCAUACGGAUUACUGAUCACAGGCUUUAACAUCAUCAAAGCAAUAUGAUAAAAUUUGUGCAAAUACCUGUUAAUGCAAUGAUUAUGUGAAUUACAAACAAUUUCACGUGUUUUAUUUAUGGAUCCAUACUCGUGUGAGUGCAAUGUAGGCAAGUUCUGCACUUCACACACAUGACAAUUAUUGUCAUCUCAUACACAACACAAAAUAAAUAAAUUAGAAAUAUAGUGGAAGGAAGCAAAGCAAAGCAUCUACUCUGCUAUCUGCUUGCUAAGCAAUUGCCACAUCCUUCUUUCUUUCUAGCUUUUUCUUCAGUCACCCACAAUCGUCAUAGAUCAACCUUCAUUUCAAAUGCUUUGCACUUUUAUUCAUGAGUUUAUUAUUAUCUGUUCUCAUUUCUCAUAGGCAAAUUUAGUAACAAAUGAAAUCAUAUUUAUUUCACAAAAUAUAUAAAUUCUAGUGCCAGAGAGGUACUCUUCACUCUGCACUGCUUCAAAUGUGGAAGGUUUUGAGCGCCUCCUCCAAUUUAACACCAUUAUCUUAUUCAUAUCAUUACUAACAUGUUAUUGACAUGUUAUUGAGAUGUUAUUGACAUGUGAUUGACUCUAUUUUCAUUCGUUUUUUAACAUAUACCCAAGCAAAAAUUAACAUGCAAUUGAAGCACAAAUAAGAGAUGCCAAAUCCAACAACAUUGAUGGUACAAAUUGGGGAAAACCAUUACUCUAACCCUAAACUCAAAUUCCUUAAAUUACUCAUCAAUUGCUUUGCACUUCUAUUCGUGAGUUUAUUAUUAUCUGUUCAAAUGUUUGUCAGGCAAAUUUAGUAACAAAGGAAAUCAUAUUUACUUCAUAAUAUAUAUAUAUAUAUAUAUUCUACCGCCUCUUCUUAAUCUGCACUAUGCACUGCUUCAAAUGUGGAAGGUUUUGAGGGCCUCCUCCAAUUCAACACCAUUAUCUUAUUCAUAUCAUUAUUGACAUGUUAUUCACUUCUUAUUGACUUGAUUUUCAUUCUUUUUUUAACAUAUACCUAAGCAAAAAUUAACAUGCAACUGAAGCACAACGAAGAGAUGCCAAAUCCAACAAAAUUUAUGGUACAAAUUGGGGAAAACCAUUAAUCUAACCCUAAACUCAAAUUCCAUAAAUUACUCACCAAAACCUGGUUAUUGCAAGGUGUCUGUGUGGGGUCUUUCUGUUUCUUUGCUCCACAAAUGGAACCUACCACUUCCAACGAAUACAGCUUCUCCCCUUCCCCUUCCACUGCUUCGCCCCUUCACUGAUUUGGAAUCCACACCUUUGCCCCUUCUACUCCAAAUAAAUACUUUUUCGGGGUCUGGAGAACGGAGUGGCGAAUCGUUGCCUUCAACUGUCGUUAGCCGUUGCCUUCAUUGGGUAUCUCAGACCUCUGUGUUUUAGAGAGAUGAGUUCUUUCUGUUCAAACUUCGAACUUGCCUCUUCUUCUUCUUUUUCGGACGUGUUUCCCUCUUCUUCUUCUUUUUGGACGUGCUGGAUAUUCAAUUCGGGUUUGGGUUCCUCACCUACCCAAUUGUGAAACUUUAUCUCAAUUCUCCCCAGCCCUUGGAUUAAUCUGAUGGCUAUAAAGUGAACCCCUUAUAACUUACCCCUUAUAACUUUCCACUCAUUAUAGUCUUGGCCCCAAUUUAAGCGCGAGACUAUAAUGCGGAGAUUCUAUGCGGAGGUUAUUUGUGGGGAUUACUUACUAGGCCAUUAGAUUGAUCAAAUGGCUAACAUUAGUAUCCUCUUUAUGCUACAACCGGGUUGGCAUUACCCGUUGAGCAAUGCUAUUCACAAUCGAAGUACUCAACUGUCACCUCCUCAGAACCCACAUCAGCAACGACGACCUCACUCUCUCUCUUUCGGCCGCUGUUCUCCACCUCCAUCUCUCACUCUCUGUCACUUAUUUCAACCGCCGUUCUUCCCCCUCCGGUUCAACAAAUUUCUCAAUUUCUUCAGCAUUCCUGAAAUCCAUAUACCUAGAGAUGACGUCCCAGGUACCCAGCUCAACUUUUCGCCUUUACUUUCAUACCCAUAUGUUAUUUGGGUUUUCUUCUGAUUGUUUCAAUUUCAUAUAGUGGUCUAGAAAGUUGCUCAAAAUCCAAAUUCUUGCUACAUCGUUUUAUUUAUCAUGCUUAUUUGCUUGUUCUGAAUAUAUGGUUCUAUUUGUUUGGUUAGGCUGAGUUGAUGAGUGCAUGAAAAAAUGGCCUGUAGGUGUUCGAUGAAUCACCUUAAUGAGGCGCACUAUGGUUUUCUUUGAGAUACAAACCAAUUGGGACAAUUCUCAUGGUAUAUACUUAAAGGUGAACUUCUAGGAGGACCCAAUGAACCCAUCUAAAUGGAAGGAAGCACAUGUGAGUUUUAUUAUAAUUUGUUUACGAAGAUGUCUUUACAGUGCAUAAUGGUUUUGUUAGAUCGCCAUUGACAUUAGUUUAAUUACCUUUUAACAAUGCUUGAGAAAUGUCCCUGUUUUUGCAUGAAGACUUACACAGGUGCCAUAUUAUGUCAGUUUAUAGUGAAUGGAUACUUGGUUGUGUCAUUUGAUAUUUGGAAUUCUAUUAGAUUUAUUUUCUUAUUUUUCAACUUUUGUGUCAUGCCUUGAGUUUCUUUCAUUUCGACAUCGCCAUUUAACUUGUGCUGUGAACAAGUUAAUACUACACUGUUUUGUGUCAUUGUGAAAUUGAGAAAUAAAGUUCAUGUUAUUAUUUUGCAGGAAUUCUAAGGGCCAUGAUAUGGUAAAAAAGUAUGUGAACAAACAAAAGAAACAUAGAAAGGGUCUGAUGCUGCUACUUCACAUGGCCAGGUUUUGCUGCUGCUUCGUCUUCCUCAUUUACCUAAAAGAAAGGGUCUAUAUCUCUAGCAUUUGCAUCCAAAUGUCCCUUGCCCUGCCCUGCCCUGCCUUGCCCUGCCCUACCCUGCCCUGCAGUACUAGCUAGCACAACAGCCCCUGUUGUACGUGGUCCCCUGAUUUGGUUUCUUUGAGCCAUGUGAUGCUUUCAGCUUCCUAGAUCCAACUCCAAUGACUAUUUAUUAAGUCAUAAUUUACUGCCUAUAAUUAGGACCUGCGGUUUGAAGUUUUUAAUUUGGAACAAUUCAUGUACUGUUAAAACAUAAAUGGUGCAAAGCCAAUGCCAAGAAUAGAAAAAAUAAGCAAUAUGAUCAUACAGGGGUUAACGCCCAUGUAGAUAUGCACUGAUCAAGCUUGAGCAGUAAGGCUUUUCGUCUUGUGCUUGGUAGGUUUGCUUUUCCUCGUCCAUUAGAUGUUUUCCAAUUUUGAGGUGAUAUGAUACUCUUCCUCUUGGCAUUAUUCUCAUGGCUAUGAAAUUUCAGUUUGCAAUGAAUGACUAUAUCAAUCUAAAAGAUUAUUUUUGUGUAGAAAUUGAAUGAAAGUAAAUUGUACUGCAUACCUCUGUGGUGUCUAUGUUCUGGAGUUAAUGUUGUUGAUCAAUGAUAGCCUCUUUCAUAAUUCUUUCAUUGAUUAAUAUUGUUGUUCUCUCAUUGUUCCAGAGUUAACUUGAUUGAGUUUUGAUGCACUGCGUGAAAUUUUGGAUACCAUGUGAGUUAUAAGUUACGAAUGAAGCACAGACAAAAAACAAUGAACUCUAUUUUUAUAAGAAACUUAGUCUGCUUUGAGUCUUUUCCUGAUACGUAAGUAGGAGAUUUUAAAUUGGGCUUGUUUGUGCUUUUGCGCAUCUGCAUAUAUAGCAAUAAAAGGAAAGUGAUGGUUCCAAUAGAGCAUAUCAAAGAUCUACCUCAUUAGUACCAAAUUGUCUUUUGUAUUACUCUGUAUAUACAUAUUUAUAUAUGUACAUAUUGAUAUUGCUUUAUUUUGUUUCUGUUGUAGAGGAAGAUGAUGGAUGAAUUUGGGAAGGUGAAGCAACAAUUGGUAGAGUACGUGAUCAUGUCACGGCCUAUAUCCCACAAGCUUGGUCUCUAGCGAUUUGAAACCCUAACUCUUAAGUCUUGAGAUAAUUGACAUUUUUUUUUCAUAACAGUUGGAGCAAGAUUAUUGUUGGCUUCUAGAAGAUUGUUGUCAUUGAGAACCUUCAUCAAUUUGGGGUGGGACAACAUUCCAUUCUGUUGCAAGAAGUGUACUAUAGUUAUAAGGAAAAAAAAACAUGUAAUUAAGGAACUAUUUGUGUGUCAGACAGACCAUGUAAUUAUUUAGUCCUCAUGGAAUGAAAUUGAGUUUAAUUUACUUGAGAAAUUUCAGUCUUGAAUAUGUUGUUUGUAUAUAUUUGCAAGUGUAUGCAAUGGAAAAAUACUUUUAUUUAUAUUAUUAAUUGAAGAGAGCACAUUAUAUACAUUAUGUGUAUAUAUAGCUCAUUCUUCUUGCCUUUGUAGGAUGGCAAUGGGUCAAAUCGGGGGUGGGUAUGCCAUUCCCAUCCCCAUCCCAGUGAAGCUUUUUUCCCACAUCCCCACAUUCAUACCCGCAAUACAGACUUGAAAAAAAAAAAAAAAGGAUAUAUGAGGUCAAUACAGUAGCAAUACACAAGCAAUAAAGGGCUAUACAAUGGCAAUACACAAACUCCAUACCCCCCUAUAAAUUUAUUCCAACAGACUUGAAAAAAAAUAUAUAUAUAUAUAUAUGGGGGCAAUACAAUAGCAGUACACAAGCAAUAAAAGGCUAUACAAUGGUAAUACAGUAGCAAUACACAAGCAAUAAAAUGCUAUACAAUGGCAAUACACAAACUUCAUACUCCCCCUAUAAAUUUAUUCCAAGACUUUAAAAAAAGAUAUACGGGGGCAAUACACAGGCAAUAAUAGGCUAUACGAUGGCAAUACAGUAGCAAUACACAAGCAAUAAAAGGCUAUACAAUGGCAAUACACAAACUUCAUACUCCCCCUAUAAAUUUAUUCCAACAUACUUUUAAAAAAAGAUAUACGGGGCCAAUACACAAGCAAUAAAUAGCUAUACAUGUGCAAUACAUAUGCAAUACAUAUCAGUCAUGGCAUUUGCCAAUUAAAUCAUUGAUUUGGUUACAUUUGUAUUUUUUUCUUCUUUGCAAGGGGAAUGAUAAAACCAUGGAAACUAGAGAUUGACAAAUUUCCUUCUAACUUGACUUUCAUAAAUUGAUGAACUAACAGUGUUAUCUCAUUACAUCUUAAGAUAUACAUAAGAAAGUGGCAAAAAACAAAAAAAUUUCAUCUCCUCUUGGUCUAGAAUUUUAACACAAUUCAUAUGUAUAAGAAACAUUCCAAGACAUGUCCUCUUAGACCCGAAUUUAAGCUCAAAGUUAGCAAUUUCCUCCCCAAAUCAUUGAUUUGGUUACAUUUGUAUUACUUGUUCAGAAACGGAGUGCAAAGUUAGGCGAGUGAGAGACUACUGGAGGCUCUUUCAACAUAUCAUGUGUCUCUUUUUCUUCUUUUCUCUCUACUAUGAAGAUCUUGCAAAUAAUUUUUGUGACACAAAGACAGAAUAAGAGAGCUCUUAGGUUAUAGUUGUUGUAAUAGGUAAUGAUGAACCAUUUUCUGCAACAUUAAUGACAGGGGUUUAACAAAACAGAAUAUUUUUUGAAUAAAAGGGUUUGCAAUAGGGCUGAAAAAUCACAUACCAGUGAAAGAAUUGAGUUGUGGGUUUCAACCCUUGUUCCUUCUUCUUCAGCAACGUCCUCCACAUCUGAGUGUCUUGGAGCAGCAAAUUUGGCUUUUGGAAGUUGGAAAGGGGCAGCUCUUGUUUGUCUCCAGAGGAAGUUUCAGACGUAGGACUUUGGACCUCUGUUUCAAAGAAAAUAGGAGAUAUGAGAGAGAAGUUCCGGGUUGCUCAUUUUGUGAUGGGUAAUUUUAACCCGAUUGUAAAAAAAACUUCCUACUUAAAUCUGAACCGUUCAUUUAAUAUUGAUGGUUGUUAUCAUUCCGCACAUAACCUCCUCAUAAUAGCCUCUGCAUUCUAGCAGCUCCCCCAAUUUAAUGCCCCCAAUUCAGACCCUAAUCUCCAUCGCAUUGGCAAUAGAGGAGGUGAAGACCAUAGGCCGAGAGCUUGCGAUGGGCUCUCAAGGCGGCUUCGCCAAUUCAAGGAGUUCCUGGAUGUCGUCAAGUCCAUCGGUGAAGCUUGAUCCAAGGCCGAAGAAGAGCGCAUCUUCCUCCUCGAGAUCGAAACCCUAAAACGAUGUCUCCCCUAGCCCGAAAUCCCCAAGUACAAGAUGAAGGAGUACAUCAUCCGCCUCAUCUACGUCGCAAUGCUCGGCCACGACGGCUCCUUCGCCUACAUUCACUCCAUCAAGAUGACCCCUGACGACAAUCUCUUGCUCAAACGCACCAGUUACCUCGCUGUUUCGCUCUUCCUCAGUGACGAUCACGAUUUGAUCAUCUUGAUCGUCAACAUCAUCCAGAAGGAUCUUAAGUCGGACAAUUAUCUUGUCGUUUGCGCUUCUCGCUCAUCAACGACGAGACUGUGCCUACCGUUUUUCCCAGAUCGUGGAUCUGCUUGCCCAUCCCAAGGAGGCUGUGAGGAAGAAGAUCACCAUGGCACUUCACCGCUUUUAUCAGAAUAGUAGUCUUCGGUUUCGCAUCUGGUCUCGAAUUCCCAGAAGCGGCUUUGUGAUAACGAUCGGGGAGUUAUGGGUGCUACGGUCUGCCCCUUGUUUGAUCCCAUUACCAUCGAUGAGAAUUCUUAUAAGGAUUUGGUGGUCAGCUUUGUCAGCAUUCUUAAACUGGUCGCCGAGGUUAGGUUGCCCAUGACCUACGAUUAGCAUCAGUUGUUGGGGCCAUCUAUUCAGGUUUUACUUACUUUCAAUGAAGUUGAGCUUAUUCAUGUGGGAAGUUUUGGGCAUGAUAGAUGAAUUGAAAUAAUGAGCCUUGUUUGUUGUUUGUUGUAAUGUAAUGUACUAAUGGAAUUAGUUUGAUAAAGCAGAUUAGAUUGUUGAAGAUCUUGGCAUUGUUGGGAAGUGGUGAUAAGCAAUCGAGUGAGAAGAUGUAUAUGGUAGUCAUCGAUAUUUUUAGAAAGUGCGAUUCUACUAGUAAUAUGGGAAAUAUUGUACUUUAUGGGUGUAUUUGUUGCGUUUCUGCCAUAUAUCCAAAUCCUAAGUUGUUAGAACAGGCUGCUCAAGUCAUCUCAAGAUUUUUGAAGCUUUGAAGUUUUUAUAUUUUUCAGUGUAAUUUCCUGCAAAUUAUAGUCUGCAUGUAGAUUAUUUGGAGAGUUAAACACCAAUUCCUUGUUGUAUAUUUGGUGGACAAAGUGACAGUCAUAAUUUGAAAUACAUGGGUGUUGAUGCUCUUUUUGGGAGGUCAACUUAGAGAGAAGUGGAUUGUCUUCAGCAGUGGAGAAGGUGGGGAUAUUCAGUAAGAGAAGAGCCUGGAGAAGACAAAGUAGGAUAAGCAAUCGUUAAGCUUCGGACAUCGGUGUGGUGUUGGCCAAAGGCUCUCCGAUGCUUAAGUUAGCUAAGAGUAGUAACUUUGACAGAGUAACAGUAAAAGUGAGAAAGUAGUUAUCUUUUUUACUUGGGUACUGCUCCCUAUUUAUAGGGGAGUGAAAAUAGGAGGUUUGCACAAAGUUUCGAUGUGGGACUUUGUGCAAGUUGCUGUGGUGGUGACACGUGUCCUAGGGAUUAGGUUCAGCAAUUGGGACCUUCGACAGUCAGGAGCUUUAGCAGGUGCUUGGCACCUCGGAAGAAUGUAUUCCUUCAACGGGGAAGAAGGCGUGUUUGCCUUUGGUGCUAGUCGCUUUGAGGCUGGAUAUGCUCGGUUGAUUAUGGUGUAAAUAGUAGUCCCCCAAGUUCGCGGUCAAGAAGUAACUUCUAGGUUGGGAACUUGUUAGAUUUUUGUGUAAUCAUGACCAAGCAUUCCAGAUUCAAUGGGAGUCGUAGGGCAUUCCAUAGUCCCCCAAGUUGGCAAGCUAGAAGUUGCGUCAAUACUUGGGAGGUAUAGUAGAAGCUGUGUGAGCCUCUAGAACUAUUGGUAGGUGGGUACCUGGGCACUCAGCAAGGAACGGGUUAAGGGCUGGGCCUUUUGGGUAUUCGGUGCUGGGCCUUUGAUUAGAGCCUAGCUCGUGGCACGGAGGGGUGCCGUGGUGGGCUCAUUGAAUUGAAGCUGGGUUUCAUCAGGAUCCGUUCGGCAAGGGUCAAUGUUGCUUUGUGAAGAAGGCUGUGCAAAGUCAUUGUUGUUCCGGUAAGGGGAGCCGGGCUUGUCCUUGUGGAGUCUAAGCUUCGGCAAGGGGAGCCAGGCUUGUCUGUGAGGCCCGUUGUACAUUCCACAUGGCCCUUGCCGUUCGGCACGGACCCUUUCCUUUUUUCUUUUUAUCUUUUUUUGUUUUUUAUUUUUUGGGAACCUUGUGGUUCUUCUUGAACAGCUUGGGUCCUGGCUUGUGUCGGCAUGGUCCUUACUGUUCGGCAAGGGACCAAUAUGGGCUUGGGCUAGCAAGGAGCAAGGGUUGGGCCCUAGAUGGACUUCGGCAAGGCUUUGUCCAUUUGGACUGGUGUUGGUUGGAAAAGGAGCGAGCACCCCAUAGCCGUUACAUAGCCCUUGCCGUUCGGCAAGGGUGUGUUUUGGGAGAAAAAUUUCGAAAGGCAAUCAGGUGGGCCAUUGGGGCUGGGCCCUUGGGGUGUUUUUAGGCUCUUGGCAAAAACCUAAGGUCAAAAAGGCCGGGCCUUGUGCUUGUGGGCUUCAGCAGGUAUGAGGCGCUAGGGUUAGGAUUUGUGAGGAAAGUAUAAACAACCCCUUGUAGCUCUUGCCGUUCGGCAACAGAGCCAACCUCUUUUUCGAUAGCUGCGGUAGGGCUGGCGUGCUGGGAGAUCUCUUUCUAUAGCUUAGUUGCCGAUUGGUACCAUUCAAAGAUUCUCUCUCUGAGUCCUCAUAUAUCCUUUCGAUACCGUGGUGGGAAGGAGACCCCUAGAUUGAGCACCAGUCUACCGUUCGGCAACCCAGUCUCUUCGGGGAGAAGGGAUCAAGGACUUGCGCAGCAAGAUCUACUAGCACUCCCGCAGCUAUGUCACAGUAGUCCCUGCCGAACGCCAGGGUUGGCUUAAGUUUUGUUGAAGGUGUCGUGAGCCAAAGGUGUGAACUAUUCGUGUGGCUACGAUUUAGUCUUUGUAGGUGGGCCUUCGGCAAGAAGACUUGUGGAGGCGCCUCUUAAACAUUUUGCAUAGCCCUUGCCGUUCAGCAAGGGCAACUGGGGGUUAUGCGCGUGUUUUUGUUUGAGAUUUUGGGCCGGGCAGCACAGCAGUGGUCUAGGCUCGAGGACUUGGCGAGUGAUUACCUUCGGCAGGUGCUUGGAAAGAGAAGACCAAAGGGGUUGGCUUCUAAGGAUUCGAAGUGAGCUGGGAUAAUGAAGUGAGCUUUUUUGCAAGGACCCAUUUUCUUCUUGCUCAACCCUUGCUAUUCGGCAAAGGUGUCUUGAUCAUAUUUUUGGGUCCUUGAAUUGUUCCUACAUGUAGUUUGGAUUAUUGGUGUAGCGGGUUGCUUCUUUAGCAUGAGCUUAUCCGUAGCUUUGGUAGGUGUCUUUUGCUUUGACUUGGUCAUGAUUUGAGCACGAGAUUGGACUCGGGCAUGGCCCUUGCCAUUCUGCAAGGGUGAAUGUAGCAGAAGCUCUUGACUUGGUCAUGAUUUGAGCACAAGAUUGGACCCGGGCAUGGCUCUUGCCAUUCAGGUCCAGCUCAUUUGGGCUUCAUAAGGAGGCCUUGAGGUUUCAGUAGUAAUUUAGGAGCUGGGUUUCUUCGGUUGGAGUUGGACUAGACGUGAUCUGCCUUUAAGGAGGCUGCAGUGCCAAGGACUCUUUGUGAGACCCGGUAGGCUAAUUGAAAAGGUACCUUUGGUUAGGGCAAGAUUUUGCAUAGGCCUUGCUGACGAUUUUCGCUUGACAGUUGGCAAGGAGGCUGGGCGAGUGAUGCAUUGGUGUAACUUGGAGCUGGGUUCUUGAACGUUCAGCAAGGUUCUAGUAGGUAGUCUCGUGAGCCCCUUAGGCAAAGUGUUGUGGGUCUUCGAUUUCCUCCACCUUCUGGUCUGUGUAUUGGGCUUAACCAAGUGGCCUAAAAAAUUUCCUCCAUAAGCCUUGCCGUUUGACAAGGCCAGCUUGUUCAUUCGUAUGAUGCUGACUUUGUUUUUGUGUGGUGGUUGUUUAAACUUCGGCAGGUCUUAGAGUCGGGUUCAACCUUGCACACGGGCUGGGACAUCAGACCUUUGGGAAGAGCUGGGCUUUGAAGGUGGAUUCAGAAGCCUUUGGUUGUGCCUUUUCAUGUGGGAAGUGUAGCUGGGUCUUUGUUGAGGUGAAAUUUUUUGGAGGCCUCCAUUUGUUUCUGCACGGGCUUUGCCGUUCGGCAAGGUCAUUUCAAGUUCCCCUCGUUUUUUUUUUUGAAUUUCAAAUUUGAAUUUCAAAUUGUGUGUAGGUACAAGGGAUUUGAGAGGGAAGAUAUUCCUGUUGUUUGUGAUUUUCCUGAUGUCUUUCCAGAUAAUCUCCCUGGUUUACCCCCUGAAAGGGAAAUCGAGUUCACUAUUGAACUUCUUCCGGGCACCAACCCUAUUUAUCUAACCCCCUAUAGGAUGGCACCAGCUGAACUUCGGGAGUUGAAGAUUCAAUUACAGGAGUUAGUAGAUCUUGGGUUCAUCAGACCCAGUGUUUCACCGUGGGGUGCACCUGUGUUGUUUGUGAGGAAGAAAGAUGGAACCAUGAGGUUAUGUAUUGAUUACCAGGCAGCUGAAUAAGGUGACGGUACGUAACCGUUAUCCUUUGCCUCGGAUUGAUGAUCUGUUUGAUCAGUUGAAGGGUGCUAAGUAUUUUUCUAAGAUCGAUUUGAGAUCAGGAUACCACCAGUUGAGGAUCAGGGAAGAGGAUAUUCCUAAGACCGCGUUCAGAACACGGUAUGGACAUUAUGAAUUUCUGGUGAUGCCGUUUGGACUGACGAAUGCUCCAGCAGCGUUUAUGGACCUCAUGAACAGAGUGUUCCGACCAUACUUGGAUCACUUUGUGAUUGUAUUCAUAGACGAUAUCUUGGUGUACUCCCAGACUUUGGAAGGGCAUAAGAAGCAUUUGAGGUUGGUAUUGAGAACCUUGAGAAGGAAGCAGCUUUAUGCUAAAUUUAGUAAAUGUCAGUUCUGGCUGGACAGAGUGGUAUUUCUGGGACAUGUAAUUUCAGCUGAAGGGAUUUAUGUGGAUCCACAGAAAGUUGAAGCUAUUGUGAACUGGGUACAACCCACCAGUGUGACAGAAAUACGGAGUUUUCUGGGAUUGGCAGGCUACUAUCGUCGAUUUGUGGAAGGGUUUUCUUCGAUAGCAGCGCCUCUCACACGGUUGACAAGGAAAGAUGUUGCAUAUGAGUGGACGGAAGAAUGUGAACAAAGUUUUAAAGAAUUAAAGAAGCGAUUAACUACUGCACCUGUUUUGGCUCUUCCGGAUAAUGCAGGAAAUUUUGUGAUCUACAGUGAUGCAUCUUUGCGAGGCUUGGGAUGUGUUCUGAUGCAACAUGAUCGGGUGAUUUCUUAUGCCUCGAGCCAACUCAAGAAGCAUGAGCAGAAUUAUCCAGUUCAUGAUCUGGAACUUGCCGCUGUAGUGUUCGCUCUUAAGAUCUGGCGGCAUUAUUUGUAUGGUGAGACGUGUCAGAUUUUCACUGAUCAUAAAAGUCUCAAGUACUUUUUCACUCAAAAGGAGCUUAAUAUGAGACAACGGCGUUGGUUGGAAUUGAUAAAGGAUUAUGACUGCACGAUUGAGUAUCAUCCGGGCCGAGCUAAUGUGGUAGCAGAUGCACUGAGUAGGAAGACUACGGGAAGUUUGGCUCAUCUCAGAACGGCAUAUCUUCCGUUGUUAGUGGAACUACGGAAAGAUGGUGUGGGACUGGAAAUGGCGCAACAGGGAGGAUUACUUGCUAGUUUGCAUGUGAGACCCAUUUUGGUGGAACGGAUAAUUGAAGCCCAGUUGGGAGACCCAACACUUUGUAGAAUAAGGGGAGAAGUAGAAAGUGGUUCACGGAAAGAUUAUGCAGUAAGGGGAGAUGGGGCGUUGGUAACAGGAACUCGCCUCUGUGUACCUAAGAAUGAUUACCUGAAAAGAGAAAUCCUAGAGGAAGCUCACUGUUCCACUUACACUAUGCAUCCAGGAAGCACCAAGAUGUAUCGAACCCUACGGGAGUAUUACUCAUGGCCGCAUAUGAAGGGAGACAUUGCCAAGUAUGUGAGUAGAUGCUUGAUUUGUCAACAAGUGAAAGCGGAGCGACAGAAACCUUCCGGACUUAUGCAACCGCUUCCAAUUCCUGAAUGGAAGUGGGAGCACAUUACCAUGGAUUUCGUUUUCAAGCUUCCACGUACUCCCAAGGGACAUGAUGGAAUUUGGGUGAUAGUGGAUAGACUCACCAAGUCCGCCCAUUUCCUACCUGUUAAGGAAACUUAUUCUUUGACAAAGUUGGCAAAACUUUUUGUGGACGAGAUUGUGAGGUUACAUAGAGCACCUGUGUCCAUUGUAUCGGACAGAGAUACCCGAUUUACUUCUCGAUUCUGGAAGUGUUUGCAGGAAGCUAUGGGUACUAGGUUGCGGUUCAGCACAGCUUUUCACCCCCAGACUGAUGGACAAUCAGAAAGAACUAUUCAGACUUUGGAGGAUAUGUUGAGGUCUUGUGUACUGCAGAUGAAAGAUUCAUGGGAUACUCACCUUGCCUUGGUGGAAUUUGCAUACAAUAACAGUUAUCAUGCGAGUAUAAAGAUGGCUCCUUAUGAGGCGUUGUAUGGGAGACAGUGUAGGACUCCUAUUUGUUGGAACGAAGUGGGAGAUAAGAAAUUAGAAAAAGUGGAAAGUAUCCGAGCAACAACCGAAAAAGUGAAGAUGAUUAAAGAAAAGCUGAAGAUCGCACAAGACCGACAGAAGAGUUAUGCAGAUAAUAGGUCCAAAGAUCUCGAAUUUGCAGUUGGGGAUUGGGUGUUCCUGAAGUUAUCUCCUUGGAAGGGUGUGAUGAGAUUCGGGAAACGUGGGAAAUUAAGCCCUCGUUAUAUUGGACCCUAUGAGAUUACUGAACGCAUCAGACCGGUUGCUUAUAGACUUGCAUUACCUGCAGAACUAUCUCGAGUGCAUGAUGUGUUCCAUGUAUCUAUGCUUCGGAAGUAUAUGCCAGACCCUUCUCACGUUUUAGAAUAUCCACCUUUGGAGUUGGAAGAAGAUUUAUCAUUUGAGGAGCAACCUGUGCAAAUUCUAGAUAGGAAAGAACAACAGUUGCGCUCUAGAUCCAUUCCAGUAGUGAAGGUUCUGUGGAGAAGCCAAACUGUGGAAGAAGCUACAUGGGAGCCUGAGGCACAAAUGAGGGUCAAGUACCCUCAUCUUUUCCAUUGACAGGUACGUAAAUUUCGGGGACGAAAUUUUCUUUAAGGAGGGUAGAUUGUAACACCCCGACUCCAAAUUAAAUGAUUAUUUUAAUCAAUUUUUAUAAAAUUAUGAAUUUACCCUUGGGAUAGGGGUAAAUUGGUCACUUUCUUCUUCGGAAGGAUUUUGGGACCACGAGUGGCAUUUCUGAGAAGAUGGUACUGAGACGAAUUCAUAGACACGCGGUAGGCUUGAAUCGGGGUUGUAACGAAAAAGUUACGGGCAAAAUAGUGUCAGUGGCAAACUUGUAAAUAUUUCAAAAAGUUUGGUAAAAAUCAGAUUUUCACCUCAGCUCUCUCUCUCUCUUCGCGCGCGACACUCUCUCUCUCCUCAGUCUCUCUCUCUCCCUGACGUUCACUCUCUCUCUCCUCGGCUUGCUCAGUUCCGGCCACGGCAGGACCUGAGAUCGGUCCCGUUCAACUCGUCUCGUCGCCCCGGUCAGGCUCUGCCCGUUUUUCCCGUCGGAAACCAGGGAUUCGUCCAGAUGUGACCCAUAUGCAUGUGGGCCCCGAAGGAAGCCCCGCACAGGGGCAUAUUAGCUCAGCGCAAAUCAUAAUUCUAAAAAUUCGUUUCUUAAGAAUUGGGAUUAAAAGAUAAUUUUAAGUACAAAUUUUGCUCGAUUGGAAUCAGUCGUGGUGUAGUUAUAGAAAUAUGAGAGGGUUGGGCACAAUAUUUUGUUUUUUCCAUUUGCUUAAGAAGCAAACUCUCUCUCUACACACUCUCUCGCACUCCUUCUCUCCCUCAACGGAAACUCGUAGAAAAUUGGAAACUCUGAGAAACUGAUGGUAAAACUUUCAAGCUUUGAAAGUCUUCUGCUAUGAAAUGCCGAAUCUACGCUGGUUUCUUUACAUGAGCGCACUGUUUGGAGACCCGAUCGCUUCUAAUUCUAGUGCACCGUCUACCUUCGCUUUCCGUUGAUGUGGUCAUUGUUGUUGUUGUUGUGGCCUUGCCUUUUGCCUGUGUUCUACCUUACCUAUUGCCAUGCUCACAGGAUUUUUGUGUUCUGCCUUAUUUACUGCUGUGCUCACAAGGUUUCUGUGUUCUGCCUUACCUAUUGCUGUGCUCACAGGGUUUCUGUGUUCUGCCUUAUCUACUCCCAAACCCUGUGUUCUGCGUUACCUAUUGCCGUGCUCACAGGGCUUCUGUGUUCUGCCUUAUCUACUGCCAUGCUCACAGGGUUUCUGUGUUCUGCUUUACCCAUUUAUCUAGUCCUUCAUGUCAAACAAAGUAGGGUAAAAUGUAACACCCCGACUCCAAAUUAAAUGAUUAUUUUAAUCAAUUUUUAUAAAAUUACGAAUUUACCCUUGGGAUAGGGGUAAAUUGGUCACUUUCUUCUUCGGAAGGAUUUUGGGACCACGAGUGGCAUUUCUGAGAAGAGGGUACUGAGACAAAUUCAUAGACACGCGGUAGGCUUGAAUCGAGGUUGUAACGAAAAAGUUACGGGCAAAAUAGUGUCAGUGGCAAACUUGUAAAUAUUUCAAAAAGUUUGGUAAAAAUCAGAUUUUCACCUCAGCUCUCUCUCUCUUCGCGCGCGACACUCUCUCUCUCCUCAGUCUCUCUCUCUCUCCCCGACGUUCACUCUCUCUCUCCUCAGCUUGCUCAGUUCCGGCCACGGCAGGACCCGAGAUCGGUCCCGUUCGACUUGUCUCGUCGCCCCGGUCAAGCUCUGCCCAUUUUCCCCGUCGGAAACCAGGGAUUCCGAUCGCGAGCUCGACGGUUUUAAACCGAAGCAUUCCAGCCGUCGCGCCGCCGCCUCCGCCGCCCAAACCCGGUGAUUGAGGUAUGGUUUCUCUCCCAUUUUCCGAGUUCUAGCUGAUGUUGGUAUAGGUUUUGAUUGAUUUCGAGUUUAGAAAAUCGAUUAGAAAUCUAGGUUUUGGGCCGAAUUUCAACAUGAAAUUCCGGCCAGUUGCCGGCCGAAUUGGAGCUUCUCGUAGUUGAAUGAAGUGAUCCUGACCUCGAGUAGAAGCUAGGGUAGGAAGGGUGAGCUCGGGUGUGGAGUUUUUCCGUCACCGGAGUUACUCUACACACCCACGCGCUGCCGGCCCAUGUGGUGGAGCGUGGGCGAGUCUGGUGAGGAUGUAAACUGACCCGAUGAGAUCCUUAGGUUGUCACGAGCGCAUUCCUAUUCGGAUGUCGUUUGGCUAUCGAACGGAUUUUCGCAUAUUAUGCGUUAUCCGGGUUCGAUAGGUUCCGACCGUUAGAUCUUUCCCAAUUUAAAAUAUGUUGUUCUAGGUAUUCCUAGGACCGUAUGGGACUUCACGAAUUCUGAAUCGGAGCCCCGGAUGUUCCGAUUCAAAAAUGCAAAGUUUGCGGGUUAGCGAUAACCGUAAAAUCGUGAACGCUUUCUAAACCUGUAAUCGGACCUUAUGGUACCAUCUUCGACGUGCACGUAUGGGAAUUUAGGGAGUUAAGCAUUUAAUUUGUAAUUUCCGCUUAGACGUGGUUUUUAUAUUAAUUAACGGUUCGUAUUUCGAAAUAGGUAUUUCGACUGCACGCACGCAGCAAGCAGGACCUUCACGUGGUCAGGCAGCGAGGGAAUACUUGUGAGUGGACUUUGUUUUAAUCAUAUGCCUGGUUUUAAUUAAUGAAAGAUUUUGCAUAAUGUUUUAAUGGCUUCUGGAUUUUUAUAUAUUUUAUGCAUGGAUAAAUUCUGAUGGGUGUAUAGCAAUUGGCAAUAUAUUGUGAGAUUGGCAUUUUUGGGUUUUGUGAGUGUAUUUUAUAUGUGGAUUGUGGGGAGGUAUAUUUUGAUACAUUCUUUUUAGAUGAGAUAUUUGGGUUGUUGGAGGGUGUUAUGGAAGAGUGUGUUUAGAGAGGAGUUGUGGGAUUACACUACGUAAGUACCUUCCCCAGUUACUAGUCUCACUCGCGGCGUUGGAUGUUCCGGCGGGUGAGACACUUUCCGUAUGCGGCGUUGGAUGUUCCGGCGUAUGGAAAGACUGUGUAUAGAGUUUAGGGUCAUCACCGCGGCGUUGGAUGUUCCGGUGUGUGAUGAUCCAGUCUGCGCGCGUAGGACAUAGUUUGAGAGCUACACAUGGCGUUGGAUGUUCCGGUGUGGGAGCUUUGGAGUUUCGUCCCCCGGUUGGACCGCUCAUCCCUAGACGCAGGAUAGCACCUGGAAAUCCUGCGGACUAGUCAAACGAUCCCCCAGUUGGAUUGUUUUCCCCGGUACCUAGGUGGUGUGACGAGUAUAUCGUAUAGUUAUUUAUAGUUAAUUAUAUAUAUAUAUAUUUUUAUGUAUAUUUAUUGAAUAGGUAUAGUUGAGGGUGAAAGGAAUUGGAGUGUGUUUAAUAGUUGACAGGAGUGGUGAGUUUGAGAGAAUGUGGUUCUUUUUAAAGGAGAUAACUGAUGUUUUUAGAUGAGUUUUACUGAAGCAUGUUUUGAGAAAUUUCUUAUUGAAUUGUGAACCUGCAUGACUCGAGCAUUAUUUUUACAUGGUGGGGUUAUUAUGUUGUUUUUAACUGCAAACCUGGUUUUUGUCCACUCACAUGUUUUCUGUUUUGCGCCCCCCCCCCCCAGCCAGUAGUUGCUCUUGGAAGUGCAAGUGGUGUACGAAGCGGAAUCGGUGCAUCUUUCUAAUUAGGAACUGUGUAAAUUCUUCUACUCAAUUGUACUUGUAAUCUAAAUUCAGUAGAUGCUCUGUAUUGCCAUGGUAGAUUUUACUUGUGAGGCCGGAGGGCACUCUAGUAUGAAUUAUGUAUGUAUGAAAGCAUGCUGCUGGUUGGGAUUAGUAUUACUGUGUGUUGCAGGUUGAAUAAAUUUUGUUGGGAUUGCUUAAAUUGCAGGGGAGACUCUGCCAAAUUUUUGGUAGAAAGUCUCAAUUAUUUAGUAGGUGGGCCCGGCAUCGGGAUGAUGUCGGGAUCAAGACGGGGUCGGCCUCGGUCUUGGGGAAAUUCCGGGGCGGGUCCUGUCAUAAAAAUAUUUAGUUAUGCUCAAUAGAUGCUCAUAUUGUUGUUCUUCUCCAAUAUGGAGGUAUUUAUACAAGUACAAAGAUGUGUUAACCCUAAAUAAAAUAGGAAAUAUAUCUAAAUUACAAUAUGAAGUAAAUCUCUAUUACAAUAGGACUAAAUAAUAAUUGGUAAGUAAACAAAAUUCUAAUGAAAUAACGAACCAAAAUCCUAACUAAGUAAGGACUCGCCAACACUCCCCCUCAAGUUGGGCAAAGAUAUUUUGCACGCCCAAUUUGACAAGCGAGUCACAGAACACUUUACUGAGAAGCACCAAUUGUAGAGAAGGUCUUUUCGUCAACCACGAGUGAAACAAGUGACAAACUAAAGUAAAGUUCGCAGCGGAAACACAAGAGCAAACCCUAAAAAAUAGGGCACUUAGCAGAAUACAAAAACCUUGUGAGCACGGCUGUAGAUAAGGCAGAACACAGAAACCCUGUGAGCACGGCUGUAGAUAAGGCAGAACACAGAAAUCCUGCUAGCACUGCAAUAGGUAAGGCAAAACACAGAAACCCUGUGAGCACGGCAGUAGAUAAGGCAGAACAUAGAAACCCUGUGAGCACGACAGUAGGUAAGGCAGAACACAGAAACCCAUGAGCACGACAGUAGAUAAGGCAGAACACAGAAGCCCUGUGAGCACGACAAUAGGUAAGGCAGAACACAGGCAAAGGGCAAGGCCACAACAACAACAACAAUGACCACAUCAACGGAAAGCGAAGCAAGCAAAGGCAACAUCGACCACAACAGAAACACACCAGCAAAGGCAUGAACAACAAUACUGGCACCAUAGUAGGCAGGAGCAACAAUACUGGUACCAAACAACAGCAAUACAAGGUACUGGCACCAGUAAGACAAGGUAGGGCAAACAACUGUGGUAGCAGCAACAACAGAGACAACUUCUAUGCACUCUCCCUCUCCCCCUGAAGAGACGGGGUCGAUAGAGCCAUACUUGAGAAACAGGCACGGACAAUCAGCCAUGAUAGAUAGAUAUGUGAAUUGCAAUGGAAUAGAUGAGCAGCAGUGUCACUCCCUCUCAAAUUCGACAAUGCAUGAGAGUCGAGAUUUGGAGAAAGUAACACCCAAAUAAACAGAGAGACAAAGGCCACCUAGGAGAAGGCUCGGCGAGCGGUGACGAGGCUUCCAGAGGUUUGAGAUGGCUCGAUGAGCGGUAACGAUGCUCACGGAUGAAAGAGAUCAGGCCAUCAAUGGCCAAGGGGCGUGUUGCCCAUAUGGUACACAUUUAAAAGAGAGGCUCGGCGGUGAGCGCAAGAGACUAAAACUAACAUGGGCUCAAUCUGAUUUUAACAUAUAGCAAGCACAUAGAGAGAUGAAAAGUAAGAGAAAAAAAGGCAGCUGCAGGCAUAGGUAGAGAAAAAGAAAGGUAAUGACUCAACAUAAACACGACAUGGACAGAGACAAGAGUAAAAUUGCAAAAAAAUGCGGUUAUGGCUAAGGCAGAAGAAAUAUAUGUUGAUUAUUAAGGAAAGGAGAAACGGGGAUUUACAGCAAGGUGAAGACCCAUGAUGGGUUAGGAAUAAGGAACGCCAACGACUCUCAAUUUGUUAGAGGAUAUCACAGGUUAGCAACCAGGCUCUGAUACCAUGUCAAACAAAGUAGGGUAAAAAUAUUUAGUUAUGCUCAGUAUAUGCUCAUAUUGUUAUUCUUCUCCAAUAUGGAGGUAUUUAUACAAAUACAAAGAUGUGUUAACCCUAAAUAAAAUAGGAAAUAUAUCUAAAUUACAAUAGGAAGUAAAUCUCUAUUACAAUAGGACUAAAUAAUAAUUGGAAAGUAACGAAAAUUCUAAUGAAAUAAGGAACCAAAAUCCUAACUAAGUAAGGACUCGCCAACAAAAAUGCCCUCCUUGAACUUUUGAAGAAGAGAGAAUUAUUUCAAGAUUUGUUUCCAUUGUUGUGAAAUUCUUUUGGUACUAUUGCUGCUCUGCUACAGGAGAUAGUUUCAAUUUACCCUGUUCUGUCACCACCAAAUUUAACUCCUGCUCAAUCAAAUCGAGUUUGCAAUGCUCUAGCUCUUCUUCAGUGUGUGGCUUCUCACCCAGACACAAGAAUGUUAUUCCUCAAUGCUCAUAUACCUUUAUAUUUGUACCCUUUCCUUAAUACAACAAGCCAGUCAAGGCCUUUCGAGUACUUGAGGCUCACUAGCUUAGGUGUCAUUGGUGCCUUAGUGAAGGUCGAUGAUACAGAAGUGAUUAGUUUUCUUCUGUCAACAGAAAUAAUUCCACUGUGCCUGCGCACUAUGGAAAUGGGUAGUGAACUCGCAAAAACAGUGGCCACAUUUAUUGUUCAAAAGAUUUUGUUAGAUGAUGUGGGCUUGGAUUAUAUUUGUACUACAGCUGAGCGGUUUUUUGCAGUAGGUCGAGUCUUGGGAAUUAUGGUAGCAUCACUUGCGGAUCGCGCUUAUUAAAACAUAUUAUCCGAUGUUAUCUUCGAUUGUCAGAUAACGCAAGGGCUUGUGAUGCUUUAAGAAGUUGUCUUCCAGAGGCAUUAAGAGAUGCUACCUUUAGUGGUUGCCUUCGUGAAGAUCCAACUACAAGGAGAUGGCUGCAGCAGUUGCUUCACAAUGUUUCGGUUAGUCGGGUUCCUGCACUUCAGGCCGGAGGAGGGUUUGAUCAUAUGAUGGUGAACUAAUAUAAAUAAUUCAAUGUUGUCCUUGGGCUGCCAUCUGCUGUUUAUGCAUCAGAGAGGGCUGCAUGCUUCUUAUUUAUCUACCUCAGUGCUAAUGGGAAAAUUUCAUCUUUGUAAUUACAAAAUGUUUCUUCUGUAAACUUGGCCUCAAAAGGCGAAGCUUUUAACUAUUCACUUCCAAGAGAAAUCAAUUGUUCCCAGAAGAAAUUGUCUUCUUAGCUGAUUUCUUGUGUAAUUUUUUGAAUUGUUCGGUUUAUUUAACAAAUUCCGUAUUUUAAGAGUAUUUCAUCGGUUUCAUGGCAAAAUUAUUCCUAAUAAAGUCAGCCUUUCUUUUGGAAAAAAAAAGAAGAAAAAAAAAGAAGAAGCAAACAACCAUAUAUUCCGUAUUUUAAGAGUAUUUCAUCGGUUUGAACUUUUCUUCUCUCAUUUUUUAUUUUCGGUUAUCUAUUCAUAAAAAAAGCACCAUUUGUAUUUGUGUGUAGAUUUGUAUCUUACUUGUUCAAAUUGAAGUGCGCCUGUUCUUCUUUUGAAAUUAUAUGCCUUUGAAAUUUCAGCUCAGAGAAGUGGAUAUCCUACCUAAGGUGCAUAUAAUGAACAUGGAAGUUUGCUGCACUAGUUGGCUAUCAAGGUGCCAUCUUCUAGAACUUUGCUACUAUAGGGGUUGGUAAAGUCAUGGAAGUUACUGUUUCACCCUCACUUUGGUCUAGGGUGAUAAAAAAUUGCUCCAUGUGUGUUCAGUAUGACCUAAUUUUUGCAUAAUUGAAUCUGUUGUUUUUCUACGGGUGGUUUUAUUUUCUUUUAGCUUCCUGCUGAAAAAUGAGGUAUAGGCUUGUAUUUGUUGCACAGUGUGGCUUAUGUAGGAAUAUAACCAAGUUAGUGAUGCUUGAACAUGUUGUUUUGAGCCAAUUCAAUGGGGAGCUUUUUAUUUGCGGCAAUGCGGGCAGUUUGGAGCGCUCUAUGGAUGCUGGGCAUGUUUGUCUGCAUUUACACUGCUGUGUACCGUUCCCUUGUUAUAAUAAUUCUGUCUGAAGUGAAUUUUUGUUUUUGUUGUAGGGACAUUUAUUCCUGUCAAAAGCUUUACUUGGUGUCAGUUCACGUUGUAAGUUCUAGUUAUCUUUUUUACUAUGAGAAGCCCGUUGUAAUUUUUUUGUGCAUAAAAUUGAACAUUAGACAUCUGUAGUAGCUAUUCGGUCAUGCAAUGACAAUAAUAAUGCACUUUCGUGAACAAAGAAUAAAGUUGUAAUUCCUGCCCUUUUUUUCCUAGUUUCUAAAGCCAAUUUCUUUUUGGGUAAAUGGAGCCAUUGGAGAUGUUAGCUCUACCAGGGCUGUUCAAACAGCAACUGGUAUUCAAAGAACCAAAAUCAAUUCGCAAUCUAGACAGGAGUUUGAAAACUACAAAAUAUGGAUGACACUAUCAUUGCCCGUCAAACUUUUCAUCUUGCAGUUUCAAUUGUUCCAAAUCCCAUUUCGUUAUCAAAAAUCCUGCAGCUGAGUUGCAACAACUUCACAUCAUUUAGACAUGCUGGGAUUCUUGUACCUUGCCAAUACCAGCAACAUCACUAGUAUAAUGAGACAUAAUCUUUCAACAGAAAGAUGUUGGACAUAUUUGGAUGCCUGUUUACAAUUAAUGUCUGAUUUUCAAUAAACCUUGAUUGGAAAUUAUGAAAUAGAUAAAUCUGUUACAUUUUGUCCCCAACACACAUCAAUUCCAGUUAAUGAGAUAGAAGAAUCAUAGACAAAAUAUAUGUGUGGAAUGAAAGUAUUAGAUAAAUCCGGCAUUGUUCAUCCACGGAUAAAUGCUGGAUGCAUCAAUUGAGAAGAAAGGUAUUGCCUUAUGCAACUUAAAAUGGAAUCUCAGAAAUUGGUGGCGCCUCAACACACCUCUUGAUUACUAGACCAUUGCCGGAAAUUGGGUUCGUUUCGACAGCUAAACAUGGGGCUCGCAUAAAACCACUUUGGAACUUCAUUGCCUGAAAAUUUAAUAUCGAAUAUAUAGCGCUAAGAAAAAGGAUUUAACCCAAAACAAAAUGAAAAAAAAACUCACACCCUGAAAACUACAACAUAUACCUAGAGAUGCACAGCAAAAUAUUGCUAAAUUUGAAUUGAACACAAAAAGCAGAUAUAUGACCAGAAAAUGCAAAGAUAUCAUUCAAAAUUUGAUGGAUUUACAUACUUUGGCUCCUUAUUAGGAUCAGUGUACCUCCUCUUUUGGUGAUCCGCUGGUCCAGUAAACAAGGUAAGCCAUCGAGCUUCAUGAUCACCAAUGUCGACGACGUUAGCACGAUGAUCAUCGUGAAGUGCCAUGUAAUCUGAUUGGCGAGGCCUCUUGCCAAGACUAGUCUUUGAUGCUAAAGACAAGGAAAGCAAUUCGCAGUCUUGGUGUUGAUCAUCAUCAAUAUCAUCGUCGACUGCCAUCGCAUCAGGUAACAACAACUACGUUGGCCCAUGAUCAACAACAGCAGUCUCACUGACAUCAGCAACCUGGUGGCCUAGUAGGUGGACCCCGCAGGGAAUUUUGACGGGUGUGGGCACUUUGACAAACAAGUCAAAUAUAACUUGACACGUAUUACCCUGCUUCGUCAGUGGUUCUUCAAACUCGUACGCGUACUUAUCCAAUAAUGGAAUAGACGUGAGUUGCACAUGACUUUCCCAUGAUGCAAUAUGUUUCUCAUUGACGAGUUUUCCAUUGAGAAGAAUCUUGACAUCAGCUUGAGUAACAACACAUAGAACCAAUCUUAACGUCUCCCAUUUUAAAUUUGGAGGAAUUUCAAAAAUAACUUCACAUCCAGAAUUGUAUUUCUUUGUUCCAGGACCUGUAACCAAAUAAGGUCUAACUAUUGAUGCACCUUUACGACAGCUGAACCACUUUGGAACUUCAUCGCCUGGAAGACGAAUGUCAAAAUGAGAACGCGAAGAAGAAACAGAAACCUGAUUCAGAAAAAUAUUUUCUGUGAUGUCGUAGCCGCGUAGUCUAACGCAAUUGAUCAAACUCAGAUACAUAUUGUCAUCCUUCCGUGGGAGUUCUGGAAUUUUCUCCAAUGAUGUGCAGUUAUCUAGCAAUACCCAAGCCAGUUUUGGAAUUUUUUCCAAUGAUGUGCAGUUAUACAGCGAUACGGAUUCUAUUCCUGGUGGAAGCACUUGUUCUGGAAUUUCCAGAAGACUCUUGCAAUAACUCAAGUCAAGAGUCCGCAAGUUGACAAAUUUGCUAAAGCAUCUCGGAAGAUUGACAAAAUUGUUUCCCGAUAGAUCAAGUUCUGUUAAUGUGGACCAGCAAUCAAGGUGCAGGAGUAAAUCAAUUUUUGAUAGAUUGCAUCCUGUGAGACUAAAUUGAAAUAGGUUGGGAAGCAGCUGUAAUUCGGAGUUGCUGGAUGAAACUUGAGAGUUGAACGUAAUUGUAAGGUUCUCACAAUAUGCAGCGAACAAGUGAGAAAGCCCAGUAAGAUAUGCAAUUGAUGAAGGCAAUUCUCUUACGCCACUUCCUGAUAUGUACAAAAUCCUUAGUGAUUCCAUCUCGACUUCUAUUUCUGGGAAACUUUCAAGCCUUUUGCAACCACAAAGAUCAAGUAGUUCAAGAGAUUUCAAUCCAAGUGUUGCAAACCUUGUAAGAUUGAAGCAUCCACCAAGAUUCAAUUUUUGAAGGCCAGUAAGAUAUGCAAUUGAUGGAGGCAAUUCUCUUAUGCCACUUUCUUGCAUAUCCAAUAUCUGUAGUGAUUCCAUCUCGACUUCUAUUUCUGGGAAACUCUCAAGCCUUUUGCAAUUAUUAAGAUAAAGUUUUUUAAGAGAUUUCAAUCUAAGUCUUGUUCCAAACCUUGUAAGAUUGAAGCAUCCACCAAGAUCCAAUUCAACAAGUUUAUCAAGGAAUCCAACAGAACCAUCGACCUCAAACAAAAGUGUGCACUCGCGUAGAUUCAAGUACUUUAUAUUUGGGAUUCCAGAUAAAUCAGGGAUUUUUUCUAAGAAUUGACAACCCCUCAAAUUCAUAGAUGUCAACUUUGACAAAUGCUGUGAGACAAGAACACAAAAACAGGAAAUAAUUAAUCACACGCUUCAAAAGACAAAAACUUAGAAAACAAUUUUUCAUUUUUUUCCUUCUGAAAUUAACAACAGUAUUUGAAAUUAUAUAUAAUGGAUGAAAAUAAUUUCAAAUGCAUACCUUAAAGUUAAAUCCAUCCAAUUGUCUGAUAUGACUGCGUGGCAUAUUGAACUCAACAAGACGAUUUCCUUGAAAAUUGGGUGGCAAAGAUUGUAACUGACAUCUAUCCCAAUCAAUCAAUCUUAACGCGUUGGGCAGAUAGUUAAUGUGCCCACAUAGAGAUGCAUUACGGUUUAUGAAAAUUUCAAGAUUUACCAUAUUACAGAAGCAUUCUGGAUUCAAGGUUAUCUCUGCUGGUUCUGGAAGCUUCACAAUGAUGCCUUUAAUAUUUCUUGUUCCCUAAGAUAGAAAAGCAUUAAGAUCAAAAAACGGAGUCAUUUUACAAACCAAAAUGCAACCACAUUUUGUUAAGAAAAUUAUAUAGGUUACAUAAGGUAUUCUUUCUUGUCAAAUUGAAUAUAAUAACAUAUGUGAUACUUACUGUACUUUCCGUUAGAACUUGUUCAACAUCCUCGUAAAACCACAAUCUACUACGCUUGCCGGGAUCAUUGGGGGAUUCUUUGUGAACUAUAUCCUUGCCCAGUUUUUCUAGUAAGUCAUGCAUCUGAAUCGUACCAUAGUCAAUAGUUAUCAUUGCCUUCUGAAUGAGUACUUCAAUACAAUCUCGGGAGACCUUGUUCUUAGAAUUGCUUACUAUUUGUAGAACAUAGUCCUUCUUUUUACCCUUGAAGAAACAUGCGAUGUCUAGAAAAAAUUGUUGCAUGGAAUUUUCCAAGGCAUCAUAACUUUUUUGAAGUAUUUUUUGAAUACCUGUAUAUGGUUCUCCUUCAUAACUAUUUAAUAUAUCUUGCCAACGAUCUUUGUCUUUAUUACGAAGAUGAGAACCUAAAAUUGUUAGAGCUAGUGGAACGCCUUGAGCAUACUCUAGUGCACGUUGUGCGAGUUCCAAAUAAUCCUUUGGAGGUUUGUUGGUUCCGAAGGCACAGAAACUAAAAAGCUCAAGAGCUUGGUUGCGAUAUAACUUUUGGACCUCGUAUAUCAAAUCAAUUCCAUGACAUUUUAGCAAUCCGCUAUCUUGUGUAGUUGUAAUGACUCUACUUCCCUCACCAAACCAACCAACACCAGCCAAAUUGUCUAAUUGCUUCAAUUGAUUUACAUCAUCAAGAAUUAAGAGAAUUUUUUUAUGGCUCAAUCGUUCUUUUAUGACACCAAUUCCUUCAUCAACACUAUGAAUUUUCCAUUCCCCGCCAAGAAUUUUAUGAAGAAGAAUCUCCUGUAGCUUGAUUAAGUCUCCAUCUGACAUUGAAUUUUCUCUCACAUUUGACAAGAAACAGCUUCCUUCAAAUUUAUGUGCAAUGGCAUUCCAUAUAGCUUUUGCAAUUGUUGUCUUGCCUAUUCCAGAUGUCCCCCAUAUCCCAACCAUGCGACGACCAUUCCCACCAACAUCUAAAAGCUUUUUCACAUCUUGGACACGAGAAUGAAUUCCAACUGGGUGCUUGGCCACAUUCCAAUAUGUACGGCUCAGUACUUGGCUUAAGAUUCCAUCAACGAUGUUGUUGAUAAAUGUAGUUUCAUAUCUGCCAGUUGAACCAAAUUUAAACAAAUCCAACCACGCAAAAGAACACAACAUACUCAAGUACGUAAUAGUUGUUCUGACCAAAAAAGAAAAAAAGAUGUAAUAGUUGUUUAACCACAAACCUAUGUUAUGUAUCAUUUAUACUUGUAUGCCUUUUGAAGAGAUUAAUAUAUGGAUUUUGAACUUUCUACUUACAGCUAUCAAAAAUACAAAAGUACCCAAGAAAAUAAAUCUUCUCACUACAGUUGUAUAUUUUUAUAACAGAAUACUUCUCACUGCGUAAUAGUUACUCAACUUGCCGCUAUUCGGUUUCACGUUUUUUUGUCAAGACGAAAUUAUCAUAUAAUACUUAGCAAGCAACAUAAAAUCCUACAAAGCAAUCUAAAGCAAACAUUAAAAAGUAGAUAUCAUCGGUUUUCAAAGUCGAUAUGCAAAAUGAUUUCUUACAGAGAAAUUAUUUGUUCGCUAGCUGAGUUGACUUUGGCUUACCUUGUUCUACUUCAAAUGAUGAAGUUUUAUGAUGGCUCGUUUGUGAGUGAUUCCGGAUAGGUCAAUAAUCACUUUUAUGGAGAAGUACAUGGGAAGUGUUUCUCUCCAUAAUCACUUAAAAUUAUUAAAAAUGAUUAUAUAAAGAAGUACGUAGAAGGUGUACCCAAUAAGUGACAGAAUAACUCGCAAAUGAAUUUGGUAGAUUUUCGUCACCAUUGGCAUAAGAGUUGGAUUAACAAAAUCGUAUAACACAGUACAAACAUAUCCUCGCUAGAUCAAGUUCCAAUGAUCAAUUCCAAUUGUGUCUAUAAUUUGAGCUGGAAAAAUUAAAAGGAAAUUCCAAUGCAAAAGUACUCGUAAUUUUAUAUUUAUUCAAUUUCCAAUAUUAUGAGUUACAUAAUUACAUUACUCUAUUGAGAAAAGUGGAGGGCAUCUUCAUCAAAACUAAAUUUAAGUAAUAUUUCUGGAAAUGUUACUUUAACUUAGGGGUGGGCAUCUAAAAUCGAAAUACCGAAAUCGUACACUAACCAUACUGUACCAUACUGAUUUCAUACCGUUUCAUUUGGGAUGGGGAGAUAAUCGGUACCGUAUCAAUAGAGUAUGGUAUGAUAGCGGUAUCAAGUAUUUGGUACCGGUCAAUACCGUACCAUACCGAAAUAUAAACAUGUUCAAAUAGAAACAUAUAUUUGUUGUGAUGAACUGUGAAGGUAGGAAGCAGAUUUUCCAAAGUCCCGUUUUGCAAAUUUGUACAUAUAAAAAAGAAGAAUUCUUGAGGCUGCUGGGGAUUUGGGUAGCUGUUGUUUACUUUCUUUGAUCAAUGUCUAUGAAUUGUAAUUUUCUUUUUGCAUCUUCUGUCAAAUUUUCUCGGAUAAUCAUAUCUAUAAGUUCAUUUUCAUGGCUUAAUUAAUGUAAAUUUCAUCCUCAAUUUUUGUUUUCCCCAUUUUUGCAAUUGAGUUGGGUUUUUUCCCCCAUAAUUAAUGUCUUGCACAUAUAAGAAAAUGUUGUAAUUUAAUAUGGGUAGCCAACAUUAUGAUGAAAAAAGUUGUGUUUUGUCUUCAAGCUUCAGUCUGAAGCUUUGGAUUCUCAAGGCAUAUCAUAUGAAUGAAUUAUGAAAUUUAAUAACUAUUUUUAUUGUCUCAUUCAUUCCGUCUUGCAUUUUUUAGUUUUGUCAUUUUAGUAUCGAUAUCGUACCGUUACUGAUUUGACACGGUACGGUAUUGUACCAACUAAAGUUUAGCGAAUCAUGUGAUGACUCAUACAAUACUCUCUAUUUCCAAUAUUCUGCAGUUGCUGUGGCUAUCCUGUACCCACCCACGUGUGGCAGCACAUAAGACUUGAUGUCUUUUUACUUUUUCUAAUUUUUUUUCAAUUAUAUAUUAUUAGUGUAUUUUAUAUGCUUAUUAAAAUAUAAGUUUCGCCUCAAAAUAUGACAUCGAAAAUAUUUAUAAAAAAAAAAUUAAAAUUAAAAUAAAGAUCUUCUCCCUGCAAUUUAAUAAUGAGUAACAAUUAAAUGUGUAACAAAUAGUAAUGAGAAAGAAGAGAGAAAAAAAAUUAAACAUAAAAAUGAUAAAGAUAGAAAAUAUACGUACUCUCCAUCCUUGAAAGUAUGUCCGGACAAAUUUGCUGCUUCUGUAAGAGCUUCCCUCCAUAUGAGCACUUUCUCCUUGUCAUUCUUGAAUUUCCUUUUAAUAAGUUCUUCAAAUGCGUCACCAAAUUUACUUUUUUGGUUUCGCACAUGAGAUGGAUCCACCUUGUAAAAAAUGGGCAAAACUACUUGUUGCUUUGAUUGUUUACAUUGAAGGAUCUUGACAAGUUCAUCCAAGCACCACCUCGAAGAUGCAUACUUUUCAGAGAAUACAAUGAGAGAAAUUCUUGAUUCUUCAAUUGCUUUGACAAGGGCUGGGGAUAUUUCUUCUCCUCUUACAAGCUCUCGAUCAAUGAAGGUCCAGAUUCCCUUACGGACUAAAGCCUUGUGCAAAUGAUCUGUAAAAUUGAAGCGUGUAUCCCCACCUCUGAAACUCAAAAACACAUCGUAUGAAAAAGAAGAAGAAGAAGAGACUGGUUGAGUGGUCAUAGGGGGCAGAUCUGAAGGAAGUUGAGGUUGAGUAGCCCAACUCCCUAUACACCUGAAUAAGGAUUUGAAGAACAUCGAAGAAUUGAAGAAGAAGCAGAGAGAAUCUUAUCUGAUUUUGUAUUGAUUUUCUUUCUUAAUAAAACGAUACAGUAAGAACUAAGCUUAUAUGCAUGACAAAUAGCUUAAGGCUUAAACAAACUCAACAAAAUCACGUGCUCUCCAUGUGCCUAACUCAACUAACUUGUGCAUUCAUCAGGAUAAACUAAACAUAAGCUCAAAAAUUGGGUAUGGUAGUGGAGCCCUAGUUAGAUUUAUGAGGUCUUUCAGUGCAAGUAGUUGUAGACUAGUCAGCCGAAGCAGUUUCUUUGUAAUGCGACGGUACCUAAAACGUGUUGAGAUGGUCUUUUAGUGCAAGUAGUUGAAGACUAGUCAGCCGAAGUAGUUUCUUUGUAAUGCGACGGUACCGACAACGUGUUGAAGUGAAGGGUAAGGAACCCGUUUUCUUUGAAAUGAUGGUCUUUUAGUGCAAGUAGUUGUAGACUAGUUAGCCGAAGCAGUUUCUUUAUAAUGCGACGGUACCUACCACGUGUUAAAGUGAAGGGUAAGGAACCCGUUUUCUUUGAAAUGAUGGUCUUUCAGCGCAAGUAGUUGUAGACUAGUGAGCCGAAGCAGUUUCUUUGUAAUGUGACGGUACCUACAACGUGUUGAAGUGAAGGGUAAGGAACCCGCUUUCUUUGAAAUGAUGAUCUUUCAGUGCAAGUAGUUGUAGUCUAGCCAGCCGAAGCAGUUUCUUUGUAAUGCGACAAUACCUACAAUGUGUUGAUGGUCUUUCAAUGCAAGUAGUUGUAGACUAGUCAGCCGAAGCAAUUUCUUUGUAAUGCGACGGUACCUACAACGAGUUGAAGUGAAGGGUAAGGAACCCGCUUUCUUUGAAAUGAUGGUCUUUCAGUGCAAGUAGUUGUAGACUAGUCAGCCAAAGCAGUUUCUUUGUAAUGCGACGGUACCUACAACGUGUUGAAGUGAAGGGUAAGGAACCUUCAAGGCAACUUCUCCUCUGGUUGAGCUAAUAGUAGAGGAAAAUGUAAUGAUUCUUUUGGGUAUUAAACUCCUUGCAAGAGAAGAAAAGAAAAGAGAUGGCAGCCACAAUCGCAUCAUAACUUCUUAUAAUACUUCAUAGGCCAUAUGUCAAUGCAUCAUAACUUAUUCUGAGUAAUAUGAAAUUUCUAUUUUCACUAAAUCAAUAUAUAAAAGUGAUGGCUAAAAAUGAUUUAGGCUAAAAAUCAUGUGAUCAGUUAAAAGAUUAGAAACUCACUAGCAACUUGACUAGCAGUUUCCACUAGCUCACGAGCUGAGACCUCAGAGGAGAUGAGGAUCACAAGAGCAAACAUAAAGCCAAGAAGAAGAAAAGUCUUGGAGGAUGAUGCCAUGUUUUUCUUAACAACACAAUUUAGAUGAAGACAAGAUUGUUGAGUGAACUUAAUGUGGCUUCGCCUCAACCAGUUUAUAGACCCUUGAGGAUAGAGUGGGUGGUGGGGGAAGAGAGGGAGAGAUAAGAAUUUCUGUGGACAUCGUUGAACUGAAGACGUACGCCUAAAGGAGAGGAACACUUGAAACCUAGUUGAUCACAUUUUGUGGACUUAAUUUGAAAAAAAAAACACUCAUUUUUUUUCCACAAACGUUGAUGGUUUGUCUCCUUUUGUAAAUCAUUUAACGAACAGAGAUGAAAAUCAAGUCUACACAUAUAUCUUCAAUAAAUAAGUUUCAAAUGUCUUUGUAUGCCUUUUGGUUUUAUGAUUGAACUCUUGUUCUCAAAAAGUUUCAUAUGGACGUCAAGGGUGGAAUCAGGAAUUUUUCAACGGGUGGGCUAGCUAAAGUUAUUAGCUUAAAAUUUAAUGAUUAUUUUUUUUGGUACUUACAAUUUCUAUAGUCUUUCUAGAAAUAAAAGUAAACAUUAAAUCGUAUAAACCAAGCUAGUUCAUAGCUCCAUAGACUAAUUUUUAAUAAGUUUUAACAUAAACCAAAUAGGGUUUAACACCAUAGUAGAUUGAACAUCUAAGGCUUUUUACCUAGAUUUAGGUUCCUUCAUGCAUUCAUAUCAUACAUGAAAAGUUGUUUUAUGUAAAAAUAUUGACUAAGUAUGAAAAAUGGAUUUUCAGAAAAAUCAUUUUCUUAAGAUAAUUUUUGGCGGCUUUUAUUCUUCACACAUCAAAUAAGAAAACUUCAUUUUAUGGGAUUUUAGUAUGAAGUAUAUAUUGAUUUAAUGGCAGCUACAAAAGUCGUCAAACGCUGAAAUUUCUAUUUUCACUGACGCGCUUUCUUCCAAUACAAAAGUGAAAGUGGGUAAGGAGCCUUCAAGGAACUUUCAUAAAUAAAGACCAAAGAUUCUUGCCCUUUUCUAACUCCUAGCGACUGUAGCCUUUAUUCUACUUACCCUAUUUUUUCUAAAUUAAUUUAUUCACACAUUGACUUAUAUAUAUAUAUAUACCUUUCGUAAAUAAAGACCAAAGAUUCUUGCCCUUUUCUAACUCCUAGCGAUUGUAGCCUUUAUUCUACUUACCCUUUUUUUUCUAAAUUAAUAUAUUAACACAUUGAGAUAUAUAUAUAUAUAUAUAUGCUAUAAAAUGAACUGGGAUAUGUGCGAAUAUUGAGCUGCACGUAAAGUAGAUGAGACACAGUAUUUAACGAGGUUCGGCUAUGCCUACGUCCUCGGAGAGCAACAGCAGUAACUUUUCACUAUAUGAAAUAAUAGGGCUACAACUUUAGUGUUUACAAUAUGUAUGACUCACUCAAUUUUCUCUCUUGGAGAAUUUCUCUCUUGCUCUCUUUCCUCUCAACUCACUCACCCUCAUUCUUCCUUAUCUUCCUCUUCUCUAUGUGUAAACUUCUCUUGAUGGAGGUAUCUAUUUAUAGGCCUAAGACAUUGGUUGUUCACCUCACAAUAUAAUUGGUAGACAACAUCAUUAAUAUUCUUCAAUCAACAACAUCAUUAAUAUUCUUCAAUCAAUUGGGUAGUGGUUUGGUUUGGUGGUUGAGUGGUUAGGUUUAGUGGGUGUUAGUUGGCUAUGUGGGCUUCACCUAUUCUUCUUUACUUAUUCUUCUUUACAACACUCCCCCUUGGAGACCACAUGUCCCUAGAUUGGUUGCCUCAUUAAAACCUUGCUUGGAGAAAAACCCUGUGAGGUAGAAAACUGAUGGAAGGAAGAAAAAAAAAGAGUACAGCAAUCUGUAUAGCAUACUUCUAGAUGCCCCCCCUGAUUAAUAUCUCCCCCUGAUGUCUUCAUGACUAUCUUUUGGAGUGAGAAUCUUUCGGAGUGAGUGGAGGAUAUAGCCAUUAAUAAUUCUCGUAGUUGAGUAAGUAAAUAUAUUUCCAGUGAGCUAUCUCUAUGUAAAUCAUAGAAAUUUUCAGAGUCCGCGUUUCUAACAAAACUUGGGCUAUUUGUAAGUUCACUUGAAAGAAUAUGCCCGUACAUGGUGUUAUGCGGAGAUAGCAUCAAAUAUACCUCACAUCAUCCCAAAAUGAUGGUGAUGGAGUUGAGCCCUAUCUGGAAAAUAUGAUGGCCGGUCCAAUAUACUUCCGGAAAAUCAUUAAAGUGUCCAACGGAUAAUACUCAUAAAAAUGCUUCAAUACUUUCUUAGUAUAAGCAAGAAUCUCGUUGGUAUAAUGCUCGAUCCUUAAGUCGAGACAAAUAUUUCGUGAAUUCUGCAGAAGCUUUAAUGUGUUGCAAUCACAUUAUAAUCAAUGUACUCAAUGAGGUAAUUUAUGCAUAUUAAUAUUGAGUACAAAUUUUGUGCUUCAAGCACAUGUUUUGUGCUUCAAGCACAUGUCCUUUAGGGACUUGCUUUAUGCAAUUGUCAAUCUUCUCAACGGAUUUUGUCUAAAAGGGAUUAAACUUUAUGACACAUUAUAUAGCUUUAACCCAUCUAUUUAUACAUCUUUAGGGAAUCGCUUCUGGCGAUAUGCUCCGUGCAUUUAAUAACCCUUAAAGAUAAUAUGUUGGUCUCCGUAAUUGUGUAAUAAGGGUGGAGAAAACCCAACAUUCCUUGUUUCUGCUAGAAAACAGUGUGUCAUACAAAGUAGGUAUAUUCCCUUUUAUUCCGAACACCCAAGUAUAAAUUCAGUAUUAACAAAUUUUGGGGUUCGUAUUGUGGGUUUGUUCUUUCACGUUCAUUCUCAUUUAUAAUGGAAUUACCUCGUUCCAUUUUGGCCAAUGAUAUUGUCGACAUUUAAUAAUUGAACGUGGUUCCAAUCAACACGGCCCAUUGAUGAUUCGAGUAGCUACUCAAAAACCAAAAAUUGUCAUUCAUCAAUUCAUAAUCUCACAAUUCUCAUGUGCAUGCGCAUGCAUCAAUUAUAAGCAUUUCUUUUGCUUUUGGGUACCCAAGCCACUUCAUGGGGCUUUUAUUAUGUGAGAAUGUGGAUUAUAACCUCCAUUGGAGCGUUAUUUUACAUAGGGCGUGGAAAAUCUCCAUUUAGGGAGUUGGAACAUUUAGAACCCAUAUAUCUGUCAUGCUGCAGGCAUGCCACAGAUUAAUACAUACAUGUCAAUUAAUUUCUGGGACUUUAACCCAUAUUAUGGGACUUUAACCCAUAUAAUUUGUUACGCAUUAGGCGUGCAUAAUAUCAAUAUUGACAUGUCAAAGGAUUGUCCUUUCGGGACUUCAAUCCAUAUCAUUUGCUACGCAACAGGCGUGCACCCAUAUAUCUGUCAUGCUGCAGGCAUGCCACAGAUUAAUACAUACAUGUCAAUUAAUUUCUAGGACUUUAAUCCAUAUUAUGGGACUUUAACCCAUAUAAUUUGCUACGCAUUAGGCGUGCAUAAUAUCAAUAUUGACAUGUCAAAGGAUUGUCCUUUCGGGACUUCAAUCCAUAUCAUUUGCUACGCAACAGGCGUGCACCCAUAUAUCUGUCAUGCUGCAGGCAUGCCACAGAUUAAUACAUACAUAUCAAUUAAUUUCUGGGACUUUAACCCAUAUAAUUUGCUACGCAUUAGGCGUGCAUAAUAUCAAUAUUGACAUGUCAAAGGAUUGUCCUUUCGGGACUUCAAUCCAUAUCAUUUGCUACGCAACAGGCGUGCAUCAUAUUGAUCACUGCUAUACCCAUAUUCUGUUCUUAUGGUACAUUAAUCUGUGCAGUGUAUUAUCAAUGUAUCCAACUUGCAAUCUGUAAAAUUUGCAUUAAUAAUUCAUGGAUACAUACAAGCCAUUCUUUUGGAACGGACUUAUCUCCCCAUUUGGUUACCUUUCAAGAUAAAAUAUCAAAUAAGUAUAUAAGCAUAAAAUAACACAAGUAUUGCUUACAUCCUUAGGUGGGAGAAACUUUUCUCAAGUAUCAUUCAAGCUCGUAUCAGCCCAGUAAAUAUAAUGUAGCGCUUGAUGAUCUAGUUAUAUCCUGCAAGAGCAAAAAUCACAACUCUUUUGCCUCUGUUAAAACAAAUAAACCUCACAGUUAGGAUCACUUCAUGGAUUCAUUCUUCAGAUGUUCAUUCUAAAGAAAUAAAAUCUCUUAUGAACAGAGAGUUAUAAAAAGAGAAAAAAUGCAAAAAUAAUGUGAUAUUGAUUGCAAGAGAAGGUAAGCAAUCAAGGAAGGAAGCUGGUGGGAGCAGACAACAAGCUCAGCAAUCAAGGAAGGAAGCUGGUGGGAGCAAACGACAAGCUCUCAUUUCUUCUAGUUUAGAAGAACUUCCGGAGAUUAGAGCAUAAGGUUGCCUUCACAGUUCCCUGAUGUGGCGGGAACGUGAUCAGGGGUAGUCUCGCUUCCUGAAUGGAUGAUCAGAGAUAGUCUUGCUUCUCGGGCAUAUUAAGUGCUCACUGAUAAGAAAAACAAGUAGAUAUCGCAUCACUAGGUAUGGAGAAAACUGGAUGUCUUCUGCAAAGAAAAUUUCGUUAGUAACACAUUUAUACACAAAUACAAUGAAUAGGUAGAACCGGUGAAUUUCAAAUUAACCAUAAGAAAAUUGCGAGAUUCUCGGGGUACUUUUGAAAAAGUAGCUCCGUGAAAUCCGUAAAGCAAGAUCUGCUUUUGAUGAAAAUAAAACUUUGAAAACGCCGAAAGUGCCGACAAACAUUUAAUGGAGGCCACGUGAAGUUUUGGAAUCUGGGAAAGAAAAAGAUAAUAUGGGGAUCUGAGAUAAUAUUGGGAUUCUGGAAACUGUAGCCAUAUUUCCUCCUAUAGAUAUUGCCUUUGCAAAACUUGAUUGGAGCAACUGCGUUUCAACUUGCUCCUUUCCUGUAUAAUAAUUGCGCACAUUCUUAAAAUUUGCACCUGUGGUUUUUACGUCUUUUCAAAAUGACGGUUUGGAACCUUGUGCCUUAUAGGUUCAAAUAACCACAUCGACUCUCCCAAAUUUCAUAUUUCAACGUAUGGGAGCCCGGAACUUUUGGCCUGGGCUAAACACAAACUCAUAAUUUAUUUGCCCUUUUCAAAAUGGACAUGAAAUAUGAAUUGAGUAAAAGCCACGCUAAUAUCUCAUAUAUUUGGGUUCAUGAGCUUCCGGCCCAGAUAUAACGAAAUAUGUGGGGAGCCUCAAUUCAUCAUUCUCUUAUGCCAAAGAGAUAUGUGGCGUACCACAAUUUGCAAUAAUACCUCAAGGGUUGUCCAUUUAAUUGUUGGAACUUCAGGUUCUCAACACUGUUAGAUUUUGAACUUCUGGCCAAAAUCACAUAUUCUCAUGGUAUGGACAUUCAACCCCCUUAGAUUUUGAACUUCGGGCCAAAAUCACAUAUUCUCAUGGUAUGGACAUUUUUAUAAUUUUCUGUACAUAUUUCUGGACUUCAAGCCCUUACAUAAUUGUCCAUAUUUUGAGGAACUUCUAGCAUCUCAUUUAAUUGCUCAUCCAUGAGUUUAAGGAACUGCAGGUUCCCUCUUUGAAUAGUGAUGGUUUACCCAAAAUGGUAAAUAUUUAUGCAUACAUCACUAUUCAUGUAUACAGCACUAUUCAUGUGUACAGUACAUUUGCCAGUACAGUUAUCAUCUAUGUGUACGGCAUUAUGAACCAAUACGGUACUGUUACAUCAUUAAGGAACCCCAGGUCCUUAUUUACAUGUCAGGGAUCAAGGACCCUCAAGUCCAAUUACAUGUUUACAAAUAUAGUACCGGAGAGACUGCCAGCUCUCAUA
RNAcentral lists this long non-coding RNA (125311 nucleotides) under Prunus persica (peach). RNAcentral's name for it is "long non-coding RNA (PPER_LNC001975)". Lineage: Eukaryota; Viridiplantae; Streptophyta; Magnoliopsida; Rosales; Rosaceae. The record is from RNAcentral.